This 152332-nucleotide long non-coding RNA is filed under the name Citrus maxima (pomelo). Its description in RNAcentral is "long non-coding RNA (CMAX_LNC000740)". The stretch from base 140082 to 140218 matches the Rfam family "Small nucleolar RNA Z247". Lineage: Eukaryota; Viridiplantae; Streptophyta; Magnoliopsida; Sapindales; Rutaceae. The record is from RNAcentral.
ACCCUCUCUUUAGUAAAAUGUGGAAUAUUGGCACCAGCUACUUCAAGUUUUUCGCUUAAUAUUGUUGAAAGCAUUUCCUUUUGUAGGUCUUCUAGGCCACCCUCUGUUUCUGAUUUUCUCCUAACAUUUUUUGCAAAGUAUUUACCAUCAAACUCACCAGAGAAUUGAUUGAAAAUAGCUUCAGCAAGGGUGGUUUUGCCGAUACCACCCAUGCCCCAAAUUCCAACAAUUUGGACAGUAUCCGACAAAUCCAUACACAAAAAUGGUUUAAUCUGCUCAAUUCGUGAAUUUAAUCCAACUAGGCCGUUGGAUGAGUCCGUUGAGACUGUUAUUUUUUCCAACUUCUUCAAAACAUCUUCGACAAUUUUGUUUACAAGUUCCGCAUCGUGCCUAAUAUAAAGGUGCAAAGAUGCAAAAACAUUGAGUCAAAUCGGGCCAACACAGAAACAGAGAUAAGAUGAAUUAGGAAAGAGAGUUACCUGAAUUUCGUGGAUUCGUGGCCAGCAAGACCGGAUGUUUCUCUCAGUGCAUCCCUCCACCUCUGAACCAUUUCUGGCUUCUCUUUGAACUGUUGUUCGAGCUUACCAAAGCCGACCCCAAAAAUCCCAGUUUGAUGCCGCACAUCGGACGGACUUACGCCAUAGAAAACCGGAAUAAUGAUUUGGCCGUUUGUGUGCUUGCAUUCAAGAAUCUCGACAAGUUCAUACAGGCACCAUUUUGAAGAAGCGUAGUCCGUUGAGAAAAUGACCACCGAAAUUUUUGAACCUUGGAUUGCGUUCAAAAGGGCAGGUGAAAUCUCAUCUCCGCGCCUAAGCUCUUCAUCAUCAAUAAAUGUUCUGAUUUUCUUUCUUUUAGACAAAGCAUCAUAGAGAUGGCAAGUAAAGAUCGCACGAGUGUCCUCCCCUCUAAAAUUGAGGAAGACUUCAUAAAUGCAAGGAGAAGAAGCCAUGAAGGAAAUAUUAGAAAUUUGGUGACAGAAACAGAGAAUUAAUCUUGAGAGCUGAGAGAGGAGAUGUAAGAAUGAACAUGUGUGAAUAUUCUUGCGAGUACAUAGUAAAUAAUUGAAUGGCUCGAGCUUUCUUAGUUUCCUGGAAAUUUCCUGGAGCUUUCGUAUACAUGAUUUGUCAAGUCAAGAAACAUAGUCAUGAUAAUGGGGCAGACCAGGAAGAAAAGGAAAUUGGAAUUUUGUACAAUUUCUCCAGCGAGGAACUUUCACUGUCAUUACCUCACCGUUACAGUUUGGAUUAGGGUAAUUUUUACCCCGCACCCAAAUGUUUUGACAUACAGCACAACGCACCCAAUUCUUUUGCCCAUGAGCACCGCGCACCCAUUUCCGUUUAUUUUUCAGUUAACUGUAACAGAUCAGGGUAAAAUUGGAAUAACGCAUCAAAAUUUAAAAAUAAAAAAAUAGGUAAACUCGAUGUUUGCGCCAAAAUAAUUUCACAUCACUGUGCUUAUGUUCACUGCGUUUGCGUGUGAGACCAAGAAGCAUGGCCACACCUCCAUUGAUGCCAAAAUCGAGGAGGUGGGUGAAGAAGAAUUGGCGCCAAAAUCAUUCACAUAUGAUGUGCAAGGAAAUUAUUUCAGCCUUUAAAUACUUUUUUAUUACAGCAGCAUCAGCUAUUGCUCUGUUUCGAAGAUCUGCUCAAUUUCUAAGACAAUAGUUGGUUUGAGAGUUUAAGGGAAGUGAAUCCACUGAGCGUGCUAUUGAAGAAGUGGAGGUCAGUUUCAUUUCUUGCUCAAUUGUUUUAAUUUAUUCCAUUUUGUUUGCAUGUCAAUUAUUUACACAUUUUUAGCUGGAUUUUGCUUAUCUAUAAAACUUGAAUCAUUGUUAAUCAAAUCAGCUAUAAUUUACGCCUCAAUGUGGUUUGUAAGUUUAAGUUAUGUUGGAUUAUACCUGAAUAAUGUGGUGUUUGCGUUAUUGAUUUCAAUUUCUAUUGAUGAUUUUGAGUAUACAUAUUAGUGGAUGAAAGUUUUUAAUUAGGAUGAUUGGUCACGCAUAUAUGUCAUAGCAACUGUGUUUUUUUGGGUUAUGGUUGUACUGUAGAUCAGUAGUAGUAGUGAUUUGGAUAUAAACGCUAGUGCUUUUAUUGUAAAUGAUAGUGAUGAAGAUCCAGUGUUACAGAAUUUGAUGUAAAAGUUAUUGGUUUUUGGCUAAAUAUCUUAGAUAAAUAUGAUGCUCAUGCAAUCAAAUCCAAUGCUUAUGCAAUUUACACCAUGUUUAUGAUAAGUAAUUAAAAAAAUAAAUGACUAUUCCAGGUGAAAAUGGAUGAUGAUGAUAUUACAACUGUUCUUUGUACAUUCAAGGGCAAGACAUAUAAUGUUGGUGUAAUUGAUCCAGAUAAGUUUAGUAGAGUUUCUGUAAUUAACAAGGUUUUAGUUAGAGUCUAUGGAAGAAAGAUGAGGCCUGAUGAGAAGUUUACACUAAGUGUUUGGGUACCAUGGGUCUAUAAGGAAGUAGAGAUUAUGUCUGAUCAUGACUUAAUAUUCCAGCUGAGAGAGCAUAAUAAGAUGUUGUUCUACUGCAUGCAAUUGUAUAUUGAAGAAAUCCAUGUACCUCAUGAGUUUGUACCUAGAAGGGCUUUGUUUCAGCACUCAGCAGAAGAAAGCUUACAAGGGUAUGCUGAAACAAACUUUCCAGCCACUACUGACCUGCACAAACCUUAUACACAUGCUACAUCCACCAACACAAAUCCUUAUGAAAAUGACAGUAAUGACCAUUCGAACCAUGAACCCCCUGUCAAGAACUCCAGCAGCAUAAUGAUGCAUAAUGUUGCACUUGAUAGCAUCCAAUCACAGACCAAACCAGAUACCAACCCUGACCUAUAUCAAGACUUUUUGGAUACCUAUUUCAGAUCAUCACCACAACAGAAAACACCAUCAGCUGCCCAAACUAAUGCCGAAAAUAGUGAUAGUGAUAACACAUCUUCAUUUGGUACAAAUAAGACUCCUACUGAGCAGCUUCAACAAAACUUUGCCAUCUCUUCUGAGUUGUCCCCUUUAUUGCAGCAACAUGGACAUCAUGCAUCCCAAAAUGAACCUAUACCUUUUCACCAACCUGAGUUCUCAUCUCAACCAAUAACUCAAAACCCUCAGUCACAAGUUGUACAAGCAGAAAACUUCCAGCAACCAGAAGCCACUACACCAGCACUAGUAGAUUAUAACUCAGAUGAUAGCCAUUAUAGUGUAACUGAUAGUGAGGAAGAUCCAGAUCAUCCAUUAGGUGCUCCAAACAUUAAUAAUACUCCUAGGAAACCUUCUGUUAAUGUUGACUUAGGCUCUAUGCCUUCUGAUGAUAGUGAUGAAGAUUGUAUGCUAUCUGAUUGUGAGAGUGAUGACAAUGAGUUUGGGGAAGAAUCUGAUGAAGAGAUUGAUCAAGUGCUGGUCAGAAUGGAUGCUGUUAUGAGAGAGAACAUGUACAUUCCUAGUGAUACACCUGUUCAAUUCUUUAUUGGGCAGUGUUUUAGGAACUUCAGGCAGCUGGCAUGGGCAAUAAGGACUUAUGCUGUGGAAAACAAGUUCAAGGUUUAUAAGCACAAGUUUGAAAAAUCCAGAGUAACUGUUGGAUGUAAUUAUUUCAGGUGCCCAUGGUUUUUACAUGUUGCAAAAACUAGAUUUGGACAAACCUUUAUUGUUAGGAGGCUUCACAACGUACAUACAUGUCAGAGAGACUUAAAGAAUCCUGAAUGCACUGCAGAGUUCAUUGUUGCCAAGUUUGCUGCAACUAUAAUUGAGCAUCCAGAUACAAAGGUUGGGUGGAUUCAAAGUGAACUUAGAAGGAUGUAUGGAGCUAAGAUACACAAGUAUAAAAUUUAUAGAGCAAAGAAGAAGGUUUUACAGAGACAAUGAGCUGAUUAUGAGUCUAGUUACAUGUUGAUCAGAAAUUAUGCUCAGGCCAUACUUACUAAGAUGCCACAGGCCUUGGCAUUGGUUAAGGUUUUCAGGAUGCAUGGUCAACAACCUCAAACUCACUUUGACAGCACUGUUAUAUCUUUCCAUGCCCUCAGAGAUGGCUUCAACCAAGGUUGUAGACCCUUCAUUGGUAUUGAUGGAUGCCAUUUGAAGGGUCCAUAUAAGGGUGUUCUUUUAUCAGCAGUUGCUAUUGAUGCCAACAAUGGAAUCUUCCCACUUGCAUUUUGUGUAUGUAGUGUCGAGAGUACAACCAGCUGGACAUGGUUUCUAAGCCACUUUAGGGAAUUUUUACAAGAUACAAGACAACUGACCUUUAUGUGUGAUAGGCAGAAAGGAAUUCAGAAUGCUCUUGCCUUAGAGUUUCCUAAUGCACAUGUUAGAUUCUGUGCUAGACACAUCUUAGCAAAUAUUAAGUUAAAACAUCCUCAAUCUGACUUUAAAGCAUAUUUCUGGGCAGCAGCAAGAGCAUCAAACAGAAGGGCAUUUGAUGAUGCUAUGCAAAACAUAAGAGCAGCACAUGAGGGUGUAUAUGAGACUCUUAGGAGGAUACCACCAAAUUUCUGGUCAAGGCAUGCCUUUGACAAUAAUUGCAAGUCUGAUCAUUGCACUAACAACGUAACUGAAUCUUUUAAUGCAUGGAUUGGGAUUCAAAGAAAGUUGCCAAUAAUCUCAAUGCUGGAGUGGAUUAGGAAGAAGCUGAUGAAAAGAAUGAUUGGAAGAAGAAAUAAGGCAGAGUCUUGGGACAGUGAUAUACCAAGAAGAAUUUAUGCACAAAUGAUGAAGAAUUUACAGAUUGGCAGUGCAAACCCUAUCUGUAGAGCUAGUAAAUGGCUUUAUGAAGUGGAUGAAAAUACCAAGACUUAUAUCGUUGAUCUUGAACACCAUAUGUGUGACUGCGGACAAUGGCAAGUUAGUGGGAUUCCAUGUGUACAUGCAAUGCCUUGUAUUGUGAAUAGUCAAAAAGAUCAAGCUCAGUUCAUUAGCCAAUGGUUGAAGAAAGAUACUUACCUAAGGUGUUAUUCUGGAUUGAUUAAACCAAUUCCAGAUAGAACGUCAUGGGUAGAUGCUGGUGGUGAUGAAAUACUGCCCCCUUUAGUGAGAAGACCACCUGGACGACCUAAGAUGACAAGAAGAAGAGAAGCUGAUGAGGUACCAGCACAUAAUAAACGAUACAAGAUGCAAUGCACUAUUUGCAAGGGAUUUGGACACAACAGAAGGGGUUGUCCUGUUAACCCUCAUAAUGCUCACAAGACAACAAGACAAUAUAAGGUGAGUGUGUAUGCUUGUAAGAGAAUAUUCAAUUAUUUUUUGAACCAUGUUCCUCCCAUGUGAUGACAGCUAAUGUGCCUUGUUUGUUUGUGCUUUUUUAUAGAAUAACCUGAAGAAGCACGUGACAAGGACAAAUGGGGAGCAAAGUGAAGGUAUAAGAGUAAUUUACUAAGUUAUAUUACUAUAUUACUUUACAGCUGUAUUAGAUAAUUAUAUAGUUGUGUAUCACCAAACUAUAUUAAAUUAACUUAUUUAUUUAACGUUGCUUUAUUGGUAAUUUAUAAGGCCAAGUUCACGGAAUUACCUCAACUAUUUUGGAAAGCCAAGACAAUGACAUGGUCCAAGUAACUGUCUCAGGCCAAAACAUAACAAAGAACCAGCAGACUGCAUCUAACAAACGCAAGAUUGGCAAUCAAGCAGGGCCAUCAAAAGCAAAUGAAGUCAUUGGCAAGAGCAUGAAUGGGGUCAUAUCUGUAGCUCCAUGGGUAGGUGAACAGGGAAGAAAAGUAAUGUCAGCCGCUGGAUUAACCUUCAGCAAAGAGGAUGAAGUCGGCAACUAUACUGAAAUGAAGCAUUUGGACAAAGGGAAGGCACCAGCCUUCCCUUCGUAAAGGGUAAAACCAUAGUUUUCUAUUGAUAUAAAUUAAUAUUGGUUUUGGAAAUGAUAUUUAUAAUUUGUAACUUGUUUUGUAGUGAUUCUUUGGCUAUGAUGGAGACAUUGGCAGCAAACUUAUUAACAAACAGUGGAGGCAACAUUAUCAUUUUUUGACACCUUCCACAAUGCCACAUCAACCCACCAGGCACAAGGUUAAGGUUAUCUGGAUGCUGAUUUCAUUAGGAUCAAGUGGCCAAGUAAUGACCAGGCAUGUCAUUGUUUUCUUUUUCUUUUUUAUUUUGGAGCUGAAAUUGGUGGAAGUUGUUGGACAUUAAGCUUAAGCAUUAUAGAGCUGGAAGCUGUGAUGACCUACUAUAAGUAUGAUUGGAAGGGUUUAUGGCAUUUUGAAAGUUUUUGGGAUUAAGAUACAUAUAGGACUGAUAUCAACCAAACCAACACUUUUUUUUUUUGUUUUUUGGUCACAUGUAUGUAAACACCAGAUUGGAUGUGACUAACAUUGUAAGUUGCUGCCAAUAUGCAUUUAUAGAUAAAAUAACUUAUUGCUAUUAUUGAUAUCAUAUUUGAUUAAAUGGUAUAUGUCAAGAAACGAAUGCAUUUUAUUGAUCAUAAGAUUUCAUUUUACACAUUGUUCUAGCAUUCCUUACAGUACAAUACAAGCAAUACAAGUAUAGUUAUCACUAUAAUCGUGAUUUGAUACUUCUUAUUUUUAUGAAGUAAACCUUCAAUAUUGAUGAACCUGUUGUGGAAGUCCUCAAUGUUAAAUUGUUGAAUCUCACUUGCCCUGUCUGCAGCUUCUUCUUCAAACCUUUGUAACGCUGCUUCAAUUUCUAUAGCCUCACCUGUAGAUGGUUUCCACCAUCUAAAGAAACCACAAGAUGGGUCAUUAGGGCAUGUGUAAUAUAGUUUGUUGGGGUUUGUUUUUGAUUCUGACACUUUGAUUUCUGCCCUUCUUCGACAGUAGCAUACUGUGUUAUAGAACUUGAUGAUGCCCCCAUUGAUUUUAGGUAAAUCCCUUCUUCUGUUAUAAGUUGAUGAACUUGAUGCAUUCCUUGAAGUGGACAUUUUCUUCAAAUUUCCAAUGUCGUGUCUGUUAUAUUCUUUUUGAAAUACAGCACAACGUAUCUGAACUUCAAGUUGUUGUGCUUGUUUUGUGUGUGAAUGAAGCUGCUGUUGAAGUUGUAUUGUUUCGGUGGGUAAAACCAAAUGUUGUACUACUGUAAGUUGUUGCUGAGUAAAAAAAAUGGUGGAGUUUCCAGGUGAGUCAAUGAAAAUCACUGAGGUGUGAAGAGGGUAGGAAUUUAUAUGUGUUAAACAUCACAGCUUGUGGUGAUGCAUCAGCUCAAAUUUAUCAAUUUCUUUUACUGUUCUUGUAACCAUAUAGCCGUUAUUACUGUUGCUCAGAUUUUAUAGCCGUUGGAUUUUUGAUGCGCAUGGUAAUAAACCAAUAUGCUAAGGGCAAUAUAGUCAAUAUAAUUUAACAGUUAUAGUUGGUCUUCGUGUGUAAAUACACCUUUAAAUAAUGGCCAGUGGUAAAUUCCUUAGUUCAAUGACUCACCUGGAUGCAUUUGAAUUCAACGCAAGGGUAUAUUUGUCAUUUAAUCAAAAUAUAGACUGAUCCGUUACAAUUAACUAAAAAAUAAACAGAAAUGGGUGCGCGGUGCUCAUAGGCAAAAGAAUUGGGUGCGUUGUGCUGUAUGUCAAAACAUUUGGGUGCGGGGUAAAAAUUACCCUUUGGAUUAUGAUUUGAGGGUGCAAGUAUUUACCUAGAGUUUACCUCCGCACUAAAUUCUUAAGUUUUGAAAAUUAUGAGACCUUUAUAUUGGGAGAUAUUGUAAUCGAAUCAAAACUUAAAUUUUUUAUAAUGUUAAUAUUUAAUCUUUUAAAAAACAAUAACCUCGCCGUUACAGUUUGGAUUAAGAUUUGAGUAAGUAUUUACCUAAAUUUUACCUCCGUCUGUAAAUUCUUAAGUUUUGAAAAUUAUGAGACCUUUAUAAUCGAAUCAAAAUUUUGAAUUUCAAUAUUAUUAUUCUUUAAAAAAAAUUUUGAGAUAACAGAGUGAUUGAUAAUAUAGGAGAACUUGUCUAGGCAAGCACAUGUAUACACAGAAACGUGAUGGAUUCAAAAAGAAAUUAAAGUGAUAAUGCGAAAUCGCUUGGUGGCCCAGUAAAAUUACGACUGAAUUUUUUUUUUUUUUUUUACAAAAUUCAAGCUCAUAAAUGACAAAUUUCAUUUCCCUUUCACACGUCAUUAACUUUUGUAACAUGGUGUGUGCAUCGUCAAGUGAGGCAAAAGGGUUUCAAUUACAGUUGGAAAACAUGAACAAGAAUGCAUAAUGAAUAAUUCCUUCGAUAAACCGAAAAUUAAGCACAGAAUAAUCCUAAAAUUUAAACUCUAAUAUCUUAUAAUGUAUUGAUUAAAAAUAAUCCUAAGAGCUCCCAAUUGAAACUUUCAUAAGUAUUUUAAUUGUUUUGGAUAAACAAAUUGCACUAGGAUAAAAAUUUGGCAAAUUCAGAGGAUAAUGGAAAAUAGUUAUGCUUCAAUAGGCCAAAGAUUAGAGAACAAAUAAGAAUUAUUUAUUGAUAUACAAAAGAGAAACACUCCAAAAUUUCAAGCAAAAAUAGUUUCAUAUAUCAUUUCGAUUUUGAAAGGGAUGAGAUUUUGAACUUCAAUAGUUUCCUCUAAAAUUAAAAGGUAGCAAUUAAGCUAAAAAGAGCAAUGAAGACUUAUUGGUACCUUAUUAAAGGUAAACAUUAUGGAACUUUCAAUGUCAUUAUCUCACUGUUCAAUUUUUAUUGAGAUUUGUGUAAGCAUUUACCUAAAUCUUACCUCCGCCUUUAAAUUCAUAAGUUUUGAUUAAUUAUGAGACCUUAUAUUGGGAGAUAUUAUAAUCAAACUAAAACUUAAAAUUUCAAUAUCAUUAUUCUUUAAAAAGAAAUUGAGAUAUCAGAGUAAUAUCACAUAGAAAAACUUGCCCACGGACGGUAAGCCAAAAGUCUAGUCAACCACACGCAUAAAGCUAACUAGAACAAGAGAACAGAGAAACGCGUGGGUCCCUAAAAGAAAAGGCAAGCACAUAAAUAACUUUCAAAAUGCCCAAGCAAAUACCGAUGAAAAUCACUGUUUAAGAAUAAUUUAUUAUGUGGUUGAAGCUUUCUUUUUAUCAAUCUUCUUUCUACCCAUUAAUUUUCCCACGACUUUCCCGUUUCAUUUCUUGAAUCUCCAUGGAUUAACUUUCAAUAAACCAUAAAAUAAACUAAGGAAUCAUUUUCUCGAAUACAGCUAUGAUUUUAAUAAAUGGGCGGACCAUCUAGAAUAGUAUAUAUAAUUCUGUUUAAUUAAUAAGUUGAAAAAACCAUCAAGAGAAAUUCUAAUAUUAUGAGCUUGACACGAAUUCUUCACUAAUUCCAAAACAAGGAGCUGUUUUAUAAGAACUGUGGUUGGAUUAUUAAGUUUUACAAUUUGAAUAUAAAUAAGAAAAUAAAAUCAGUCGCGUUGAUGUUUUCGAUACAUUUCGCUGCUAACUUUUUUUUUUUUUUUAUUACAUGAGACUAUUGCUCAAAUUACAACUCAUAUUACAUGAGAAUAUAACUGAUAUUUACAAAUCAGACUAUAACUGGGACCAAUAUACAUCAAUACUAAUGGAGCGCUGCCCAGAUUUUAACCCUCUCAAAUAUUCAAGGGAUGUCUACACCUCACACUUGGGUAAGGAAACAGACUGUCUUCACUUAAAUUUACUUGAGGAAUGAAGACCCCCACAAUACAUUGUGGGGGUUCACCACUCGACCAAAGGCCGAGUGGCUCAUUUCGCUGCUAACUUAAUUAAUUACUUUACUUCAACUUUAUUUCCUUAGGGGCACUUUAUGGUGGGUCCAAGAUGGGACCUACAAUAAUCAAUCCUAAAAUUUAGUAUGGUUACCAAAUAGCUAGUAGCUAGUGUUAUUUUGUGUUUGGUGGAAGAGAUUGAAUAUUUAGUUUUAACUUAACCAUUCAACUAAUUAGAAAAUAAAUAAAAUUAAAUGAAAUGUUUAGAUAUCAAUUUAAAUAUUAAUAUCGGGGAUAUAAAUUAGUUAUAAUAUAGUUCAUUACAUAAAAUUGAUUAAAUUAAUAAUUACCCGUGAACAUAGAUGUAUAUGCUUUCCAAUUUCCAAAGUGCUCAAAGCACUUUUCUCACCAAACUUUCCUCUGAAUUUCCCGUAGCUGACUCCUUUGUUUGCGUUUUGUGAAAUUUCUAGGAACUUUUUUCGAUUUAGAAUAUUGUACAUUUUUCUUUUCAGCUGAGAUUAAUUUAACUUAUAGAAAAUCUUAUCCUUUUUUAAUAUUAUUUAAAUAAAAUUUGUCUAUCUUUUAUUUUAUUAGUCUACUUUUUACCCAUUAAUUAAGACUUUUCAAUUUCUUUUUUACCUGAGGUUUUCAGUGACUAUCUUUCAAUAAACCAUAAAAAUUACUUAGUCAUUUAUCGAACAAUUAGAUGACCAUAUUUCAAAAUAUCAACUAGAAGUUGUCCUGAAAUAUUUAAUUAAUAGUUGAAGAAUUGUGAUUAGUGUGGGCAUCUACAUAAAAAUUAUAUUAAAACACCGCUAAAAGAUAAAAAUAAAAUAAAAUAGUACAAACAUACACCCAUAGGUUAAAACAAAGAAAAAACACGAACCAAUACACUAAAAUGUUUUAGCUGUAGUUAGUUUUCAGUUUCAUUACUUAAGUCCCACGUGCAUGUCACGUGACUGAGGUCAAAAAAUGAUUGUCACAUUAAAGUUCAAAAUACGGAGCAGGGUAAUUAAGGAGUGGAGCUAUUGGCACCCCUCCAUUAUUCUUACAAAACUCCACUUUAAAUCAAAAUAUAAUUAAGAAUAAUUGAAAAUUAAACACUUAUAGAUUUCUUUACAACAUGUUGAGUGAUAAAAAAGCACCAGUCGGGCAUGUCCCCAUUUCUUACCCGGUGCCGAAUCUCCACGGUCGAAUGGUAUGAGUAGACUCUUGGUGAUGUCUUCUAUGUGGAGCACGUAACAACAGACCAGGAACUAGUACCAACCAAAAACGAGUACUGAUCGAAACAAGCAUGACCAGAAACGCAUACCGACCAGAGACUUGUGGGUCCGUAAAAGAAAAGGCAAGCACACAAAUGAAAAAGCCAUUACAUUUCUAUUUUACAUGUCAUUCCUAAUUUUUGUAACACGAUGUGGCAGCAUAUGCACAAUCAAAUGAGGCAAAAGGGAUUCGACUAUCGUGGCAGAACAUGGACGAGGACGCGUGAUGAAUAAUUCCUUCGAUAAAACGAAAAACAAACGCAGAGAAAAGAAUUUCUUAUAUGACAAGAAAUUAAAGUAAUGUGACGGAACAUGAUGAAGAAAUUGCAGAUCGAUCAAUUAUCCCCAUGGACUCCUAUAAAUUCAACCAAAAUAACAAUUCCAAUAUUACCAAAUUCUUGAGUUAAAUUUAUUCAAUGCUUUUUUUUAAGAGAAAUUUUUUCCAAUGCUACUUUCCCUUUUUUGGGGAAAUUAGAACUGCGGCAUGUAUAGAAGACAUUGAGGUAUAAAGCAACAUUAAUUUCAUGGGUUAUGCGUUAUACGCAUAAUAUAUUUUCAGUCCAAAUUCAACUAUGCAAAGAGGCUUGAGAACUUAAAAUUAAGCACAAACUAAACAGACGAAGUAAAUACAUGAUUAUGCAACAUAACAUUAAUUCUCUUAAUUUAUAACCGUUUUGCCACAUGAAUCUUGCACAGUUAAUCCUAAUUGAAGACUAAAAAAGAACAAUUGGAACAAGGUUUUGAAAUAGAAUGAUAGACAAUCGAUAUGAUCCAUUUCCAGUCGUCAACGCUAAUUAACUGCAGUUUCUAGACUCCUAAUUAUACUAGCCAUAAGAAACUGUUUAGAAAACUGGUGAUCAGAUUAGAUUUUGAAAUGAAAUAAUGUUCAUUUUCCCUUCGUUACCCUUUUAUUUAUUUAUUAUUUUUAUACCAAAGAAUUCUAUCAUGAAACGAAUCAAUUUAAUCACCUUUUCCAGCAGCACAAUUUUUCUUUUAUAAAAUUUGACCACAGAGACAAAGAAGAAUUAUUCAUACCUUCAUCAGUAAGGAAAUACUUUUCGGUAUGGCUAGGGUGAGAAAAGGCUUUCCACAAACACUUGUACUUUGUAUUCCUGUAAAUUUUCUUUAAAGUCAAUAAAAAUCAUAAGUUCUUUACAAUAACCAUCUCUUUGAUAAAAAAAGUGCCGUAUUCCUUUAGAAUUUAAAACCGGCAAAAUCGAAUCAGUGUCUUUGAAGAGACAUAAUGGUCAUAAUUCUUUAAAGAGUUGGCUAUGGAAAUCCUUAUCCAAGAUUCUUUUACGCCAUAUUCUUUCGUAAACCAAAAUUCAUUUUGGAAUACUCUGUUGAGAAUGUCAAAUAAAACGGUAUUGAAGGAAGUUUUCAAAGGCAGAAUCCGCACUUGUCAAAGGGAUGAUCUGCAUUUGUCAGAGACACAAUCUGCGUCGAAUGAAUCGACACAUUUCCUUUUGUAUUCGCAUAUGUAAUUUUUGAAAAAAUGUAGCUUCUGCAUCUAUAAAUAACGCUCAGUGUAUAAUGUUUUAUUCAAAAAAAGAAAACAAGUUUCUUCAUACUCGUCGUCCGAACAUACAGAGACCGUCUCUCAUAACUUCAGCCGAAUACUUAUGAUGAUGAUCAUUUGUGAUUUCAUCAGGCAUAGGGUUGAUGGUGAAAAAUUUUGUAUGUGUGAAGAAUUGAGCUGUGGAUAUAGGGGACUUAAGUGUAAUCGAAAGAGAGUUAUUAGGCCAUAGUGUAGAUUGCAUUCAGUUUAUGAGUCGAUAUGCAAAUAAUUUGUUGACGUGGCGAAAUUUGUUAUGGUCGUUACUAUUGUUUCUGGAAAUUUUCUAGAAACCUCAGCAUAAAAGGGGCUUUUGGAUAGCCUCUGGUGUGCGUGUGAUUUCUCUUUCGUUUCCUCAUCAAAUUCUGUAAUUCUUGCUUUGAUAAAAAGCUUGUAAUCUCUUCUGUAAUUGUGAUCAGUGCGUAAUCAUUUUGAGCGAUAAAAGCUUGUAGGUUUUUCCUUCAAACAAUGUCGUUUUGGUCAGUUUGUUAGUUUGAUCUGUUGGUGGAAUUUUCUUUGGUUAUUUGUUCUCAAAUUUCAACCUUAUAUAAAGUUUGAACUCUAAUGGCUUAUAAUGUAUUGAUUAAGAAUAAUCCUAAGAGUUUCCGAUUGAAAUUUUUAAUGACUAUUUUUAUUGUUUUGGAUGCACAAAUUGCAUUAAGAAAAAAUAUUGUCAAAUUCAGAGGAUAACGGGAAAUAAUUAUGCUUCAAAAGGCCAGAGAUUAGAGAAUAAAGAAGCAUUCAUUACUGAUAUAAAAACUGCUUCUAUUUGGAUUUUGAAAGGGGUGAAGUUUUGAACUUCAGUUGUUCCUCUAAAAUCAAAAGCAAUAAUUAAGCAUUCUCAAUUAGAAAGAGCAAAGAAGACUUAUUGGUACCUUACUGAAGCUAACAUUAUGGCACGGUUGUUCAUAUGUAAUGGCUGCUCUGUUAUGCUAGCUUCUCUGUUUUUGCUUCUAUUUUUGCUUACAGUUUUGAAGAUAAAUUCUUGCUCAAAUAACACAUAAUUAAAUAACACUAAUAUGGCUCAUGAAAUCCUAUAAUAGCUAAUUACGCAACUUUCUCCUCCUCCUCAAUUCUGUCUUCCCCUGCUCGGACACUAACUUCAAAAUUCAAUGCCCCGAAAAACAACACAAGAAAUCUUUGAGUUAGUUCGUGACCAGUUUAUAUAUAGUAGCAAUUGAAAAAAGAAAAAGAAGAAAAGAGUUAAUUAUUUUUCAGACCUUCACUUAUUAGGAAGUUUGUUCUGCUAUUGGGUGAGAUCAAGCUCUCAGCAUAUACUUCCACAUGAUACUUUCUAACAUUUUCUUGAAAGCCAUCAAUCAUUAAAUCUUCAUACUUUUUUCCAUCCUUUGGAUCAAUAAGUACAAAUUUCUCAUCUAAAAAAGACAAAAUAAAAUCACUGUCCUUCAUGGAAUCAGAAUUGAGCUUACAAAAACCGAAGUGGACAGUUCCAUUCAGAUUGGUCGCCCGAGAACAAUGAUGAGAAGACUUAAAAUCAGUUUCAAAGGUUUUCCAAGUAUUGUUCCUCUAAACCACUUGUAUAUUUUACCAGAACUCUUGGUUAAGAAAAUCCUAGUCCAUGGAGUAUGAUAUAUCAAUCAUGCAACAAUGACCUACAACAUCUAUGUGGAUUGAUUUUUGCAAAAUAAAGAACAAUGCUGACUGAGGAAUAAGGUGCAUACCCGAUUAGCAAUAUCUCAGCAAGUAACCAACAAUUUUUUAUCUGAUAAGAAAAAAUUACAAUUUCUUGAAUAUACAUGAAACAUUUUGCAGAAAGAACCAUGUCAUAAUUAUUAGUCCAACUGAAGAAUUAUCAAUACUUAUCACAUGAAACGAAAGAUACCCGAGUUCACUUAAUGAAAUUCUCUUUUUUUUUUCUCUAACAUUGAGAUAAGCAAAAACUUUUAACUAAAGACAAUCAUCUAGUGAUCUCAAACAAAUGAGGUUAGUAUGAAACCAUCAUAAUUUGUUCGCUCAUUGCCUAAUUUUAUUAAUGCAAGAGCCUGGAAGCAACUCAAAAAGAAAAUAACCGACAUAGGAAGUGUCAUCUCAUAUCUCACCAAUGAAUGGGAACAGCUUGAUGUGGCUGAGCAAACUGGCAGAAUUGUCAUUUUAACACACGUUCAAGAAACUCAGCAAAUUCUCAUAUCUGUUUAAAUUCCACAGCAAAGAUAGUUACAAGAAAUCUAAUCAAAAUUUAAAAUGUCAGAAGGCAAAUCUUCCAAUUAGGAUCAAAAGAAGAUAAUUAUAAUUUGUCAUUUCAAUUCUGAAUGUACAAUUUUAUUUUUUUAUGUGUGCAUUAAUUAAGAUUCUACCUUCUCUGCAAAAUUGUGAUGGACUUGGUAAAUAAUGAAUUGUAUCGACUUGAAUUUUAUACAACUUAUUGAGAUAAUAAUACGCCAAAUUCAACACCGUCCAUCCCAAAUCACAACAAGAAACUCAAACUUUUAUCCCCUCAAGUGGGUUCUUGAAACUGAAGCUUUAGUGCCAGUACAAUUUUGAAAGAUUGUGAUCAAACUAAAACAUCAAAUAAAAUAAGACGUAACAAAAACACGUCUUCAGAAAAUUAGUAUAGGAAUAAGAUAAGCUACACAGACCUACUUCAAUGAAUUAGAAAAAUUAUGAUAAACUUGAUGCAUUUCGAAAAACAACAAACAAAUAUUCCCAGGAAAACAAAAAAAAGACAACUUUGUUUAAGCUUAGACAAAAAUAACUAAGGACAUAUGAAUGCAUCAUAAUAGUAUCUCUAUGGGUAAUUUUCAGAAAUCUCCCCUAAGGUAUGGUGUAUUCUUAGUUUGAUAGAAAAUAUCUAAGUAUUCUUAUAGACCUCCCCUACUGUUAGUAUUCCAUUUCGUAUAUGUUAGGUAGAUGAGGGUAAGAUCGUAAUUUGAAUAAGUUAAUGAUAAAAAAUCCAGAAAUUUUAAGAUUUUCACAUUGGCCUCUGGGCUUUAUUCAUCUCUUUCAUCCACCAAAACCAGAAAUACAACUCACCUCUCUCCUCCACCUAAAUCGAAGCAAGGUAGCUCAAAACUCAUUUCAAAAAAUUGAUCAAUUACUUGGGUCACAAACUAGAGACAAUGACGACGAAGUUGAUGACGCCAAUAUCGACGACGAAGCUGAUGACGCCAAUAUCGACGACGAAUGAUUCGCAACUGCCAGGUAAGAGAGUAUAGUAGGUUUCGCCAUCGAACGCCCAAUCAUCCAGUUGUUUUGGAGCCGCGUUAUUUUUAUUAGCUAAAAUUAGAAUUUUUAGUGAAAAAUUGAAAGUGGGUCUCAAAAUUUUUUGAGAGCGUAUAUGUUUCUCCUGAUUUUUCGAUCGAUUCGUGUUAGUUGCAGUUAAAUGAUUAAUCCAAUUCGUGUUGAAGAUAGAGCUAACUCGAAUAUCUCUAUAGUCCUGUAAUUGAUUGAAAAUGGGUCUUGAAAAUUGUUUUAGAUUUCAGCUGUGUGCUUCUGAUUUUUUCCAUGGAUUCAUGAUAGAUGAAAAUGGUUGAUGAAGAUUUGCUUGACAUGUAUAUAGAUGGUAUUUUGUUAAAGGGGUUUUAAUUUUUUCCUUUUUUGGUGGUUUCGAUUGUGGUAUUUACAUGCCUUAGGUUGAGAAAAACGAAAAUGGUUUGUUGCACUCUUUUGUGUUGGAUCAGUGAGUUUAGGCGAUUUGAAAUGGUUUGCGGCAUUCAAUUGAUUGUUUUAUUUAUGUGGUUUGAUAUGGGAAAAGUAUAAUAAAAUUCAAUUGUUCCAUAUGUCAAUUUGGAUGUUUUGAAAUUAUGAACUACAAAAAGUUAAAAUUAAUUUCUUAUUAUAUUUUCAAUUGAAAGUUACUAUUGUCUUCUUUUUAGUACUUAGUAUGCAUUUUUCCCCAUCUUCUAGUGGUGGUGUUGCACCCAUUUUGAAUUUGAUCGGCAUCUUCUUCUGUACAUGCAUGUUUCUUGGACUCCAAUUUUUGUUUCAUAUGAUGAAGCUAAUUUAAUUCCUCCUUUUUAAUAUCAACUUUGUUCAUCUAGGUUUGCGAUUUUGAUCUUUCUCAUUUGAAGGCAAACACAUUUAUGUCAUCAAAAUUUCCAAUAUUUUUUAUUUUAUAGUAUCCAAACUGCUUAUGGCAAUAUGAAAUUGAGAAUAUUUCUUUCAUCAUGUUAACCUAAGUGGAUGGUGGAUGAUGUUUGUGUAAGAGAUUUAAGUUAUUUGUAUUAUAGAAUAUGUCUUAUGUUUUGAUUUGCAAUUUCACCAUUAAAUUGGCUUUGUAAAUGAUUAGAAGCUAAAUGCAUAAAAUGAAAACAAUAGUAACAUUUCUGAGUGGGGUAUAAUCAGAUGCUAACAUGGCGAUCCAUGACUUGUAAUUUCUAUUGUCGUUAUAAUUGGACUAGAUCGAGGUAAACUGACUUUUCUUGUUCUGUUUUUUUUUUCAUUUCUUUGUUCUAGAUUUUUCUUUCUUUGUUUUACUUCUGGUUUCUUCUUCAGCAUAUUCAAUAACUAGCAUGAGCAAAUGGAGAGGAAAAGGGUAGAAUAUGCUUUUAAAAAAAAAGAAAAGAAAAAAAGAGAUAGCUCUAAUUCAAAAAUAAGGAGGAGAAAAGGGCAAUGAUUGAAGUUGUGGAGAAGAAAUUCUUAAUGCAUAGGAGAUGACAACAAAGUGUUGCAACUGGGAGCAGUUUUAAAGUGCUAUUCGAUUGCUUUUGUAAUCAAAUUGUCUUUUGUACCUAUUUAUACACACACAUAUUUGUAUUUGUAAUUUGAAUUUUACAUUUUCUCAAGACAACUAUGUUUAUUUUAAAAAAAAUCUAAAUGUAACUAAAAUAUUAAAGUUUUUGUACUUAUUACUCCAUUUGAUGAUUUUUUUUAUUUUUUUGCUGACGAAUAUUCCAUGUCAAUUUUUUUCCCUUCAGCUCGUUUAAGGUGUUUUAUUGUCUGAUGUGAUAUUUGGUGCUCGGGAGGAAGGGUGUUUUAAGUCUUUUUUGGUGUCAGGGGCAAUUUUGUCUUUACAUCAGUCAACAAAUAGUCAAUGGAUGGAAAUGCAAACAGCAGGGGAGGUGUCUGAUAAUACACGGAUACUUUCUAUCAAACUUAUAAUACACAAAAUCUCAGGGGAGGUUUUUGAAAAUUACCCAACUGUGCAAAAUUAUGAAAAAAAUGAGCUAAACAUAUAUAGCAUUUCAGAGGAGUGCUUACUUGACAAAUCACUAAUACAAAGCUGCGAAUGGGCAUUCGGAAUGUUUUGAGAGACUCGUAUGGAUAAAAUAUGUAGUUAUUUAAGUAAUGACAGAAGGAGAAUCGUGUGGCUUGUCAAAGCCGUUAGCUCCAUCUCAUUUGCCUCGUCCUCUCGUUUUGUUUCUGUGGGGACAUAUUUGAUAUUUUGGAUUUUGUCUAAAAUUCGUCAUGUUUUUGGAUACUAACAUCUGCGCCUCUAGACCAAUAGCCAUUUGAUUAAGUGGGAGAACCCUUACACUAGUGUAAGAAUUUGAACUUUUAUAAAAUUAUUUAUGAGAUUAUUUAUAAUUUUUUUUAAUUAUCAAAUAAUUGAGUAGAGUCAGUUUAAUCCUUACGAAAUAUUUACUAUUCAUAAAUAUCUUUUUUUUUCUCUAUCUUACAAUUGAAUAUUCUCUCUCUACUCCAACAUUAUGUAACCUAAAUAUUUAAUUUCACUCUUUUUUAAUUUAUUUUUUUGUCUUUUCUUAGUAUAUUAUAAUCUUUAUUUCAUGUUUUCUAUAUAUAAGAAUUUUUUUAUAUCUAUUAAAUUUUGUGUUUAGUGAAAAUUAAUUUCUUGAUAUUUUUAAUUUUUAUAAUUGAUAAAAAUAUAUCAAUGUUCAUUUUUAAAUGAUGGGUUUUGUUCAUUUUAGUUUGUUAUAUUAAUUUUUUGUAGGUAAAAGAAUAUAUUUGAAUGAAUUGAAGGAAAAUUGUGAAAUUGAGAAGAGAAAGAGAAGAAAAAGUUAAUUAAAUAAUUUUUUCAAAAAUUAUUUAAAUAAUAAAAUUCUUAAUUAAAAACAAAGAUGGAGAGAGAAAUUUAGUGGGUUCAAAAUACUUAUUUUAAAUCCAAAAAAGAACCAAUAAAAGAAAUCAAAAGAUGAUUCUUUUCUUUCUGACAUAUUUCUCUGUACUUUUCUCUCUCUACUGAUUCACAAUUUUUCAUACUUCUAACUAUCAUUUUAUUCAAGUAUUUUGUAUUUUUAAUGACAAUUAUUUAAUUUUUAGUUAGUUUUGAUAUUGAUUAGAGAUUUAAAGUGUAUUUUAGAAGACUUCCGGUCUCUUGAAAAAAGGAAAAAUGGAGAAGAAGAAGUGUUCUUGAUUUUUUGUAGGCGUUAAAGUUAAAUGGUUUGAAAUGAUAUUCUUUUUUAAUUUCACUCAUUAAUCUCAUUCAAGAUAAAAUUAUAAAUGCAAAUAAAUGGGGUUUCAUAAGUAUUUUUAAUAGUGUUAAAAGGUCUACUCACUAAAUAAACAUGUUUAACCCAAACCAAUGCGAUUAGUAAGUUAUUGGGUUGGGUUAAUCAGGUUAAAAAUCAAAAUUAAAAAUUAAAUAAAUAAAAAAGGUAUAAAAACUAUCUGUUACUUGAAAAUAAAAAGAAUUUCUAAUUGUUAGUUCUAAUGUCCCAUAUCCAAAACAUGCAUAUUAAAUAAAUAUUAUAAGUUAGAAAUACAAUAUCCAAGAAAGAAUGAAUGAAAUACCAUAUUUUUGUUGAGAAUUAAGAGUGUGAUUUUAAUUUUGAUAUUGGAGUCUAAAGUGCCACGUUUAAAUAUUCUCUUUUAUAAAAUAAUAAAAAGAGGUUAAAAAUUAGGUUAGCAAUUUAGCCAUUUAGGGUUUAGCAAUUAAGGAUGAACAUAUUAUUGUUGUUGUUGUUAUUAUUAUUAUUAUUUAUAUGUUUACUAAUCCAAUCCAAUCCAAUUAUUAACGAAUUUGAAAAAAUUGAUUCAAUCAAGCCAUAAUAAUUCAUUCAACUCGUCUAAAUUGGAUUAGGUUGAAUUUGGUUUGCCACCCUUGUUUUGAGCAACAAACCUCAAUGUGAUUCCAUGAGCUCUUUGAUUGUUUAUAAAAUUGUUUAUGAAAGUGCAAAAUAAAUUAUUGUAUACAUUAAAAUGUGCAAAACAAUGAAUUAUAUGUACGAACGAGUGCAAACACAUUUUUCAAUAAGAAGUUAAAAGAUAUUUAUGCAUGAAAAAGCCUACGUUUGUAGUUAUUCUAAAUUUUAAAAACAAAAUUUACAUUUAGAUCCCUAAAAUUUACGUAUAAGUACAAAAGUUUCAAAUAUUGUCUAUUAUUUUUUUAACAUGCCUAUUCCUUGUGGAUAAUUCUAUCUCAUCACUAAUGUUGUUUCUUGCUUACAAUUUGUAUAGUGUCUCAAAAUAGACAAUAGGGGGAUUUUGAAUUUUUUAAGUCUCAAUAUAGUCUCUAAUCUUGUGAGAAAGAUUUUCUUUCAAUAAUUUGGAGGUAAACAUAACAUAACUUUUUGGACUAAAGCCUAACUCUGCUGGUUAUGGUGGUAUCCUUUUCAAGACCUGCGUCUUUAGAUUCGAGUUUUAUAGUGUGCAUGCGUAUUUAAUUAAUAAUUUUUUAAAACAAUACAUCAAAUAUUAAUAUCCAUGACAUAAUUUAGUUCUUAAUUUUUUUUUUAAAUACAUCAAAAACAUAAUUUUUUUAACAACUUAUAGGCAUGACAAAUUUCAAGAUAUAAAUAUCAGUCAAAAUAAGUGAAAGAAAUAAUGGUGCCAAUUCUAAUUUCUUAACUAAAUUAAUUAGUGCAUGAGCCCCGAAUACGACACGAGAGUUUGAUGGGCUAACAUGGCACAAGAACCUGAAUAAAUAAUUGAUUUAAGAAAUAAUUCAAUGAAAAAUAUAAUUGAUAAGAAUUCAGUAUUGAAAUGAGUUUUUUAUGAAACACUGAAUUAAUGAUUAUUAAGCAAGAACAAUAAAAAAUAAAUAUUAAUCAUUGAUAAGUUUCAACAAAAGCUUAACACAAUCCUCAAUCCUAAUUCAAAUUAUAAAUGUCAUUCAUAUAUUCAUUAUAAUCAACAACAAAGGUUAUAAAUGUUUAGAAAUUCUAGAGGGAAGGAAGCUAUCGCUGGGCAAUCAACAACUAAAUUUGAUGUAAUUGUGGCACGAGAUGGAAUAUGGAAACUACACCAUAAUUUCAAAUGCCGCCAUAGACAUUGACUUAUCUACAAUAACAAUGAUCUAAUUAAAAUAAAAAUAGAGUUUAUGGGCAUUUAUUAAAAUAAAAAUAGGAGUGAAGUAAAAACAUUUAGAUUUUAAUGUAUGUACGGAAAAAUUUAUCUUUAAAAAUACUUUCUUAAUGUGUGUGUGCAUAUUGAAAUACUCAAACCAAUUUUGGUUAUAUAUAAUUCAACAAAAUUUAAAAUAUGAAAAAUAUAAUGUAGUUAUAGUGGAUAAGCAAUAAGUGAGCACAAUAUAAUUAAUCAAAUACUAUGCUAUCAAAAGUUAAUUUUAGAAAUUCCAAAUCCAAUAGCUAACACAAUUCUUUAAAGAAAUAACAAGGGGCAUUGGGCAAGAGUAAUGAAUGCUUAGUGGGUGCAUUUGAUUGAUAGAUAUAUAAAGGGCCGAAACUUGAUAUUAUAUUACUUUUACAAAAUUUAAUCCAAUCACAUAUUUAAUGAAAACAAAAUGAGUUAGGAUUGUUUAUUUAGAACCCACAUUUUAAUAAGGCUUCAUUUGAUGUAGUUUUUCAAACAUUGAUUAUUUGAGUAAUUACAAAGUACAAUACGUACCAAGUUUGGUAACUUAAUUGACAUCUUCUCAUAUAACCUUCGAUCAAGUCGAUUCUGACCUGACGACUAAUUGGUACAUCACCGUUGUUCUCUAUACUCGCAUGCAUCCGAUCACAAAUCUCACUCCAAUUGUCGUCUUUCUUCGGCGUUUUAGCGCAUCCUUCUUGAAUUUCCCGCAUUUCGUUCCCUCCUGUUACAAGUCUCCGGUCAGGUCAGUUCACUUGACGAUUAAUUCGGCAAAUCUCGAAUCUCUUCUCUAUCCCUCUCGUUUUCUCGUGUCUCCUUUCAGUUUAAGUGAUUGAAUCAAUUUUAUCGCAGUCUUAAGAGAAAUUAAGUAAUGCUCUUGGAUUUAAAAUUUUUUUGCUUUCGACUUUAGAUCUCGAAAGUCAAACUCUGCUACGAAUCCAUAGAUUCUCAAUGUUUAUAAUCUUAUUUGUGUUUGACCAGGUAACUGGAUCGUGAAAUUCGUCGUUUUGUAUCAAUUCAAGCUUUCGCGAGCUCAUGGAAUCCCCUGGUGAGUUGUGGUGAAACGUUAUCGUUUCAAUUUUCGCUUAAUUCUUUAUUGCAUAUUUUUUUCUCUCUAAUAUUUCAGUUUAAUUUAGAAAAGAAAGAGGACCCAAAAAGAGAGAGAGAGAGAGAGAGACUCUACCAUACUCAAUUCCUUGCUCAUUCUGAUUUGGCCUGAAUGUUGGCAUUGACUAUUAUUUGUUUUCAUUUCGAUUUAAUUCUCAUUUAGACAGUCUUUUUUAACUAGCAAUAAUCUUUUUAAGGAAAAUGAUAAUAGGGAUUCUGCAAUAAUCUUUUUAAGGAAAAUGAUAAUAGGGAUUCUGCAAUAAUCUUUCUGCAUUGUUCAAGUUAGUAGACAAUGAAUAGGGUGUUUAUGUUUACCUCAUUUUGAACCCUGAGGGCUUCGUUGAGUAGUUGAUCCAACAUAUCCAGCACCGGUUGAUGUGAGAACAGGAUGCCAUUUAGAUAGGCUUAAACUGAUUUUGGAGGUUUGUAUUCAUUCUAUUGUAUGUCUUGCUUACAAAUUUUUUAUUUUUUAUUUUUAAUUUUGUAUAAUAUGCUCUUUGUUGGUAAAUCUCAUUUGACUUAGAAGAGAUAGUUUUAUCCCAACAGUGGGAUAAAUCAUUGAGAUGCAUGGCAGUGUGAAUAUAGUAGACAAAAUCAUUGAGACAGAUGGUGGUGUGAACAUAGUAAACUUUGUCAAACACAGCUAAGAUAAACAAAUUGUUUCAUUAGCCUUUAUCUUAUCUGCUGUGAUGAUUCAAAUUAAUGCUGUUUGGUAGGUUGCAAAAAACGAAAUGAGCUGACUGUUCAUAUUAUUUAGUCAGAUCUAUUGCAAUAAGUUGAAGUUCACUGUCACAUGGGUUGGGAGUAGCGUGGGCUGUGAGUAGUAGAAUGGAUUUAUGGAGUUGAUACAAGUGCCCAUAAUCUAUCAUGUCAUUCUAGGAUUAAAUGGAUUGCACAUUACUGUAAAGAUGGAGGUUAAAUUUAUAUAAUUCGGAUUGAUUGUAAAAUGGGAGGCAGAGAUGAGUUAGAAAAAAAAUGACCUGUGUCCUUUUUGAGCUGUUUCUAAAUCUCCCUGGUGUGCUUCAUGCUUAACACGUGUCUGUCCAAAUAAUUUUGCUUAACCUGUGCUUGUCUACUUCUUGUGCUAUUCUGUGCCUGGUCCUGAGCUGUGUUGGUAGAUUGACAUAAUUUUGCUCUGCUAAAUGUAUAACUUAUUAAUCAGAGUCCUGUUAUUAUGGUUUGACACUACUGACAUGUUGUGUUGGUAUUUAUUUGUACUUCCCUUGGUUGAAUUAUUUGCUGUCUCCAUGCCAUUCGAUAUGGUGCUACUUGGUUUUUGAUCAUCCAUGACGCUAUAUAUAUGUAAAGGAUGAAUUGAUUGUUUUGGCUUGUAUUCUCACAUUUUAUGAUUGAUCGAUGGAAAGGUCUUCAUGUAUUAAAUUCAACCUCACAAGCGUAAGAUUGACAGAUUGUGGGAAAAUUUUCAGGAAAAGAAACUAGACUUCAUGGAAGCAAUGAAGCUUGAAAUUGAACGUCUGCAGCUGCAUCUUUCUGCAGCUGAAAGGGAUAGAGCUUUAUUGUCAAUUGAAACUGAUCCUGCCUCUAUAAAUCCAAAUGUAUUGCUUGAUGAAUCUUACAUGGGAAGACUGUCGAGUAGCAACCACUCUUGCAUUACUUGGCCAAACUUCCCUAGAAGACAAAAUUGUUGGUGCAAUUGGCCUUGAGAAUAGUGAUGAUAGUGUUUUAGACUUCUGGAAUAUUACUAGAAUCGGAGAGAGUUGUUCUGGUGGCGGGUGCAAGGUUUGUGCAGAAACUAAGGUGCCUGCUCUUGCUUCCUCAACUGCAACAUCUGUUGGAGCUUCACAAUCCCCUUUGUUGUGUUCUCAAUGUGAAAGAAAAGUUUGCAAAGUUUGUUGUGCAGGAAGAGGAGCUCUACUGUUUUCAAAUUAUAAAUCAAGGGAUGUGACCAACUACAAUGGCUUCUCAAGUCAGAGUGGAUGAAGCCAUGGAAGCCAAGUUGAUGUAUCUACCAGUCGUUCACUAACACUGGAUGGCGUUAUCUGUAAACACUGCUGCCAUGAGAUUGUGCCUGAUGCAUUGAUGUUGGACCAUGUUAGGGUCUUGAUUAGCUUGCGAAGAAGUUCCUGUGCAGACAACGCAGUCAUACAAUGCUUUGAAUGAGGUUGUUGGAUCCUGCUUAAAGGAUAGUGUUUCUGAAAGGAUUCAGUCUUCCGAUAACGUGCAAGCUGCUGAAGUCCUUCACCAAUUAUGUGGUGGACAGGAAUCACUUGCUGAAUUUCCAUUUGCUAGCUGUUUGCACUAGGUAUGUUCUUGGUUUGUAUUCAGUUCUCAUCAUGUUAUGUUUUCCUUUUAAAUUUCUUUUCUUGAUUAAAAUUUUUAGAAAUAUGUUUUAGUAUUUGUUCUUAUGAUAUAUGCCCAGAACAUUCAUCCCACUUAUCCAUGAGAAUCCUUGUCUGGUUUGAUUUUCAAUUGAGACAUUUUUGGGAACCCUGAGCAGGUUCCAUAUGCUAAUAAUCUUUGAGGUAAGGUGUUGUAGGAUGCCUUGAGAAGCUAAAAACCUAUUACAAGGAAAAGCUCUUGCAUUGUUUUGUGGAAUCUGUGUUGUGAAAAUAGGUAGAGAAAAAGUUUAUGGAAUAAUUCUCUUAUUUCAUAUGUUCAUGAGACUGUACACAGUCUUUAUAUAGGGAUACAAGAGACUAAGAAAGGAAAGAAAAAAUUAAAGCAGAAUAUUACACACUGAUUUCUAGGAAGCAAUAACUCUAUAUUUACACCAAAUAUACACCUAAAUAUAUAAGGAAAACCAAAUCAAUUUGAUUUGGUCAACCUUUCAACACUCCCCCUCAAGCUGGUCUAAAAAUGUCUUUCAUGGCCAGCUUGCAAACCAAUUUCUCAAAAUGUUUCUUAGGUAGUCCCUUGGUGAGUAUAUCAGCAAUCUGCUCAUUUGUAGGAAUGUAGGGCAUGCAGACCAAACCACUGUCCAGUUUUUCUUUUAUGAAAUGUUUGUCCACUUCAACAUGUUUAGUUCGGUUGUGGAGUACUGGAUUAUGUGCUAUUGCAAUGGCAGAUUUGUUGUCACAAUAUACUUUCAUAGGUAGAGAAUUAUUUGCCUUAAGUUCUUCAAGAACUUUUUUGAUCCAAAAAACCUCACAAAUUCCUAGAGCUACUGCUCUAUAUUCUGCCUCUGCACUACUUCUUGCUACCACAGUUUGUUUCUUGCUGCGCUAAGUGACCAAAUUUCCUCCGACAAAGGUGCAGUAACCCGAAGUGGAUCUUCUAUCGGUUACACUACCAGCCCAGUCAGCAUCAGUGUAGACUUCUACUUGUAGGUGCCCGUUUUUUCUAAACAAAAGACCUUUACCCGGAGAUCCUUUUAAGUAUCUAAGGAUUCUAUAUACAGUUUCAAAGUGUUCUGGUCCUGGAGCAUGCAUAAACUGGCUGACUAAGCUCACUGCAAAGGCUAUGUCCGGGCGUGUAUGUGAAAGGUAGAUUAAUCUACCUACAAGGCGUUGGUACCGAUCUAUGUUGGUCACAUCUUCAAUAUUAGCUGGCUGUAAUUUCAUAUUAGGAUCUAUGGGUGUCUCGGCUGCUUUACAUCCGAGUAAACCUGUCUCUUCAAGCAAAUCAAGAACAUACUUGCGUUGAGACACAACAAUCCCAUCUUUUGAUCUAGCAAACUCCAUGCCCAAAAAAUACUUCAGGUUGCCUAAGUCUUUGAUUUCAAAGUCACGUGCAAGCACUUUCUUUAAUCUGCAAAUCUCAACUAAGUCAUCACCAGUCAAAAUUAUAUCAUCUACAUAUACAAUUAACACGACUAAUUUCCCUUCAAUAGAAUGUUUGUAAAACAUUGUAUGAUCUGCCUGACUUUGGGAGUAGCCGUGUCCCUUUAUAACAUUACCAAAGCGUUCAAACCAUGCUCUAGGAGACUGUUUGAGCCCAUACAAAGACUUAUGUAGUUUACACACUUUACUGUUGCCAUGAUUUCCCUCAAAACCUAGUGGUAAAUCCAUAAAGACUUCUUCUUCUAGCUCCCCAUUCAGAAAAGCAUUUUUAACAUCUAACUGGUAUAGAUUCCAAUCAGAAUGUACAGCCAAUGAGAUAAGGACCCGGAUGGAAUUUAUCUUUGCAACGGGGGCAAAAGUUUCUUGAUAAUCAAUUCCGUAGGUUUGAGUGAAUCCUUUUGCUACAAGCCUUGCCUUAUAUCUCUCAACACUCCCAUCAGCAUUACAUUUAAGUGUAAACACCCACUUUCAACCCACAGUUUUCUUUUCUUUUGGUAAAUCCACAAUCUCCCACGUACCAUUCUUCUUUAGAGCAUUCAUUUCCUCUAAAACUGCUAACUUCCAAUCUGGGUGGUCUAGGGCUUCUUUUAUGGUUUUAGGAAUUGGUAUUUGAGAGAUUUUUGUGGUAAAGGCUCUUUGUUUAUUGGACAACUUUUCAUAGGAAACAUAUCUAGCAAUGGGGUGCUUAGUACAGGUUCGGGUUCCUUUCCUAUGUGCUAUGGGUAAGUCAAGAUCAGGAAAAAAAGUGCUGAAAUGUUUAGGAGAAGAAAUGUUACCUGAAUUUUCUGAGGAAUCAGUGCUUGGAGGCAACGAUUGAGGCUGUAUCGAGUUUAUGAGAGGGUCUUUACUGUUGUGAUGAUACUUUCGAGUAUAAACACGCAGCUCUGGUGGUGGAAUUUUAUCUUGUAGUAUUUCUCCCCCUGUCUCUGGUACAUUAACACUUGGUUCCUGUAGUUCAAGGUUUCCUAGGUUUUCAUUAUUAGAAAUAUCAGUUUUUUGAGUUUGAGUUGGAGUGCCCAGAUCAGGUAAAAACUGAUUAGGCAUAGGUGUAGAAGUAUGCCAAAAAUGAUCUUCACUAUUUUCUUUCUCCCCCUGAAGAGAAUUUUGGCCAAAAAAAGGUUGAUUUUCGAGAAAUAUAACAUCCAUACUGACAUGGAAUUUCUUUGUUUGAGGAUUGAAACAUUUGUAACCUUUUUUAUUAGGUGCAUAGCCCAAGAAAACACAUUUUUCAGAUCUAGGAUCCAAUUUAGAUCUAAGAUGGUUAGGAACAUGAACAAAUACAGUGCACCCAAAGACUCUUAACUGAAUAUUGGAGGUAAUCCUACUAGAAGGAUAUAUAAGUGUGAAGUAUUCUAAAGGUGAUUGAUACUUUAAAACACGGGUAGGCAUCCUAUUAAUCAAAUAACAUGCUGUUAAAACAGCAUCACCCCACAAAUAUUUAGGAACAUGCAUAGAGAGCAUGAUAGCCGACUAACUUCAAGUAAAUGGCGGUUUUUUCGUUCCGCAAUUCCAUUUUGUUGUGGAGUAUCACGACAAGUGGAUGUGUGAAUUAUACCCUUUUCCUUACAAAACACCUCUAGAUAAUUAUUAAAAUAUUCAGUACCAUUAUCUGUAUGGAGUAGACUUAUUUUUGUUUGAAAUUGAUUUUCAACCAUGUUAUAAAAAUCUUUGAAUAACCCCUCAACUUCAGAUUUUUCUCUCAUUAAAUAAACCCAACAAAGCCGAGUAUGAUCAUCUAUGAAUGUUACAAACCAUUUUUUUCCAGUUAAAGUGUUGAUUUUUGAGGGUCCCCAAACAUCACUAUGAAUUAAAUAAAAAGGUUUUGAGGCACGAUAAAUAAGUGCUUUAUAUGAAACUCGAUGACUUUUAGAUAAAAAACAACUUUCACACUGAAAAGUAGUACAAUCAACAUUUUUAAAUAAAUUUGGAAACAAAUAUUUCAAAUAAGGAAAGCUAGGGUGUCCUAGUCUAAGGUGCCAAAGCAUUAUUUGAUCCCUAGCAGAGUUUGAACUAAUACUACUGCUCAAACCUUGAGUUUGUUUAUUCCUUGAUAAGUAGUCAUCAAAAUAGUAAAGACCUUCUCGCAAACUAGCACUGCCAAUCAUCGUCCCCAAGUCCCUGUCCUGAAAUUCACAAUGGGAGUCAAAAAAGACAGCACAACAAUUAGAAUCUUUGGUUAAUUUACUGACAGAUAACAGAUUGCAAGAAAGUUUAGGGACAUGUAGCACAUUUUUAAGCUCAAUGGUUCCAGAGAUUUUUAUUGAUCCUUUUCCAGCUAUGGAAGAUAAGCUUCCAUCAGCAACUCUUACCUUUUUGUUACCAGGGCAAGGAUAAUAGGAAUCAAAUAAACUAGAAAUGCUAGUCAUAUGAUCAGAAGCACCCGAAUCAAUAAUCCAUGGUGCAGUAGUUGAGUGGCUAAAUAGAGCAUUAAUAAUACUACCUGUUUGGGCUAGUGAACCACUAGGAGUACUAGGUGGAGGAUUAGAAGUCAGCAGCUUUAUGAGAUGGUCAAUUUGCUCCUUGCUGAGAUUUUUUUCUAGAUUCUCCACUUCAUUGGCAGACGCACGGCUAUGCUUGCUGUUUUUCCAAUCUGCAGGCUUUCCGUGGAGUUUCCAGCAAGCCUCCCGAGUAUGGCGUGGUUUAUUACAGUAAUCACACCAUACUCGAGGUUUUUGUUGCUGUUGAGUGAUGGAGCGGGUAGCAUUAUCUGCUGUAACAAGGGCAGAUUUUUCCACAGAGACAACGGAGUUCUUUUUUCCCAACAUAACACCUCGACGACUUUCUUCUCUCCUUACUUAAGAGAAAACAUCCUCAAGAGUAGGAAGUGGCUUUCUCCCAAUAAUUCUUCCUCUUACCUCAUCAAAUUCAACAUUGAGCCCAGCCAGGAACUUGAAGAUUCGCUCAUUAUUGACAGUUUGUUUGUGGUGUUUAAAAUCUUCCAUGCUCUCCCACUCGUAGUCGUUGAAUAAGUCCAGAUCUUGCCACAAUCUCUUUAGAGUAUUGAAGUAUUUUGUUAUACUAUAAUCUCCUUGACGGAUAUCUCCAAGAGCAAGCUGCAACUCAUAGAUCUGGGACUGAUUUCCAUAGUCAGAGUACAUCUGACUCACAUUAUCCCAGAGUUCUUUUGCAGUAGAGUAGCACAUAUAAUUUGCACCAAUGUCUUCAUCCAUGGAGUUGACUAACCAUGCCAUAAUCAUGGAGUUUUCGGCAUCCCAAACACCAUAAGAGGGAUCAGAUAUUUCAGGAGCCUUAACAUCUCCGGUAAGAUAACCAAUCUUCCCUCUUCCCCUAAUAUACAUUCUAACCGACUGAGACCAUCUUUGAAAAUUUCCUUCAUUCAGCCGGAUAGUUGUAAUCUGGACAGAAUGAGAUUCAGAAUGGGAAAUUUUUGGUUCUAGUCUUUUUGAGGUGACUGUGGUUUCAGAAGAUUGGUCAGACAUGGUAGGGAAGAGAUCAGAAAGAAAGGGAGCCUAGCUCUGAUACCAUGUGAAAAUAGGUAGAGAAAAAGUUUAUGGAAUAAUUCUCUUAUUUCAUAUGUUCAUGAGACUGUACACAGUCUUUAUAUAGGGAUACAAGAGACUAAGAAAGGAAAGAAAAAAUUAAAGCAGAAUAUUACACAUUGAUUUUUAGGAAGCAAUAACUCUAUAUUUACACCAAAUAUACACCUAAAUAUAUAAGGAAAACCAAAUCAAUUUGAUUUGGUCAACCUUUCAACAUGUGUGCUAGCAAGUCAUGUCUCUAAUAAUUUCAUAGUUUGCUUGAUUGGAAUUUUUUAUCUUGAUAUGGAUUGUUUAUUCUAGAUUCCUUGGUGCUGUAGGUUGAAACAGCAAAAGAUUCAGCACCGAUUUUGUCACUGCUUGCUCCAUUAAAUUCUGGAUCAAGGCACUCAUAUUGGAGAGCUCCACCUUGUACUACUUCUGUUGAAUUUGUUAUUGUUCUCUGUUCUGUUUCUGAUGUCAGUGGGGUUAUCUUGCUUGUUAGUCCUUGCGGCUAUUCUGUGGGUGACACUCCGAUGGUAAGUGCCAUAUUUAUUCCCUUAUUUCCUUGUUGUUCAAUAAAUUUGGUGAUAAGCCAAGUGGCCUUAAUAAUGAAGCCCAGUACCAGGGGUGGUGGGUAAUCGAUAUUCAACUUGUGAAUAUUCCUAAGCAAGCACUGAAUCAACAUAGACCUCGGCAAAAGUUCUCCAUGCUAUUAUAACGAAAGUCAUAUUUUGAAAUGAUUAAAAGAGUCCCUGUGUAGUGCUAUUUCCAAAGAAAUUGCAGCUGGAGGUUUAGUUUCAUGUAGGUUAGUUUCCGAUAAUAAACUUUCCAUUUCAUUAAUUGCUGAUGAAAAAACCAAGUAAGAACAGUUUUGUUGCUCGUCAUUUAUGUAUAUUUUGGUAAACUGUAAUUUUAAAUUCUCAACGAUCUUCCCUUUGUAGGUAAGAAGAUGGUCCACUCACUUGAUAUUUAUGAUUGUAGAUCAGGUUUCUAUUGGUUUGCCUUUAUCAUUCGGAACCCAAGUUUGAUAUUAACAGAGAUCACGUCAAUAAUAUCCUAUUUGGGUAGAUGUGGGUGAGGAUUUAAAAUCAAAUUUGAAAUUGAGGGCAAAGAAGAGAAAAGAAACCGCAAUAAUUAAACAAAAUAUUAGGAACUAUUCUGAUGAGUUUUAAUCUCGAGAGGAACAAUUUUCAAAUGCAAAAUUUAACUGCUAGAGAAAUUGUAGCUUUUUGUCAUUAGUUAAGAGGAAAGAGAAUAAGAACUAUCUGGCCCUUUCCUUCAUGAAUGUGUGUUGAGGUUGCUGUAUUAUUUAGUCAGUAUUUGUAAUUUUCUUCCCUGCAGUGCUCUCUGCCUCCUGAAUUUGCUACUGAGUCCAUAUUUUUCUUUGAGCUGUUGCUUCCUAUUGCUGUUACAGGUACAAAUCUGGGCAAGCAAUAAGAUACACCGGGAGGACAGGUCAUCAAUGGGAAAAUGGGAUGUCCAAUCCCUCAUCACAUCUUCUUCAGAUUUGUAUGGUCCAGAAAAGUCUGCUAGUGUUGAAAAAUUACCUAGGCAUGUAAAAUUUACUUUUAAGAAUCCUGUUAGGUGCCGCAUUGUUUGGAUCACAUUACGUCUUCAGAGACCUGGUUCGGCUUCAGUUAAUUUCGGGAAUGACUUCAGUCUUUUGUCUCUUGAUGAAGAUGAAAACCCCUUUGCACAAGUAGACAGACGUGCUUCAUUUGGAGGAGCAGUUGAAAAUGAACCAUGUAUUCAUGCCAAAAGAAUUCUUGUAGUCGGAAGCCCAGUAAAAAGGGAGGGGCUUACCACAUCACAGAGCUCUGAGCAGCUAAGUAUUAGAAACUGGUUGGAUAGAGCUCCACAAAUGAGUAGAUUCAAGGUAUUAGUUGCUUUCACUCUUUGUUCAUUCAUAAUUCCAGCUUUCUGCUUGAUGCCUUGCCUCUGAUAAACCUCUUUUUUCUCUUCAGGUCCCAAUUGAGGCCGAGAGAUUGAUGGACUACGAUCUCGUCUUGGAACAGUAUCUACCUCCAGCGUCACCUUCGCUUGCCGGAUUCCGUCUAGAUGCUUUCAGUGCAAUAAAACCUAGGGUUACCCAUUCACCUUCCUCAGAUUCAGAUAUCUGGGACAAAUCAGUAACAUUUUUAGAAGACAGGUACAUCUCUCAAGCUGUGUUGUAUUUACAAGUAUCCGCACUCCAGGAACCACAUAACAUGGUAACUAUUGCGGAAUAUCGACUGCCGGAGGCUAGAGCCGGAACGCCAAUGUACUUUGAUUUCCCACGACCGAUACAGUCCCGACGAGUUUCAUUCAAGCUUCUUGGAGAUGUUACAGCAUUUGCAGAUGAACCUUCAGAACAAGAUGAUUCAGGAUUGAGAGCUCCACUUGUGGCCACAGGUUUGUCUUUGUCAAACAGAAUCAAGUUAUAUUAUUAUUGUGAUCCUUAUGAGCUCGGAAAAUGGGCAAGCCUUUCUGGAGUUUGAUCGUUAUUUAUAUGUCAGAGAAAGGGUUUUGGGUUUGAUUUUGAUUUUGAUUUGUAAUUUUUGUCAGUUUAUUGAAAUUUUUUGUUGUAUAAAAGCAGAAUGUAAAGGUAUAAAAAUUCAUUGAUGCUGCAAUGUCUGUGCUUUUGAGAAAGAAAGAAUUCUAUGGCUUUUCUAUGCCAUUGGAUUUUCCACUGCCUGUAAACUUGGGCUGUCGAAUGCUCUGUGAACCUUAAGGGCUAUAAAGUAAUUUUCAAGACUGAAGGAUUUAUUAAUCGAGUUCAAAAGAUUGCAAGUUGGUGAGCGUUGGCAUUUAAAAAAUCAAUUGUUAUUCUCUCAAUAAUCUCUGUCUUCUGCCGACACCCCAUGCUCAGAAACCCAUUGUUCCGACGGACGUGUAACACUUCUAGAAAUUGUUUUGAUCUCUCCUCGUGAAGUGUUUUCUUUUUCGAGUGAAGGUGGUUUUCUACUUGCAUACGUCGGGGGUCUUAUGAUAUGUAAUGUGUGAAAUUUCUUUCUCAUUUUACCAUAAAGAAAAAUGUUGUAAUAAUCUAAAGCUCGAGUCUUAAAUUAUCUUAAAUUUAUAUUUAGAGUGGAGCUAUUCGCAAUCCUACAUUAAAAUUACAAAUAAAAAUAAUUGAAAAUUAAACACUUAUAGAUUUUUUUUACAACAAAUUAUUUAAUUCAUAAUCAAUCCUUUAAAAAAAAAAAUCCAUAUGUUACUUGCUAUCUAACUAAAAUAAAUUUUACAAAUUUAGAAUAAUCUAUUGAUUUCUUUUGAUUUCUUAUUAAUUAAAUAUUUUUAUACAUAAAAUUGCUUUGAAAUUAUAAUUUGAAAUAUGUGUUAUUUCAGCCAAUGAUUAACACUAAAAAACUUAUCACCCAUAUAACUUUUUAAUUUGUGUGUAGGGUAAUAAUAAAAUCAAAAAUAAUUAAAAAAAUAGUACAAUAAUGAGUUUUAACAAUAAAACAAAUCAAAUGAAAAUUGAAAAUUUAGAAAAAAUGUAUCUAAAAAAGGGAACGUUUUUUAAAAUAAAAUGAAUAUAACUAAAAAGGGGUUUUAUGAGAAGAGCAGAGGGGUGCCAAUAGUCCAACUUGUAAUUAAGAAUCUCCCAUUAUAUUGUCAACCAAAAAGACACUUGAAUAAGAAGAAGAAUUUAUCAGUUUGAUUUUAUUUAUAGAUCCAACAUUUCUCAUAUCCUAAACGCCUUUCCGUAUCAAAUUAAAACAGUAGUCGCAAAAUCGUAGUAUUAAAAUCGUAGUGCACAUUCAAUUAACCAACUAAUAGUCUUUGGUAUAAGAUUUUAUAUUAGCUAGCCAAGUAGGUUGUCCAUCCCACUCAGACAUGAACGAAAGCUAAAUUCAUCAAAUGGUGUUAUACUAUUAAAUAUUUUUAUAUUUAAAAUUACUUUGAAAUUAUAAUUUCAAAUUAAAAUAGUAGUAGCAAAAUCGUAGUGCACAUUCAAUUAACCAACUAAUAGUCUAAGAAGCAAAGAGAGGAUUACAAGUUCACAACACCAUUACAAAGGAUUCAAAAUUCCCACACGAAAACAUCAAUGUACAGAUUAUAAACAAUCCGAAUUGGACACAAGAAAAAGCCCUUCAAUGGAUUGCUUUCCUUCCCAAUGCUAUAUACUGUGCAAACUCCGCACUGGCCAAGAAAAUGUUUUCAAUUUAGUGUAUUUUCAAAUUGCUUAUUUUCUCAUAAUAUAAAAAAUAAAAAAGAAUCCUUACAUGUUUCAUCAGCAUGAUUAAAAUCAAAGAAGAAAGCGAAGACGUAAUGUCUCUGACAUAAUAAAAUUACAAAAAUUUCAAGGAAAAAAAAAAGGUUAAAACAUGUAAUCUUCAGAAGCAUAUAAUAAAAGAACACUUCCACAAAUUACUACAAUUUCAUGCAGUAGAGAUUGAAGAGUUGAAUUCCACUAAUUUUAAUAAUGAAAACAACAACAGAGGAUUAACUGAUGCUUUGACUUAUUAGCAGGUUGCUUUGACUUAUUAGUUCUGCAGCUAAGUUAAAUAAAAUAAGCUAUUUUCAAAAGCAAAAUGGAAUACAUAGAUAAAAACAUCAUCUUAAACAAAUCACAAUCUAGAAUUAGAGCAUUUUCGACAUACCUAAGGAACACGAAUACGUGAAAACGGGUGAUUUAUUUGUUAAGGAGUGUUGAUUUGGUCGUCUCUGCAAAUUCUUUAGGGACUCGGUUCCAAUUCCUCUUCAUCAAAACUGUAAUAUAAUUCCCCUUCAUCAGAACUCGAAUCGAUGCAAUAUAAUUCCCCUUCAUCAGAACUCGAAUCAAAUUCACUUGCAGCAGUUCCACUCGCGCUUGGCAAAUCAUCCAAUUUCCAAACUUCGGUAACAAAAUUGAGAGUAAAAGUGUUGGCUUUGAUCUCGCUGGGAUUUGCAUAUACUGGACAUACUCCGCAACGUUUUAUCUUCUGACCCUUUUGGACCUUUAUUAUGUUUCGGUGACACUCAUUGAAGAACUUAAAUGUGGCAGUUGAAUGAUGGUCACCAUCAGGAAAGCCAACAUUCAAGCAAGGUUUAAAACCAAGUAUGACAUGAUCUGAAUCAUGGGGGUCUUGAAUUGAGUGCAAAUUGUAACCCAGAUGAACAUGUUUGGUUUCAGAGAGAGUCUUUAUUUCUAAGUCGGAUCGACAGUAAACGUAAAAAUAACGAAAACGAUCAGAAUAAAGUUGCUUAAAAUCAAGAACAGCACAAAAAGCAAACCCGAUUAAGUUUCUGCAAAAAGAGUGCGGUGGCAGUUGAAUACGUAUCGAAGAUCCUGAACUUUGAUUGCUGAACCAGUCAGGAAUUUCGCUCCCAGGUAAAACAAUUUGGGAUCCCCUGAGUUCAGAAAGUUUCUGCGAAACGACAUUUAAAAAAAGAAAAUUGUAAAAUGAAAACCAUGAUUUCAGAUAUAACAAAGAGGGACAGAGUAAACAAGAGAGGGAAUUUGAUACCUCGUUGUAUGCAUUUUCAUAGCCCAGUCUCAGUGAUGCUGCAAUUGCCAUACGUAGUGAAUCUGCCAAAAUCUUGUUGUUUGCUUUUCCAUCAAGUUUCAAGCAGUUAGUAAACUCAAAACAAAUUGGUUGUGGCGUCACAUAUUCCGGAUGCCAUUCACGAAGGUCAGGAGAGGGUUUGGAUAGCUUUUCGAGUACGGAUGCAUCUAGUUCUUGUACACAUGACGGAAUCUCUGGCAAAGAUUGAAGCCGGUUGCAGUUCAUUGCUUUUAGUGACUGUAGACACAAUGGAAGUUCUGGUAAUGACCGAAGCAUGUUACAAUCCUCCAAGUGAAGAGUUUCUAGACCCAAUGGAAGUGCUGGUAAUGACUGAAGCAUGUUACAACGCCUCAAGUAAAGAGAUUUUAGACACAAUGGAAGUUCUGGUAAUGACUGAAGUAUCUUACAAUCCCUCAAUUCAAGAUAUUUUAGACACAAUGGAAGUUCUGGUAAUGACUGAAGCAUAUUACAAUCCUCCAAGUUAAGAUAACUUAGCCACGACAGUUGCUUGAUACUUGCAGGUAAACUCUCAAAGUUAUUUCCACUUAAAUUGCCAAUGUUAUCCGGCAACUUGUCAAGUAUAGAGCAACCACUUACGGACAAAAAUGAAAGCCCCGGUAGAUUUUCAAAUGGCGAUGGCAGCUCUGUAAUUGCCGUCCAGACUAAAUAGAUGCAAUUUAAAUGUUCCAUUUUCUCCAAGAUUUCUGGGAAACGCUCAAGGUUCAAGCAGCCAAAAAGAAAAAGAUCAACCAAAGAUCUCAAUUUACAGAACCUAGUUGAAAUCCUCUUCAGCCGUUUGCAAUGCCCCAAAUCCAACACUUCAAGAUCAGUUAGGCACUCUAUUGAUGAUGGAACUUCUUCUAUUGCAGACUGGCCUAAGGAUAGCUCUGUGAUUUUCCCAGAAAUCCGUGGAAACUCUUUGAGAUUAACACAAUAGGAGAAAUUAAUAGUUACUGGACAAACAAAAUGAAGAUUGCUUGGAAAAGACCUAAGACUUUUGCAGCCCUCAAAAGACAACGCACUGAGAUACUUGAAAUUCUGGAUAGAUGAGGGAACACAAGCCAAGUUUGUAUAAUCCAAAAGAUUUGUUUCAACAUUUGGGGUUUCUAAUGGGCCUGGCAUCUUAAUGAAAUGUCGAGAAUGAUUGAGGUUAAUAGAUUUUAACUUGAAAGCUUCCUGCAAUAACAGAUAUAUAAAGACUAUAUUAAUUAAAAAGCAACAUUGAAUUCAACAAUUAAUUGCACGUAUGUUUAAAGAAAGAAAAAAAUUAAUGUUUUAGUUUUAGUACAAAACUUACCUUUUCUCCUUCCCAAAGUUGCUCAACUUUACUAAAACGCAAAUUCAGUUCAACAAGGUUCAUUGGCUUGAAAUUUGAUGGCAGUGUCCUUAAUGGAUAUGUGUCCCAAUGAAGAUAUCUCAAUUUUUUAGGAAGAUAAUCUAGGCCAUUUGGAAGCUGCACUUUAGAGUAUGAAAGUUGCUCUUCAAUGCUCAUACUUAGAAACCUUUCAAUCUCAGGUACAUAAAAUUUGAGCAAUCUUAGAUUAGACAUUUUUGUGAAGGCUCCUGGGUCUAAAUUGAUGCCUUUUAUUUUGGACAAAUCCAGAAAUAUGCCUUCAAUUGCAUCGGUCCCCUUAUUAAAAAAAAAAAAAACAAAGAAUGAGUAACCCUAAAACAGAAAAGAAACAUUCGUAAACUUUAUUAACUAAGAGCUUCUUAAACAAAAACAAAUUCUGCAAUCUUUGAUUUUAUUUUUUUAAUAUAUUAAAUAUCUAUAUACGAGAAAAGAAAAUUUUGGGGACCAUUGCAAAAUUAAACUAACCGAAAAAAAAUUCAAAAUUUCUCUAAUUUACAAACCUGUUAUCUUAAUAACUAGAAGUUGAGAAGACAAGGCCUAUUUGAUUGGUAUAAGAUUUCGAUUUGUUUUUUAGUCCAUAGAAUCCAAAAUGUUAGUUCAAAAUUAGGGAAAAAAAAUGAAAGUUAUUUUUUUUCCACUAGUUGUAAUUGUUUCCAAGUCAAAUUGAGAUACGACCCUUUUCGAAAGGAUUUAAUCAUCUUAUAGCCUCCUUAAGAUACAUUUAAGCUAAAAGGAGUGAUUGGAGGCAGAACUAGGUGGGCCAAUCAGUCCCUUUUAUUAGUGACUGUUGCUUAAAAAAAAUUAUACUCUAAAACACACUUACUUUUUUGAAAAAAAAUAUAAUUAUAUUGAAGUAGAACCAGGUGGGCCAAUCCUCAUGGCACUCACUUUGUUCUGACACUCUUCACUAAAUUUGAAGAAAAAUAAAAUUAUACUCUUCACACUCUUAUUCAACAUUCCAAAAUUGAUAAAAUCUAGAGUUUUCUUUAAAAAUUUAAAAUUUGAAGACUUGUUCUCUUGACAUCCUCAGUCAUUAAUUUCACCUAAUUAUGGUUUUUAUGAUUUUGGUUGUUUUGUUCAUAAAACAAUUUUACUAAAGGAUGUUCUCGUAAUAAUAAAAAUUAUAAAAAAAACAUGGGUGUGCUGGUAUGGUUGGGAAAAUACGAGUACAGAACUCCAAACAAAUAAAAGAUUUAUAUAAAAAAAAAUGGAGGAUUCUUACCAUAUUAUGCUUUAGUACGCGGCGGAUUUCCUUAGGAUCCCACAACCUACUACGUCUGCCUGGCACUUCCUCAGAUUCUUGGCGAACAGUCUCUUGGCCCAUUUCUUGCAAUAAAUCAUGCAUUUGCAAGCGGUUAUCUGACACAGUUAUGAGUGACUUGUCGACGAGGACAUCCAGUCUGUGAGACCCAGAAUCAUCAAGUAUCCUUAACACAAAAUCUUUAUCCUCUCCCUCAAGGAAACACGCAAUAUCUAGAAACAUACUCUUCACCCUGGGCGUUAAUUCUUUAAAACUAAUCUUUAAUGUAUCAUAAAUACCAUGAAUAUCAGAUUCACAAAUCCGAUUUAAGUCGUGCAAUACAUUUUCCCAAUGGCUUUUCCUCUUGAGAUACAGGGAGGAACCCAACACUUUAAGAACUAAUGGAUUGCCAUCAGCAUACUCUACAACUCUCCACGAGUCACGUUUGAAAUCUUCAGGACGAUGCUUUUCUUUAAAAGCGAAGUUACAAAAGUGCUCGAAAGCCUCAUCAAAUUUCAAUCCAUUGACCCUAUAUAUUUUCUCCACUCCAAAUUUUUCGAGGACUCGUUUAUCCCUGGUGGUUACAACAAUUCUACUUCCUGGACCAUAUUGAUCAAGCCCUCCAAUCAAACCCUCUAAUUGUUCAUCUUUAUUCACAUCAUCGAGUACAAUCAACACCUUCAUGCGUCGGACCCUCCCUUUAGUAAAUUGUGGAAUAUUGGGACCAGCUACUUCAAGUUUUUCACUUAAUAUUGUCGAAAGCAUUUCCUUUUGUAGGUCUUCUAGGCCACCCUCUGUUUCUGAUUUUCUCCUAACAUUUUUUGCAAAGUAUUUACCAUCAAACUCACCAGCGAAUUGAUCGAAAAUAGCUUCAGCAAGGGUAGUUUUGCCUAUACCGCCCAUACCCCAAAUUCCAACAAUUUGGACAGUAUCCGACAAAUCCAUACACAAAAAUGGUUUAAUCUGCUCAAUUCGUGAAUUUAAUCCAACUAGGCCGUUGGAUGAGUCCGUUGAGACUGUUAUUUUUUCCAACUUCUUCAAAACAUCUUCGACAAUUUUGUUUACAAGUUGCGCAUCAAGCCUAAUAUGAAGGUGCAAAGAUGCAAAAACAUUGAGUCAAAUCGGGCCAAGACAGAAACAGAGAAAAGAUGAAUUAGGAAAGAGAGUUACCUGAAUUUCGUGGAUUCAUGGCCGGCUAGAUGGGAUGUUUCUGUCAGUGCAUCCCUCCACUUCUGAACCAUUUCUUGUUUAUCUUUGAACUGUUUUUUGAGCUCAUCAAAACGGUCUCCAAAUGUUCCGUUUUGAUGCCGCACAUCAGAUGGACUUACUCCAUAGAAGAAUGGAAUAAUAAUUUGGCCGUUUGUGUUCUUGCAUUCAAGAAUCUUGACAAGUUCAUUCAGGCACCAUUUUGAAGAAGCGUAGUCCUUCGAGAAAAUGACCACCGAAAUUUUUGAACCUUGGAUUGCGUUCAAAAGGGCGGGUGAAAUCUCAUCUCCUCGCCUAAGCCCUUCAUCAUCAAUAAAUGUUUUGAUUUUCUUUCCUUCAUACAAUUUAUCAUAGAGAUAGCAAGUAAAGCUCUUACGAGUGUCCUCCCCUCUAAAGUUGAGGAAGACUUCAUAAUUGGCACAAGAAGAAGAGGAAGCCAUGAAGGAAAUUUUAGAAAAUUGGUGACAGAAACAGAGAAUUAAUCUUGAGAGUUGAGAGAGGAGAUGUAAGAAUGAACAUGUGCGAAGAUUCUUGCGAGUACAUAGUAAAUAAUUGAAUGGCUGGAGCUUUCUUAGUUUCCUGGAAAUUUCCUGGAGCUUUCGUAUACAUGAUUUGUCAAGUCAUGAAACAUAAUCAUGAUAAUGGGGCAGACCGAAAAGAAAAGCAACAAUUCAAAUAUUUGAUUCAACCAGUAUAAAAAGGAAGGAAAAGCAAAGAAAGGAAAUGUUGAAAGUAGAGUUAGGGAAUUAUAAAAAGCUGAAGGAAAUUGGAAUUUUGUACAAUUUCUCCAGCGAGGAACUUUCACAGUCGUUACCUCAUUGUUACAGUUUAGAUUAAGAUUUGAGGGUGCAAGCAUUUACCUAGAUUUUACCUCCGCACUAAAUUCUUAAGUUUGAAAAAUUAUGAGACCUUUAUAUUGGAAGAUAUUAUAAUCGAAUCAAAACUUAAAAUUUUAAUAUUGUUAAUCUUUAAUCUUUAAAAAAAAUUACCUUGCCGUUACAAUUUGGAUUAAGAUUUGAAUAAGCAUUUACCUAAAUUUUAUCUCCGCCUGUAAAUUCUUAUGUUUUAAAAAUUAUGAGACCUUUAUAUUGGGAGAUAUUAUAAUCGAAUCAAAAUUUUGAAUUUCAAUAUUAUUAUUCUUUUAAAAAAAAUUUGAGAUAACAGAGUGAUUGAUAAUAGAGAACUUGUCUAGGCAAACACAUGCAUACACAAAAAUGUGAUGGAUUCAAAAAGAAAUUAAAGUGAUAAUGUACGUGGAUCCUUAAAACAAAAAGCGAAAUCGCUUGGUGGCCCAGUAAAAUUAAGACUGAAUAUUUUUUACACGAGAAGUGUAGCUCAUAAAUGGCAAAAGCCAUUUCAUUUCACUUUUACGCGUCAUUGACUUUUGUAACAUGGUGCAUGCAUCGUCAAGUGAGGCAAAAGGGUUUCGAUUACAGUGGGAAAACAUGAACAAGAAUGCAUAAUGAAUAAUUCCUUUGAUAAAGCGAAAAUUAAACACAGAAUAAUCCUAAAAUUUAAACUCUAAUAUCUUAUAAUUUAAUGAUUAAAAAUAAUCCUAAGAGUUCCCAAUUGAAACUUUCAGAGAUAAUAGAAAAUAGCUAUGCUUUAAAAGGCCAAAGAUUAGAGAACAAAGAAGAAUUAGGUAUUGAUAUAAAAAUUAUUAAUUUUUUUGAUUUCAAGCAAAAAUAGUUUCAUAUACCAUUUCGAUUUUGGUAGGGGUGAGGUUUUGAACUUCAAUAGUUUCCUCUAAAAUCAAAAGGUAGUAAUUAAGUUAGAAAGAGCAAAGAAGACUUAUCGGUACCUUAUUGAAGGUAAACAUUAUGGAACUUUCAAUGUCAUUACCCCACUGUUUAAUUUUUAUUGAGAUUUGUGCAAGCAUUUACCUAAAUCUUACCUCUGCCUGUAAAUUCAUAAGUUUUGAAAAUUAUGAGACCUUAUAUCGGGAGAUAUUAUAAUCGAACUAAAACUUAAAAUUUCUUUUCUUUUUUUUUUUUUUUAUCAUAAAAGGGCUCUUAAGAGAGCUAAGGCAACACUAAAUGGGAGUGUGCAACCCCAUGAACAUCAUUAAUCAAUAUGUUUAGCGUAUUUGGAGGAAUAGAUUGAAAGCAAUGUAAACCCAAAGGAAAAGAAAAGCUGUACGAAGUAAGGAAAUCUGCUGCUACAUUGGUUUCUUGGUAGAUAUGAUCCACUUUGAUCAGCCAAUCACGCCGAAGGAGUUCUUCGAUGGCCUGAAUGAGAGUAAAAUGCUCAUUGACGGGAGGGUUUGAGUUAGAGAUUAACUUCAUAACACACAUGCUGUCCACUUCCACGUAAAACUUAAAAUUUCAAUAUUAUUAUUCUUUAAAAAAAAAUUGAGAUAUCAGAGUAAUAUCACAUAGAAAAACUUGCCCACGGACGGUAAGCCAAAAGUCUAGUCAACCACAUGCAUAAAGCUAAGUAGAACAAGAGAACAGAGAAACGCGUGGGUCCCUAAAGAAAAGGCAAGCACAUAAAUGAAAAAGCCAUUACAUAUCUAUUAACACGGUGUGGCAGCAUAUGCACAAUCAAGUGAGGCAAAAGGGAUUCGAUUAUCGUGGCAGAACAUGGACGAGGACGCGUGAUGAAUAAUUCCUUCGUUAAAACCAAAAACAAACGCAGAGAAAACAAUUUCUUAUAUGACAAGAAAUCAAAGUAAUGUGAAGGAACAUGAUGAAGAAAUUGCAGACUGAUCAAUUAUCCCCAUGGACUCCUAUAAAUUCAACCAAAAUAACAAUUCGAAUCUUACCAAAUUCUUGAGUUAAAUUUAUUCAAUGCUUUUAUUUUUUUAGAAAAUUUUUUUCCAAUGCUACUUUUCCUUUUUUGGGGAAAUUAGAACCGCGGCAUGUAUAGAAAACAUUGAGGUGUAAAGCAACAUUAAUUUCAUGGGAUAUGCGUUAUACGCAUAAUAUAUUUUCAGUCCAAAUUCAACUAUACAAAGAGGCUUGAGAACUUAAAAUUAAGCACAAACUAAACAGACGAAGUAAAUACAUGAUUAUGCAACAUAACAUUAAUUCUCUCAAUUGAUAACUGUUUUUGCUACAUGAAUCUUGCACAGUUAAUCCUAAUUGAAGACUAAAAAAGAGCAAUUGGAAGAAGGUUUUGGAAUAGAAUGGUAUACAAUCGAUAUGAUCCUUUUCCAGUAGUCAACGCUAAUUAACUGCAGUUUCUAGACUCCUAAUUAUACUAGCCAUAGCAAACUAUUUAGAAAACUGGUGAUCAAAUUAGAUUUUGAAAGGAAAUAAUGUUCAUUUUCCCUUCGCUGCCUUUUCUUUUCUUUUCUUUUUAUAGCAAAGAAUUAUAUCAUGAAAAGAAUCAAUUUAAUCACCUUUUCCAGCAGCCCAAUUUUUCUUUUAUAAAAUUUGACCACGGAGACAAAGAAGAAUUAUUCAUAACUUCAUCACUAAGGAAAUACUUUUCGGUAUGGCUAGGGUGAGAAAAUGCUUUCCACUAACACUUGUACUUUGUAUUCUUGUAAAUUUUCUUUAAAGUCAAUAAAAACCAUAAGUUCUUUGCAAUAACCAUCUCUUUGAUCAAAAAGUGCCGUAUUCCUUUAGAAUUUAAAACCGGCAAAACCGAAUCAGUGUCUUUGAAGAGACAUAAUGGUCGUAAUUCUUUAAAUGAGUUGGCUAUGGAAAUCCUUAUCCAAGAUUCUUUUAUGCCAUAUUCUUUCGUAAACCAAAAUUCAUUUUGAAAUACUCUAUUGAAAAUGUCAAAUAAAACGGCAUUGAAGGAAGUUUUCAAAGGCAUAAUCCGCACUUGUCAAAGGGAUGAUCUGCACUUGUCAGAGACACGAUCCGCGUCGAACGAAUCGACACAUUUCCUUUCGUAUUCGCAUAUGUAAUCUUUGAAAAAAUGUAGCUUCCGCAUCUAUAAAUAACGCUCAGUGUAUAAUGUUUUAUUCAAGAAAAGAAAACAAAUUUCUUCAUACUCCUUGUCCGAACAUACAGAGACAGUCUCUCAUAACUUCAGCCGAAUACUUAUGAUGAUGAUCAUUUGUGAUUUCAUCAGGCAUAGGGUUGAUGGUGAAAAAUUUUGUAUGUGUGAAGAAUUGAGCUGUGGAUAUAGGGGACUUAAGUGUAAUCGAAAGAGAGUUAUUAGGCCAUAGUGCAGAUUGCAUUCAGUUUAUGGGUCGAUAUGCAAAUAAUUUGUUGACGUGGCGAAAUCUGUUAUGGUCGUUACUAUUGUUUCUGGAAAUUUUCUAGAAACCUCAGCAUAAAAGGGGCUUUUGCAUAGCCUCUGGUGUGCGUGUGAUUUCUCUUUCGUUUCCUCAUCAAAUUCUGUAAUUCUUGCUUUGAUAAAAAGCUUGUAAUCAUUUCUGUAAUGUGUGAUCAGUGCGUAAUCAUUUUGAGCAAUAAAAGCUUGUGGGUUUUUCCUUCAAACAGUGUCGUUUUGGUCAGUUUGUUAGUUUGAUCUGUUGGUGGAAUUUUCUUUGGUUAUUUGUUCUCAAAUUUCAACCGUAUAUAAAGUUUGAACUCUAAUGGCUUAUAAUGUAUUGAUUAAGAAUAAUCCUAAGAGUUCCCGAUUGAAAUUUUUAAUGACUAUUUUUAUUGUUUUGGAUAUACAAAUUGCAUUAAGAAAAAAUAUUGUCAAAUUCAGAGGAUAACGGGAAAUAAUUAUGCUUCAAAAGACCAGAGAUUAGAGAAUAAAGAAGCAUUCAUUACUGACAUACAAAAGAGAAACACUCCAAAAUUGCAAGCAAACUAGUUUCAUAUACUAUUUGGAUUUUGGAAGGGGUGAAGUUUUGAGCUUCAGUUGUUCCUCUAAAUAGCAAAGAAGACUUAUUGGUACCUUACUGAAGCUAACAUUGUGGCACGGUUGUUCAUAUGUAAUGGCUGCUCUGUUAUGGUAGCUUCUCUGUUUUUGCUCACAGUUUUGAACAUGAAUUCUUGCUCAAAUAACCCAUAAUUAAUUAACAUUAAAAUGGCUCGUGAAAUCCCAUAAUAGCUAAUUACGCAACUUUCUCCUCCUCCUCAAUUAUGUCUUCCCCUGCUCGUACAAUAAAUUCAAAAUUCAAUGCCCCGAAAAACAACACAAGAAAUCUUUGAGUUAGUUCGUGACCAGUUUAUAUAUAGUAGCAAUUGAAAAAAGAAAAAGAAGAAAAGAGUUAAUUAUUAUUCAGACCUUCACUUAUUAGGAAGUUUGUUCUGCUAUUGGGUGAGGUCAAGCUCUCAGCAUAUACUUCCACAUGAUACUUUCUAACAUUUUCUUGAAAGCCAUCAAUCAUAAAAUCUUCAUACUUUUUUCCAUCCUUUGGAUCAAUGAGUACAAAUUUCUCAUCUAAAACAGACAAAAUAAAAUCACUGUCCUUCAUGGAACAUAAUGGCUGCAAUGCCUGAACUGAAUUGGCUAAUGAAACAUAGUCUUCUUUUCUUUCUCGACAUGGAACAUAGUCUUCUUUUCUUUCUCGACACAUGUCUCUGUACUUUUCUCUCUCUACUGAUCCACACUUUUUCAUACUUCUAACUAUCAUUUUGUUUUUUUUUUUUGAGUUGUGAUUUAUUCAAUUAUUUUGUAUUUUUAAUGACAAUUAUUUAAUAUUUAGUUAGUGUUGAUAUUGAUUAGUGAUUGAAAGUGUAUUUUAGAAGACUUCCGGUCUCUUGAAAAAAGGAAAAAUGGAGAAGAAGAAGAAGUGUUCUUGAUUUUUUUGUAGGCAUUAAAGUUAAACGGUUUGAAAUGAUAUUUUGUUUUAAUUUCACUCAUUAAUCUCAUUCAGGAUAAAAUUAUAAAUGCAAAUAAAUGGGGUUUCAUAAGUAUUUUUAAUAGUGUUAAAAGGUCUACUAACUAAAUAAACAUGUUUUACCCAAACCAAUCCGAUUAAUAAGUUAUUGGGUUGGGUUGAUCAGGUUAAAAAUCAAAAUUAAAAAUUAAAUAAAUAAAUAAGGCAUAAAAACUAUAUGUUACUUGAAAAUAAAAAGAAUUUCUAAUAGUUAGUUCUAAUGUCCCAUAUCCAAAACAUGCAUAUUAAAUAAAUAUUAUAAGUUAGAAAUAAAAUAUCCAAGAAAUAAUGAAUGAAAUACCAUAUUUUUGUUGAGAAUUAAGAGUGUGAUUUUAAUUUUGAUAUUGGAGUCUAAAGCAAUAGAUAGUACAAUGAAAUCAUGAAUGCUACGUUUAAAUAAUCUCUUUUAUAAAAUAAUAAAAAGAGGUUAAAAAUUAGGUUAGCAUUUAGGGUUUAGCAGUUAAGGAUGAACAUAUUAUUAUUGUUGUUGUUGUUGUUAUUAUUAUUAUUAUUAUUAUUAUUAUUAUUUACAUAUUAAUUAAUCCAACCCAACUCAAUUAUUAACGAAUUUGAAAAAAAAUGACCAAAUUAAUCCACAAUAAUUCAUUCAACUCGUCUAAAUUAGAUUAGAUUGAAUUUGAUUUGCUACACCUACAUUGAGCAACAAACCUCAACGCGAUUCUAUGAGCUCUUUGAUUGUUUAUAAAAUUGAUUUAGAGUACAUAAUGGAGUGUAUCGACAAUGAAAGUGCAAAACAAAUUAUUGUAUACAUUAAAAUCUGCAAAACAAUGAAUUAUAUGUACGAACGAGUGCAAACACAUUUUUCAAUAAGAAGUUAAAAGAUAUUUAUGCAUGAAAAAGCAUACGUUUGUAGUUACUCUAAAUUUUUUAAAAAAAAUUUACAUUUAGAUCCCUAAAAUUUACGUAUAAGUACAAAAGUUUCAAAUAUUGUCUAUUAUUUUUUAACAUAUGCCUAUUCCUUGUGGAUAAUUCUGUCUCAUCACUAAUGUUGUUUCUUGCUUACAAAAAACAAAUGUCAUCUCCUUUUACAAUUUUUAUAGCGUCUCAAAAUAGACAAUGGGGGGAUUUUGAAUUUUUUAAGUCUCAAGAUAGUCUCUAAUCUUGUGAGAAAGAUUUUCUUUCAAUAAUUUGGAGGUAAAGAUAACAUAAUUUUUUGGAUAGUGUGCAUGUGUAUUUAAUUAAUAAUUUUUUAAAAAAAUACAUCAAAUAUUAAUAUCCAUGACAUAAUUUAGUUCUUAAUUUUUUUUAAAUACAUCAAAAACAUAAUUUUUUUUAACAACUUAUAGGCAUGACAAAUUUCAAGAUAUAAAUAUCAGUCAAAAUAAGUGAAAGAAAUAAUGGUGCCAAUUCUAAUUUCUUAACUAAAUUAAUUAGUGCAUGAGCCCCGAAUACGACACGAGAGUUUGAUGGGCUAACUUGGCACAAGAACGUGAAUAAAUAAUUGAUUUAAGAAAUAAUUCAACGAAAAAUAUAAUUGAUAAGAAUUCAGUAUUGAAAUGAGUUUUUUUGUGAAACACUGAAUUAAUGAUUAUUAAGCAAGAACAAUAAAAAAAUAAAUAUUAAUCAUUGAUAAGUUUCAACAAAAACUUAACACAAUCCUCAAUCCUCAUUCAAAUGAUAAAUGUCAUUCAUAUAUUCAUUAUAAAUCAACAACAAAGGUUAUAAAUGUUUAGAAAUUCUAGAGGGAAGGAAGCUAUCGCCGGACAAUCAACAACUAAAUUUGAUGUAAUUGUGGCACGAGAUGGAAUAUGGAAACUACACCAUAAUUUCAAAUGCCGCCAUAGACAUUGACUUAUCAUAAUAACAAUGAUCUAAUUAAAAUAAAAACAAAGUUUAUGGGCAUUUAUUAUUUUGCCAUUCCUCAUUUGCAAAUAGGGAUAUAAUUAUAAUUUUACCUAGUCAAAGCAAUCGGUAGUUUUCUUCAUUAUAGGAGUGAAGUAAAAACAUUUAGAUUUCAAUGUAUGUACGGAAAAAUUUGUCUUUAAAAAUACUUUCUUAAUGUGUGUAUGCAUAUUGAAAUACUCAAACCAAUUUUGGUUAUAUAUAAUUAAACAAAUUUUAAAAUAUGAAAAAUAUAAUGUAGUUAUAGUGGAUAAACAAUAAGUGAGCACAAUAUAAUUAAUCAAAUAUUAUGCCAUCAAAAGUUAAUUUUAGAAAUUCCAAAUCCAAUAGCCAACACAAUUCUUUUUUUUUUAAAAAAGUUGACACAAUUAAUAAAAUUAGCGACAUGAAUUUCACGCCAUUGAUAAUCAGCAAUUAGUAUUACUUUCUAAACUUGCUUCAACUGGUCGUUGAUGUCCGGGUCACCAAAAGUAUAAGCGAUAAUAAGGGGCAUUGGGCAAGAGUGAUGAAUGUUUAGUCGGUGCAUUUGAUUGAUAGAUAUAUAAAGGGCCGAAACUUGAGAUUAUAUUACUUUUACAAAUUUUAAUCCAAUCACAUAUUUACUGAAAACAAAAUGAGUUAGGAUACUUUAUUUAGAACCCACAUUUUAAUAAGGCUUCAUUUGAUGUAGUUUUUCAAACAGUGAUUAUUUGAGUAAAGUUUCCUCAAUAGAGUUUUUAUCAAAUAAAUUUUAUUUAUUUGGUUGUCGAUAAGAACUUUUAUUAAAAAUUAUAAAAUUAUUUAAAUAAACAUAUUUUUUAAAAUUACAUUAUAAAAAGAAUUAAAUAAAGUUAUAAAAGUAAAAUAUAUUUUAGAUAUUUUAAUAUUUAAGAAAAAAAUUUUGAAUCUCUACUUUCAGAAGCUCAAAUUUUUAGUUUUUAGUUGUAGAGACAAAAUAUCUUAUUUAAUCUUUAAAAGUUCUGCUAAAAACAAUCAAAUAACUAUAAAAUUUUUAAUAAGAGUAUAUAAAAUUAAAUAAGCAUUUAUUAAUAAUCACUUUAGUGUACUUAUCUAAUGACCAUAAGUGUUUAUUUAAUCUCAUAAGUUCUUAUUUAAUCUCAUGAGCUCUUUUCAAUUUUUUUUGUUGUUUGCUUUUUUUAGUAGAGUUUUUGAAAAUUAAAUAAACUAUUUUGUCUCUAUUAGGAAAAACUCAAAUUUUAGGUUUUUGUGAGUAAAUGUUUAAAUUUUUUUUAAAAUAUUAAAAUAUUAAAGUAAAAGUUGUAGAGACAAAAUAUCUUAUUUAAUGUUUAAAAGUUCUGCUAAAAAUAAUCAAAUAACUACAAAAAUUUUAAUAAGAGCAUAUAAAAUUAAAUAAGCAUUUAUUAAUAGUCACUUUAGUAUACUUAUCUAAUGACCAUAAGUGUUUAUUUAAUCUAAUGAGCUCUUUUUAAUUUUGUUUGUUUGUUUUUUUAGUAGAGUUUUUGAAAAUUAAAUAAACUAUUUUGUCUCUAUUAGGAAAAACUUAAAAUUUAGGUUUUUGUGAGUAAAUGUUUAAAUUUUUUUUAAAAUAUUAAAAUAUCUUUUCUUUAUUUCAUAAUCUUAUUUCAUUCUUCACAACAUAACUUUAAAUAACUCACCUAUUAAAAUAAUUUCACAAUUUAUAAUAAAAAUUUUAAUUGACAAUCAAAUAACAAAUUUUUUUUUAUAAAAACUCUAAUAAUAAAAAUUCUACUUAAAUAAAUUAUAUUUGAAAAGGUAUACCAAACGAACCUAACAUAAAAACAAAAAUUUUUACAUCCACACAAUUAAGCUUAAAACAAUUUCAAAUGAAUUUUAGACUACUCAAAGUACAAUACGUACCAAGUUUGGUAACUUAUUGGGGUCCGCUUGUAAUACAGCGUCUGUAUCUCAUACAGCCAAAUUUAAUAAUUUAUUAAGAAAAAGGGCAACCAUUAGAUAGAAGUAGAUACAUCCAACGGUUAAAAUGUUUGAUUACUCAUUUUGGCGACCGGAUAUGCCAGUUAUUAUUUCAUCAAUUAACUUACCUAAAAAAUCACAGCCGUUGGAUUGAGAUGCCUCUCUUUCCCUCAAAAUAACAGCCUUCGUAUUCUCUCUGCUAUUGUUUUCUCCUACAUCCAGAAUUUUGGAUGAAUGAACUUGGUAUUCAACAAUAUUCACCACCCAUCACAGCAAAGAGCAAAGAUGUAGUCAAAGGAGUGCCAUUUAUUCAGGCUAACUCGAUCUGUCACUCUCGCUUCAAUUCGUCACUCAUUUUCUCGCGCUCAGCUUCAAUCUAUCACUCUCAGCUUCAGUUCGUCACUCACAGCUUCAAUUUUUCACUGUCGUGAAUCAUCUCUCUUGCUGUAUCUCUCUCUUAUGUCUUCCAAUAAUUUCGGUGAGCUCUCUCUCUAAUUUAAUAUAUGAUUAAAAAUCUUAUCAUCUUAUCAUGUCAUUUAAAUAUGCUUGAAGUUUCAAUUUAGUUUAUGAAUAUUACUUGAAAUUUCAGUUUCAAUAAUUUGAUUUUGCAAUUGAGAAAUUAUUACUUGAAAUAUUGAGAUGAUUUCUAGGGAUUGAUAAUUGAAUGAUAAUUGCUAAGGCUUGUCAUUUUUUGUUUUUGAACAGAUAGAGUUACAAUUAAGUCAUACUGCAAUAUUUUAUCUUGAGAUUCUAUUAUUCACAAAAAGAAAAAAAUCAUAAAUUGAAAAAAAAAAAAAAGAGGUUACGAGCAUCAAGCAACUGCAAGUAAUGGGGUUUGUUUUGAUGAGCUGCGAAUUGGGGCCUGUCAUUUUCUUGAAGUAUCUUCAAUAUAAGUGGAAGGAGAUUUCUUCUCUCCAAAAAAUUAUUGUAUAUUUCCUUUUAAAUUCUAGAUUCGCAUGUAGCUGAUUUUUUAUGUUUGAAGGAUUUUAUUAAAGAAUGUGCUGCUGCUAGUGGCAUGAAUUAAUGUAGUCUCGCUAGUAUUCGUGAUUUGGGGUAAGGAUCGAAUUGAACAAUUAUAUUUCUAUUAUUCUUAUAUUCGAAUCCAGUGAUAUUGUGGUGGUUUUAUGAUAAUAUUCAAUUGUUUUGUGCCUCAAAUCAGCCAAUGAGUUGGGUAUGUGCUGGGUAUAUGCCGUAUGGGCUUGUUGUUGAAUUUGCUUGACCUUGGAUGUGAUUCUUGCCGUGUUUAUAAGAAAUAGACACAGGUCUUUGUGUGGUAAUAGAAUUGUCUAAGGUGCCUUACAAUAAAUUUAAGAGUCUUAAGUAACUAUGCUUUGUAACCUUAAACCUUUAUUUGUACGACUUGGUGUUCUUGGUUGUGAAAGAAUGUUAAAUGUUGACCUAUUUUCAUCGGUGAAGAUAAAUGAAGUUAGGGAAGGUUUGUAAUCACUAUAACCCUGACAAUUUUUUUGGUGGGCCGUGAUAAUUUUAUUCAUGGCAUGUACUUUGUUUUUAUCAGAAGGCCCUGUUUGCUUGUAGUCUCAAAUCUAGGGUAAUAUUUUAAAUAAGUUCUGCAAUAUAUGUUUUGCUAUUUUUCUUUUUUGUUUUUAUUUUAAUUAGUUUUAGUAUUACUUGGAGGGGAAUUCUGAUCUGCUGAAGUUUAUCAAGCUGGUGCAGUGGUGCAGCAAGCAGACCUUUAUCUUAAUCUUAUGAUUGUGCUAAGUGGAAUUUUGUGUAAGUUACAACAAUAUAAUUUUUUAAAGAGCUGACAAGACGCUCUCUCUUUUUUUUGGAAUGUUGAGCAAAACUUUUCUUUCUUAUUAGGUGUUUAUAAUAAUUCAUAGCAUGGGUUUUGUCAUAUUGGUUUCAAUGCAUUGAUUUGAUCUUGGUUACAACCCAUCAGCCCUUACUCCUCAUUCCCAGCAGCUUUUAAUGCCUUUUUUUUAAGCAUUGUACUUUGUUUCAUGAUGAAAUUUGUUUAUAUGACGCAAAGUUGAGGACACGGUAAUAGUCAUUAUUUUAAUUUAUGCAACAAAGAUCAUUAUCCAUUAAAUUUUAUGUUGUUGAAAUAUUUAGAUUUUGUAAAUUUUGUUGUAAGAAAUGAGGGCUCUUGAUCCCAUCCCUUUAUUAUAUACAAUUUUUUUUCACUCUGUCAUUCAUUUAUUGUGUGUUAGAGGUAUUAGUCAUGUGCAAAAGUAAAGAUCUUUAUUUUGUUAUUUUUGUCAUCUUGUGCUUCAUUGGUAUAAAUGAGGAAAAAAAAGAAUAAAAUAAAAUAAAAUUAUAGUUUGUGCAUGAAUUCCACCAUAUAUGAAAUGUUUAAUAGAUUAAAAAGUAAGGAGUACACAGUGACUUUGAAUAGCAGGUGGGGGAACUCAUUUUGUUUUAAAAAAAAUUAAUACAUAUUGAUAGAAUAAUUAUCCUUCACUUAAUUAUUUAAAAAUUUUAUUUUGGAAGAAUACAAAUGGACAGUCACCAAUGAAAGCGUAAACGACUACCAGGGGGCUUACAGAAAAAAUUGCUCCUAUUCUAAAAGUAGAUGGUCAGGACAAAGUUCCAACAACUUCAACUUAUGGAUUUGUCUCUUACUUGUAAGGUAAUCUCUUCUUGUAGGGUGUUUAAUUGAAUUAAAAACAGAAUAUUAUUUGCAUUAUAGAGUACAGGCAUAAAUUCAUUAUCUAUGUCAGUUCAUUCAUGAUUUUACUCCAAAUGGAGUAAUAGAUCACCAUUAAUUUAUUGAUACAUCGUCCAUGUUUGUUUUCGUCUUCAAUUUUUAUAUUACAAUAUCUAAUCUAUUUAGUAUUCGUAAAAAAACAUACGAGAAAAAGUUGGAAAAACACUUUAGGGGUGAUUGUGUACACUUUCGUAUGGCACAAAUAGCGUUAGGCUUUGUUUUUUAAGUGGACGACGUGUCCAUUUUUUGUGUUACAUCUUACUCAUUAAUAUAUUUUUGAGUUUCUUAUGGAAAAAAAAUUGAAAAAACACUUUAAGUGAAAAAAAUUUGUAUUUCAAUUUAUAUGUAACAGUGAAUUGGAAAAUAAAUUCUACCAAUAAUUAAAAGAAUACUUUUCUUUUAAUUAUUAAAAAGAUAAGGUAGUUACUCAUUACCCAUAUAAAUGGACAGUUUUAAUUUGUUCCAUAUCUAUACAACAGAAGAGCUUCAGACACGGUUUGCAGCGUUCCACGAUCACUUCCAUUCUAAGCAGCAGCGUCUUCCGUCUUUUUGCACACCAACAGCAGAUUCUAGAUGGCCAGAAGCUCAUCUGCCGCACUCUCGGGAUUUCGCUGCCAUCCUCAUCUUCAUCUCCACUACCUCCUCAGUGAUUAUCCCCUGGUUUUAUGCUCAGAAAUUAUGAUUAUUAUGUAUCUUGUUUUCAGAUUUGUCAAUACUUGUUAUAUUUUGAUUAUGCAUUAUGGACAUUUUUCAUAAGAUAGCUUAAUUUUGUGGUUUGUGUUGACGAUUUCCAUGUAUGGAUGUUUGGAUAGGUAAUUUCGCCUUCCAUGCAUUCUUCAUUCCUGCAUCCUGUGGGAGAAAAUUGGAAAAAGUGGUUUUUGAUGAGAAACGGGGAGAAGGAUGAGAUAUAUAUUUUUGAAGUGUCACAUUAUUUCAAAAACAAACCCCAAAUUUAAUUUCUCUUACCGAUCAUGAGUUAAAAUAUAAAAAUUAACGUUUACUCAUCACACUGUUAUAAGUAUCAAAGCAUUACUUAUAGAAAAAUUAUCGUCACCUAUCCUACAUUUGUGAUUGAAUAGUGGCACAAUUUUAAUUGGGAUAUUUAACAUUACUCUUUGUAAUUGUUUGGUCUUAUUUGAAGUUUGUAAAUUUUUCAUAACUAUGACUUCAACAGCAUAUUUCAGGUUGCAUUUAAUCGUUGCUAUAAUUAGGUACUUUGAAAUAAUUUAUUGGCCACGAUUACAGUCAUUGUUAUUAGUCACCCCUCUUUUUUCUCUUUUGGCCAACCAGCUCUUGGAUAUUUGGGAACCGAUGACAAUAGUUGGGAAAUUAUGUAAUAUUGGUGUGUUUGCGAAAUAAAUCAAGAGAUUUGCCUUGCCGAAGUUAAAAGAGAUAUUGUGGCCUGAAUUUUUUUUUUUUUUCUCUAGGGGCCAUGGCUCUCAAGGACAAGGCAUGAAUCAUGCAUUAUAAUUGCUCGAAAGGGUUAGUAAAAUAGCAAUCUAAAAUACCCAAGUUGGAUCUGCUGUUGAAUCACAAAAAGAACAUAAUUGGGAUAUGAAGUCAUGGUUGCAAGUGUUGGACCCUUAGGUUACGUUUGGCACGUAGGAUUGGAUUGAACUAAUUACUAAAAUUGGAUUGAAUUAUAUUCGAUUGGAUUAAACUGGAUUAUAUUAUAUAGUUCUAUGGUUAGUACAAUAUCGGAUUAAACUAUGUUAAAUUAUAUUUAAAUAAUAUUAAAUAGCAUUUAAGUUGGUAUUUUAAUAUUAAUAUCAAUUAUUCAUGAAAUUUCAUAAUCAUAAUUAAAAUAAAUUUAAAAAACAAUUACCAGGAAAAUUAAAUAUAUUGUAAAUAAGUUACUGGGUAGUCAUAAUACAGUAAACAAAUGAACAUAGAUAAAAAAAUUAAAUUUUAAAUAAUUUUUAUCAAAUUUUAAAAAAAAAUUAUAUAAAAUCAAUUAUUUAAUGGUAUUAUUAAUUUUCAUGAUUAUUUUUAAUAGUAUAUAACAAUGAUUAUUAAAUUUAAUACAAUCAAAUAAUGCAAUAAAUAAUUAAACAUUUAAUUUUAUCAAUAAAUUACUAAAUAUACAAGUGGUGAAAAUUUAAUCUCCAGAGUUAGUACAAGUAAAGGUAUUAAUUUAAUUAGAUCAUAGAUAAUAAAUAAAAAUAAGUUUUAAGUAAAUCAUAUUAAAAAUUAAUUAAUUAAUUAAUACUAGGUGUAAAUAAAAAAAAUGAUAUAAAUAAAAAUCUCAUAAAUGGACAACUUUUUUCUUUAAUCUUAUCCCAACUAAACCCAUGCGUAAAUUAGGAUUAUCAAUUCCAUGAUUUUAGGAUUAAAUUUAAAUUACUACCCCCUUAAUCCAAUCCAACUAAGCUUGCCAAACAUUGGAUAAAUAUUUAAUUCCAAAAUUAGUCUAAUCCCAUACUUAAUCCUAGAAUCCAAACAUGGCAUUAGCACCUUAUAUAACAAAGUGUCACUGAAAUACAGCAAAACGUUAUAAACAAGAACUUAUUUCUGUACAAAAUGUUAUUUACUUUUUGUGAACUUCCAAAUACCUACUAUAUGAUUUGCAAACCCUACAAAAGUCUACCUUGCAUGCUCUUUCUAACGUGAAAUUUGAUUUUUAUUAAAUUUUUGAUGUGUUCACUAAUAAAUAAUUGGAAUCUAAAAAAAUUAGAAAAAAAUAGAAUUAGAAUGAGCUACAAUAAAAAUGAGGAAUAACAAAAAAAAUGAUAUUUGUUGAGAUGAAUGAAACACAAUUGAAAUACUCUAUAUCGCUCUUAAUAUGUUCACUUUGUGAACAUAAAUUAGAAUUAGUUGUUAUAACUUAGUAAUUUAUCCUCAAUCAAUUAUUAUCAUUAUUACUAUUUGUUAUAAUAAUUGUAAUUAUUAUUUUUGAUAAUUUUAAUACUAAGAAAAUUAUUGUUAGGGGUGGAAACACCAUAUAGAGAAGGAACAAUUAAAUUUAUAAAAUUUAGUGGGGAUAAAAUAGUCACUUAAGACAGCAAGCGUCUCCCAUUCUCACCUCCACGAGCAUGAAAACACUAGUAAUCAUUCUUAAAUUUUGAUGGAAUCUGUUGCUUUUAUUCUAAUAACGAACGCAAAACCUAUGGAAUUAGUUGGAAUAACGAAUGCAAAACCUCUGGAAUUACAAUUGAAAUACGUCAACCCAAAAUGGAGAAAGCACAACUAAAAUUAGAGACCUACAAAACCAAAAAUAAACUUAUAGAAAACAAACCCGGUACCUAAUCUCAAUAAUUGGAAUCUCAACCAGUUAAUGGAAAUAUUCAACUCAAAAUUAGGGAAAAAUUAGAUGAAACACGUGAACCAUUGAGAGAGAAAGUAUGACGAAAAUUAGAAACUCAUUUAACGAAAAAUAAUAUUUACUUGGAAUCUAACCCAUGAUACUGGUACCUAAGGAACUUUAUAGGAAUAUGAAACGCAAAACCAGUGGACCAAUAAGUUGAAACAUGUGAACCAAAAAAUGAAAAACUAUAACCAAAUCUUGAGACUAAUCAAACCAAGCAAAAGUAAUAUUGAUAUUUAACCCAUAUAAUUGGAAUUUUACCAAAUUAGUUGGAAUAACGAAUGUAGAACUUGUGGAAUUACAAUUGAAAUACAUCAACAAAAAAUGGAGAAAGCACAACCAAAAUUAGAGACCUACAAAACCAAAAAUAAAUUUAUAGAAAAUAAAUUUGGUACCUAACCACAAUAAUUGGAAUCUCAACCAGUUAAUGAGAAUUCUCAACGCAAAACUAUAGGAAAAAUUAGCUGAAACACAUGAACCAUUAAGAGAGAAAUUAGAACGAAAACUUGGAACUUAUCCAACGAAGAAUGCUCGUGACUUGGAAUCUAACAACAAAUAUUGGUACUUGACUAAUUUAGUAGGAAUAUCAAAUGCAAAACUCAUUGACCAAUAAGUUGAAACAUGUAAACCAAAAGAUGAAAAAGUAUAACCAAAACCUGAGAAUAAUCAAACCAAGAAAAAGUAAUAUUGAUUUUUAACCCAUAUAAUUGGAAUUUUACCAACUUAAUUGGAAUAACGAAUGCAAAACCUGUGGAUUUACAAUUGAUAUACGUCAACCCAAAAUGGAGAAAGCACAACCAAAAUUAGGGACCUACAAAACCAAAAAUAAAGUUAUAGAAAACAAACCUGGUACCUAACCUCAGUAAUUGGAAUCACAACCAGUUAAUAGGAAUAUUCAAUGCAAAAUUGGGGAAAAAAUUAGAUGAAACACGUGAACCAUUAAGAGAGAAAGAACAACGAAAACUAGGAACUUAUCCAACAAAGAAUGAUAGUUACUUGGAAUCUAACAGUAAAUAUUGGUACUCGACGAAUUUAAUAGGAAUAUCAAACGCAAAAAUAGUGGACCAAUAAGUUGAAACAUGUGAACCUAUAGAUGGAAAAGAAUUACCAAAAUUUGUAACUAAUCAAACCAAAAAAAGUAAUAUAGAUAUCUAACCCAUAUAAUUGGAAUCUCGACAAAUUAGUUGAAAUAUUAAACAAAAAACUAGUGGAAUAAUAGUUGAAACACAUGAACCAAAUGUGGAGAAAGUUUAACCAAAUUUUGAAACUUAUCCAAUGAAGAAUGCUAGUUACGUGGAAUCUAACAACAAAUAUUGGUACUCGACGAAUUUAAUAGGAAUAUCAAACGCAAAAAUAGUGGACCAAUAAGUUGAAACAUGUGAACCUAUAGAUGGAAAAAUAUUACCAAAAUUUGGAACUAAUCAAACCAAAAAAAGUAAUAUCGAUAUCUAACCCAUAUAAUUGGAAUCUUGACAAAUUAGUUGAAAUAUUAAACGAAAAACUAGUAGAAUAAUAGUUGAAACACAUGAACCAAAUGUGGAGAAAGUUUAACCGAAUUUUGAAACUUAUCCAACGAAGAAUGCUAGUUAUUUGGAAUCUAACAACAAAUAUUGGUACUCGAUGAAUUUAGUAGGAAUAUCAAACGCAAAAAUAGUGGACCAAUAAGUUGAAACAUGUGAAUCUAUAGAUGGAAAAGCAUUACCAAAAUUUGGAACUAAUCAAACCAAAAAAAGUAAUAUCGAUAUCUAACCCAUAUAAUUGGAAUCUCGACAAAUUAGUUGAAAUAUUAAACUAAAAAUUAGUGGAAUAAUAGUUGAAACACAUGAACCAAAUAUGGAGAAAGUUUAACCAAAUUUUGAAACUUAUCCAACGGAGAAUGCUAGUUACUUGGAAUCUAACAAAAAAUAUUGGUACUCGACGAAUUUAGUAGGAAUAUCAAACGCAAAAAUAGUGGACCAAUAAGUUGAAACAUGUGAACCUAUUGAUGGAAAAGCAUUGCCAAAAUUUGGAACUAAUAAAACCAAAAAAAGUAAUAUCGAUAUCUAACCCAUAUAAUUGGAAUCUUGACAAAUUAGUUGAAAUAUUAAAUGAAAAACUAGUAGAAUAAUAGUUGAAACACAUGAACCAAAUGUGGAGAAAGUUUAACCGAAUUUUGAAACUUAUCUAACGAAAAAUAAAUUUAAUUGGAAUUUAACCCAAAAUAUUAGUGUUUAACGAGUUUAGUGGGAAUAUUAAACAUAAAACUAGUGGAUCGGAAAAUGGAGAUAAGCAAACCAAUUAGUGAGAAAGUUGAAUCAAAAUUAGGUAUAUGUGAAAUUAACUUGGAAUGUCACCUAAUAUAUUGAUAUUUAACCAAAAGAAUCGAGACAUGCUCAUUUUAAUUUUUUUAAACUUUUGUUGCAAUUAAAAAUAAUUUUUUCACUUAAAUAUUGUUUGUGUUAAAUAUUUACAAAAUUUCCUUAAUUUUUCCUGUUUCAUUUUAUUUUUUCUACAUUAAAAAUAAUUUUUUAAAAAUUAUUAAAUGAACAACCGGUAAAAUACCGGUUGUUCAAGUUUCCUUUUUACUGUUGAAGGGGCUGUAUUUUAUACAGCACUGUACUAUAGGAAGACUCAACUUAUUGACAUCUUCUCAUAUAACCUUCGAUCAAGUCGAUUCUGACCUGACGACUAAUUGGUACAUCACCGUUGUUCUCUAUACUCGCAUGCAUCGGAUCACAAAUCUCACUCCAAUUGUCGUCUUUCUUCGCCGUUUUAGCGCAUACUUCUUGAAUUUCCCGCAUUUCGUUCCCUCCUGUUACAAGUCUCCGGUCAGGUCAGUGAUUGAAUUUCCCGCAUCUCUAUCCCUCCCGUUUUCUCGCGUCGUUUCACUUCAAUUUCUCGUGUCUCCUUUCAGUUUAAGUGAUUGAAUCAAUUUUAUCGCAGUCAUAAGAGAAAUUAAGUAAUGCUCUUGGAUUUAAAAUUUUUUUGCUUUCGACUUUAGAUCUCGAAAGUCAAACUCUGCUACGAAUCCAUAGAUUCUCAAUGCUCAUAAUCUUAUUUGUGUUUGACCAGGUAACUGGAUCGUGAAAUUCGUCGUUUUGUAUCAAUUCAAGCUUUCGCGAGCUCAUGGAAUCACCUGGUGAGUUGUGGUGAAACGUUAUCGUUUCAAUUUUCGCUUAAUUCUUUAUUGCAUAUUUUUUUCUCUAAUGUUUCAGUUUAAUUUAGAAAAGAAAGAGGCCCCAAAAAGAGAGAGAGAGAGAGACUCUACCAUACUCAAUUCCUUGCUCAUUCUGAUUUGGCCUGAAUGUUGGCAUUGACUAUUAUUUGUUUUCAUUUCGAUUUAAUUCUCAUUUAGACAGUCUUUACUAACGGUCAAUAAUAGUUUAAGGAAAAUGAUCAUAGGGAUUCUGCAAUAAUCUUUCUGCAUUGUUCAAGUUAGUAGACAAUGAAUAGGAUGUUUAUGUUUACCUCAUUUUGAACCCUGAGGGCUUCGUUGAGUAGUUGAUUCAACAUAUCCAGCAACGGUUGAUGUGAGAACAGAAUGCCACUUAGAUAGGCUUAAACUGAUUUUGGAGGUUUGUAUUGGUUCUAUUGUACGUCUUGCUUACAAAUUUUUAAUUUUUAAUUUUGUAUAAUAUGCUCUUUGUUGGUAAAUCUCAUUUGACUUAGAAGAGAUAGUUUUAUCCCAACAGUGGGAUAAAUCAUUGAGAUGCAUGGCAGUGUGAAUAUAGUAGACAAAAUCAUUGAGACACAUGGUGGUGUGAACAUAGUAAACUUUGUCAAACACAGCUAAGAUAAACAAAUUGUUUCAUUAGCCUUUACCUUAUCUGCUGUGAUGAUUCAAAUUAAUGCUGUUUGGUAGGUUGCAAAAAACGAAAUGAGCUGUCUGUUCGUAUUAUUUAGUCAGAUCUAUUGCAAUAAGUUGAAGUUCAUUGUCACAUGGGUUGGGAGUAGCGUGGGCUGUGAGUAGUAGAAUGGAUUUAUGGAGUUGAUACAAGUGCCCAUAAUCUAUCAUGUCAUUCUAGGAUUAAAUGGAUUGCACAUUACUGUAAAGAUGGAGGUUAAAUUUAUAUAAUUCGGAUUGAUUGUAAAAUGGGAGGCAGAGAUGAGUUAGAAAAAGAAUGACCUGUGUCCUUUUUGAGCUGUUUCUAAAUCUCCCUGGUGUGCUUCAUGCUUAACACGUGUCUUUCCAAAUAAUUUUGCUUAACCUGUGCUUGUCUACUUCUUGUGCUAUUCUGUGCCUGGUCCUGAGCUGUGUUGGUAGAUUGACAUAAUUUUGCUCUGCUAAAUGUAUAACUUAUUAAUCAGAGUCCUGUUAUUAUGGUUUGACACUACUGACAUAUUGUGUUGGUAUUUAUUUGUACUUCCCUUGGUUGAAUUAUUUGCUGUCUCCAUGCAAUUCGAUAUGGUGCUACUUGGUUUUUGAUCAUCCAUGACGCUAUAUAUAUGUAAAGGAUGAAUUGAUUGUUUUGGCUUGUAUUCUCACAUUUUAUGAUUGAUCGAUGGAAAGGUUUUCAUGCAUUAAAUUCAACCUCACAAGCGUAAGAUUGACAGAUUGUGGGCAAAUUUUCAGGAAAAGAAACUAGACUUCAUGGAAGCAAUGAAGCUUGAAAUUGAACGUCUGCAGCUGAAUCUUUCUGCAGCUGAAAGGGAUAGAACUUUAUUGUCAAUUGGAACUGAUCCUGCCUCUAUAAAUCCAAAUGUAUUGCUUGAUGAAUCUUACAUGGGAAGACUGUGUCGAGUAGCAAACACUCUUGCAUUACUUGGCCAAGCUUCCCUAGAAGAGAAAAUUGUUGGUGCAAUUGGCCUUGAGAAUAGUGGUGAUAGUGUUUUAGACUUCUGGAAUAUUACUAGAAUCGGAGAGAGUUGUUCUGGUGGUGGGUGCGAGGUUUGUGCAGAAACUAAGGUGCCUGCUCUUGCUUCCUCAACUGCAACAUCUGUUGGAUCUUCACAAUCCCCUUUGUUGUGUUCUCAAUGUGAAAGAAAAGUUUGCAAAGUUUGUUGUGCAGGAAGAGGAGCUCUACUGUUUUCAAAUUAUAAAUCAAGGGAUGUGACCAACUACAAUGGCUUCUCAAGUCAGAGUGGAUCAAGCCAUGGAAGCCAAGUUGAUGUAGCUACCAGUCGUUCACUAACACUGGAUGGCGUUAUCUGUAAACACUGUUGCCAUGAGAUGGUGCUUGAUGCAUUGAUGUUGGACUAUGUUAGGGUCUUGAUUAGGUUGCGAAGAAGUUCCUGUGCAGACAACGCAGCAUACAAUGCUUUGAAUGAGGUUGUUGGAUCCUGCUUAAAGGAUAGUCUUUCUGAGAGGAUUCAGUCUUCCGAUAAUGCGCAAGCAGCUAAAGUCCUGCACCAAUUAUGUGGUGGACAGGAAGCACUUGCUGAAUUUCCAUUUGCUAGCUUUUUGCACUCGGUAUGUUCUUGGUUUGUAUUCAGUUCUCAUCAUAUUAUGUUUUCCUUUUAAAUUUCAUUUCUUGAUUAAAAUUUUUAGAAAUGUGUUUUAGCAUUUAUUCUUAUGAUAUAUGCCCGGAACAUUCAUCCCACUUAUCCAUGAGAAUCCUUGUCUGGUUUGAUUUUCAAUUGAGACAUUUUUGGGAACCCUGCGCAGGUUCCAUAUGCUAAUAAUCUUUGAGGUAAGGUGUUGUAGGAUGCCUUGAGAAGCUAAAAACCCAUUACAAGGAAAAGGUCUUGCAUUGUUUUGUGCAAUCUGUGUGCGAGCUAGUCAUGUCUCUAAUAAUUUCAUAGUUUGCUUGAUUGGAAUUUUUUAUCUUGAUAUGGAUUGUUUAUUCUAGAUUCCUUGGUGCCACUGUAGGUUGAAACAGCAAAAGAUUCAGCACCGAUUUUGUCACUGCUUGCUCCAUUAAAUUCUGGAUCAAGGCACUCAUAUUGGAGAGCUCCACCUAGUACUACUUCUGUUGAAUUUGUUAUUGUUCUCGGUUCUGUUUCUGAUGUCAGUGGGGUUAUCUUGCUUGUUAGUCCUUGCGGCUAUUCUGUGGCUGACACUCCGAUGGUAAGUGCCAUAUUUAUUCCCUUAUUUCCUUGUUGUUCAAUAAAUUUGGUGAUAAGCCAAGUGGCCUUAAUAAUGAAGCCCAGUACCAGGGUUGGUGGGUAAUAGAUAUUCAACUUGUGAAUAUUCCUAAGCAAACACUGAAUCAACAUAUACCUCGGCUAAAGUUCUCUAUGCUAUUAUAACAAAAGUCAUAUUUUGAAAUGAUUAAAAGAGUCCCUGUGUAGUGCCAUUUCCAAAGAAAUUGCAGCUGGGGGUUUAGUUUCAUGUAGGUUAGUUUCCGAUAAUAAACUUUCUAUUUCAUUAAUUGCUGAUGAAAAAACCAAGUAAGAACAGUUUUGUUGCUCGUCAUUUUUGUAUAUUUUGGUAAACUGUAAUUUUAAAUUCUCAACGAUCUUCCCUUUGUAGGUAAGAAGAUGGUCCACUCACUUGAUAUUUAUGAUUGUAGAUCAGGUUUCUAUUGGUUUGCCUUUAUCAUUUAGAACCCAUGUUUGAUAUUAACAGAGAUCACGUCAAUAAUAUCCUAUUUGGGUAGAUGUGGGUGAGGAUUUAAAAUCAAAUUUGAAAUUGAGGGGAAAGAAGAGAAAAGGAACCACAAUAAUUAAACAAAAUAAUAGGAACUAUUCUGAUGAGUUUUAAUCUCGAGAGGAACAAUUUUCAAAUGCACUGCUAGAGAAAUUGUAGCUUUUUGUCAUUAGUUAAAAGGAAAAAGAAUAAGAACUAUCCGGCCCUUUCCUUCAUGAAUGUGUGUUGAGGUUGCUGUAUUAUUUAGUCAGUAUUUGUAAUUUUCUUCCCUGCAGUGCUCUCUGCCUCCUGAAUUUGCUUCCUAUUGCUGUUACAGGUGCAAAUCUGGGCAAGCAAUAAGAUACACCAGGAGGAAAGGUCAUCAAUGGGAAAAUGGGAUGUCCAAUCCCUCAUCACAUCUUCUUCAGAUUUGUAUGGUCCAGAAAAGUCUGCUAGUGUUGAAAAAUUACCUAGGCAUGUAAAAUUUACUUUUAAGAAUCCUGUUAGGUGCCGCAUUAUUUGGAUCACAUUACGUCUUCAGAGACCUGGUUCGGCUUCAGUUAAUUUCGGGAAGGACCUCAGUCUUUUGUCUCUUGAUGAAGAUGAAAACCCCUUUGCACAAGUAGACAGACGUGCUUCAUUUGGAGGAGCAGUUGAAAAUGAACCAUGUAUUCAUGCCAAAAGAAUUCUUGUAGUCGGAAGCCCAGUAAAAAGGGAGGGGCUUACCACAUCACAGAGCUCUGAGCAGCUAAGUAUUAGAAACUGGUUGGAUAGAGCUCCACAAAUGAGUAGAUUCAAGGUAUUAGUUGCUUUCACUCUUUGUUCAUUCAUAAUUCCAGCUUUCUGCUUCACUGAUAAACCUCUUUUUUCUCUUCAGGUCCCAAUUGAGGCCGAGAGAUUGAUGGACUACGAUCUCGUCUUGGAACAGUAUCUACCUCCAGCGUCACCUUCGCUUGCCGGAUUCUGUCUAGACGCUUUCAGUGCAAUAAAACCUAGGGUUACCCAUUCACCUUCCUCAGAUUCAGAUAUCUGGGACAAAUCAGUAACAUUUUUAGAAGACAGGUACAUCUCUCAAGCUGUAUUGUAUUUACAAGUAUCCGCACUCCAGGAACCACAUAACAUGGUAACUAUUGCGGAAUAUCGACUGCCGGAGGCUAGAGCCGGAACGCCAAUGUACUUUGAAUUCCCACGACCGAUACAGUCCCGACGAGUUUCAUUCAAGCUUCUUGGAGAUGUUACAGCAUUUGCAGAUGAACCUUCAGAACAAGAUGAUUCAGGAUUGAGAGCUCCACUUGUGGCCACAGGUUUGUCUUUGUCAAACAGAAUCAAGUUAUAUUAUUAUUGUGAUCCUUAUGAGCUUGGAAAAUGGGCAAGCCUUUCUGGAGUUUGAUCGUUAUUUAUAUGUCAGAGAAAGAGUUUUGGGUUUGAUUUUGAUUUUGAUUUGUAAUUUUUGUCAGUUUAUUGAAAUUUUUUUGUUGUAUAAAAGCAGAAUGUAAAGGUAUAAAAAUUCAUUGAUGCUGCAAUGUCUGUGCUUUUGAGAAAGAAGAAUUCAAUGUCUUUUCUAUGCCAUUGGAUUUUCCCACUGCUUGUAAACUUGGGCUGUCGAGUGCUCUGUGAACCUUAAGGGCUAUAAAGUAAUUUUUUAGACUGAAGGAUUUAUUAAUCGAGUUCAAAAGAUUGCAAGUUGGUGAGCGUUGGCAUUUAAAAAUCAAUUGUUAUUCUCUCAAUAAUCUCUCUCUUCUGCCGACACCCCAAGCUCAGAAACCCAUUGUUCCGACGGACGUGUAACACUUCCAGAAAUUAGCCUUUUCUUCUAUAUGAAGGUUGAUCUCUCCUCGUGAAGUGAAGGUGGUUUUCCAAUUACAUACGUCGGGGGUCUUAUGAUAUCUAAUGUGUGAAAUUUCUUUCUCAUUUUACCAUAAAGAAAAGUUCUGUAAUGAUCUAAAGUUGGGAGUCUUAAAUUAUCUUAAAUUUAUAUUUAGAGUGGAGUUAUUGGCACCCUACAUUAUUCUUACAAAAUUCUAUUUUAAAUAAAAUUAUAAUUAAAGACAAUUGAAAAUUAUAGAUUUUUUUACAGCAAAUUACUUAAGUCAUAAUUAAUCCUUAAAAAAAAAUCUAUAUGUUACUUCUUAUUUAAUUAAAAUAAAUUGUACAAAUUUAAAAUAAUUUAUUGUUUUCUUUUGAUUUUUUAUUGAUUAAAUAUUUUUAUACUUAAAAUUACUUUGAAAUUAUAAUUUAAAAUAUGUGUUAUAUGCAAUAGUUCGAUUUACCGAACCACAAAGGGAGCCAAUGUGGUUUUGCCAAAAUCACAUACUGUAGCAUAAUAACAGAUAUUAUUAUUGUAUAAUAGAUGGGUUUAGAAAAAUUGAAGAACCAAGUAAGUUAUUUGAAAAAUGUCGAUUCUCGUACCAAACCCAUGUUUUAUGCCAAUUGUUUUUGGAUUGGAGUGCAGGCAUUAACAAUGAUGGAGAUGGAGGAACUGUAGCAUUAGUCAUAUGAAGAGUACGUGUCAGGUUUGAUUUUCAUGUGAUUUGGUUAGUGACGACGAAAACGACGACGUCGUAGUUGAAAAGCGUUUGAAUUAAUGUUGCGUUAAAAAAAAAAUUUAACUUGUUCCACUAAUUAAGUCAACAUUACUGAUGUCUUAUCACCCUCGGCCAACUUAACAAUUGGUGUCCUUUGGACAAUUAAAUAUGAUUUAUUCAAAAAAAAUAAAACUAUUAAAUAUUAAAAAUUAGGUCCAUUAAUAAUAAUAAUAAUAAUACUAAGAAUUAAGAAGAUCUAAUUACAUAUCAAAAUGACUCAAACAAAUUAAUUAAUUUCAUAUUAGCUAGCCAAGUAGGUUGUCCAUCCCACUCAGACAUGCACGAAAGCUAAAUUCAUCAAAUGAAUUACUUAAGGAGUAUUUGAUAAUUUUGAAAUUAUAAUUUCAAAUUAAAAUAGUAGUAGCAAAAUCGUAGUGCACAUUCAAUUAACCAACUAAUAGUCUAAGAAGCAAAGAGAGGAUUACAAGUUCACAACACCAUUAAAAAGGAUUCAAAAUUCCCACACGAAAACAUCAAUGUACAGAUUAUAAACAAUCCGAAUUGGACACAAGAAAAAACCCUUCAAUGGAUUGCUUGCCUUCCCAAUGCUAUAUACUGUGCAAACUGCGCACUGGCCAAGAAAAUAUUUUCAAUUUAGUGUAUUUUCAAAAUGCUUAUUUUCUCAGAAUAUAAAAAAAAAAAAAACAAAAAAAGAAUUCUUACAUGUUUCAUCAGCAUGAUUAAAAUCAAAGAAGAAAGCGAAGACAUAAUGUCUCUGACAUAAUAAAAUUACAAUUUCAUGCAGCAGAGAUUGAAGAGUUGAAUUCCACUUAUAGACACCGACCUCUUGUUUUGUCUAAUGUUAAUAACGAAAACAACAACAGAGGAUUAACUGAUGCUUUGACUUAUUAUCAGGUUGCAAUGAAUUAUUAACUGAUGCUUUGACUUAUUAGUUCUGCUGCUAAGUUAAAUAAAAUAAGGUAUUUUCAAAAGCAAAAUGGAAUACAUAGAUAAAACAUCAUCUUAAACAAAUCAUAAUCUAGAAUUGGAGACAUACCCAAGGAGAAAGAAUACGUGAAAAUGGGUGAUUCAUUUGUUAAGGAGUGUUGAUUUGGUCGUCUCUGCAAAUUCUUUAGGGACUCGGUUCCAGUUCCUCUUCAUCAAAACUGUAAUAUAAUUCCCCUUCAUCAGAACUCGAAUCGAUGCAAUAAAAUUCCCCUUCAUCAGAACUCGAAUCAAAUUCACUUGCAGCAGUUCCACUCGCGCUUGGCAAAUCAUCCAAUUUCCAAACUUCGGUAGCAAAAUUGAGAGUAAAAGUGUUGGCUUUGGUCUCUCUGGGAUUUGCAUAUACUGGACAUACUCCGCAACGUUUUAGCUUAGUGAAGAACUUAAAUGAGGCAGUUGUAUGAUGGUAACCAUCAGGAAACCCAACAUUCAAGCAAGGUUUAAAACCAAGUAUGACAUGAUCUGAAUCAAGGGAGCCAGUGCACACCAUGAAACCCAGAUCAACAUGUUUGGUUUCAGAGAGAGUCUUUAUUUCUAAGUCGAGUUGAAAGCGGACGUAAAUAUUGCAGCAAUAACAAGAAUGAAGGUGCUUAAAAUCAAGAACAGCACAAAAAGCAAACCCGAUUAAGUUUCUGCAAGAAGACUGCGGUGGCAGUUGAAUACAUAUCGAAGAUCCUGAACUUUGAUUGCUGAACCAGUCAGGAAUUUCGCUUCCAGGUAAAACAAUUAGGGAUCCCCUCAGUUCAGAAAGUUUCUGUGAAAUGACAUUUAAAAAAAAAAAUUGUAAAAUGAAAACCAUGAUUUCAGAUAUAACAAAGAGGGACAGAGUAAACAAGAGAGGGAAUUUGAUACCUCGUUGAUUGCCUUUUCAUAGCCCAGUCUCAGUGAUGCAAUUGCCACAUGCCGAAUUCUUAGUUGUGAAUCUGCCAAAAUCUUGUUGUUUGCUUUUCCAUUCAGUUUCAAGCAGUUAGUAAACCCAAAAUAAAUUGGUUGUGACUCCAGAAGUCCGGUUGCCCAUUGACGAAGGUCAGGAGAGGGUUUCGAUAGCUUUUCUAGUACGGAUGCAUCUAGUUCUUGCAGACAUGACGGAAUCUCUGGCAAAGAUUGAAGCCGGUUGCAGUUCGUUGCAUCUAGUUCUUGUAGACACAAUGGAAGUUCUGGUAAUGACCGAAGCAUGUUACAACCCGUCAAGUGAAGAUAUUUUAGACACAAUGGAAGUGCUGGUAAUGACUGAAGCAUGUUACAACGCCUCAAGUCAAGAGAACACAGCCGCGACAGUUGCUUGAUACUUGCAGGUAAACUCUCAAAGUUAUUUCCACGUAGAUCCAAGCUUUUCAGUGAGGAUAGAUAGGCAAUCUCUUGUGGAAUUUCCAUUACAGCACAGUUCAUUAUGUAUAGAAGUCCCAAAGAAGAUAAACCUAAUAAUAAUGAUCGAGGCAAUGAUACCAAACCUUUGCAGCGAGAGAAAUCAAGAAUUAAAAGUGCGUUUGAAUCUGCAACAGAGGAUGGUAGUUGACUAAUAGCUGAUCCAGCUGCUGAGAUGUGACGCAAAGAUUCUAAAUUGCCAAUGUUAUCCGGCAACUUAUCAAGUUUAGAGCAAUCACUUACGAACAAUUCUUCAAGCCCCGGUAGAUUUUCAAAUGACGAUGGCAGCUCUGUAAUUGCCGUCCCGUCUAAAUUGAUGCGUUUUAAAUGUUCCAUUUUCUCCAAGAUUUCUGGGAAGCGCUCAAGGUUCAAGCAGCCAUUAACAAAAAGAUCAACCAAAGAUCUCAAUUUACAAAACCUAGUUGAAAUCCUCUUCAGCCGUUUGCAAUCCCUCAAAUCCAACACUUCAAGAUCAGUUAGGCACUCUAUUGAUGAUGGAACUUCUUCUAUUGCAGACUGGUCUAAGUAUAGCCGUGUAAUUUUCCCAGAAAUCUGUGGAAACUCUAUGAGAGUAACACAAUAGGAGAAAUUAAUAGUUACUGGACAAACAAAAUGAAGAUUGCUUGGAAAAGACCUAAGACUUUUGCAGCCCUCAAAAGACAGCGCACUGAGAUACUUGAAAUUCUGGAUAGAUGAGGGAACACAAGCCUUUUCUCCUUCCCAAGGUUGCUCAACUUUACUAAAACGCAAAUUCAGUUCAACAAGGUUCUUUGGCUUGAAAUUUGAUGGCAGUAUCCUUAAUGGAUAUGUGUCCCAAUGAAGAUAUCUCAAUUUUUCAGGAAGAUAUUCUAGGCCAUUUGGAAGCUGCACUUCAGAGUAUGAAAGUUGCUCUUCAAUGCUCAUACUUAGAAACCUUUCAAUCUCAUAAAACUUACUUGGAAACCUUUCAAUCUCAUAAAACUUAGGUACAUAAAAUUUGAGCAAUCUCAGAUUAGACAUAUUUGUGAAGGCUCCGGGGUCUAAAUUGAUGCAUUUUAUUUUGGACAAAUCCAGAAAUAUGCCUUCAAUUGCAUCGGUCCCCUUAUAAAAAAAAAAAAACAAAGAAUGAGUAAGCCAAAAAUAAAAAAGCAACAUGCGUAAACUUUAUUAACUAAGAGCUCCUUAAACAAAAACAAAUUCUGCAAUCUUUGAUUUUAUUUUUUUAAUAUAUUAAAUAUCUAUAUGCGAGAAAAGAAAAUUUUGGGGACCAUUGCAAAAUUAAACUAACCGAAAAAAAAUUCAAAAUUUCUCUAAUUUACAAUCCUAUUAUCUUAAUAUCUAGAAGUUGAGAAGAGAGUGCCUAUUUGAUUGGUAUAAGAUUUCGAAAUUUUUUUUUUUUAGUCGAUAGAAUCCAAAAUGUUAGUUCAAAAUUAGGGAAAAAAAUAAAAGUCAUUUUUUUUCCACUAGUUAAAACUGUAUCCAAGUCAAAUUAAGAUACGACCCUUUUUAAAAAGAUUUAACCAUCUUACAGCCUCCUUAAGGUACAUUUAAGCUAAAAGGAGUAAUUUGAGGCAGAACUAGGUGGUCCAAUCAGUCCAUUUUAUUAGUGUCUGUUGCUUAAAAAAUUUAUACUCUAAAACACACUUUUUUGGAAAAAAAAAUAUAAUUACAUUGAAGUAGAAUCAGGUGGGCCAAUCCUCAUGGCACUCACUUUAUUUUGACACUCUUCACUAAAUUUGAAGAAAAAUAAAAUUAUACUCUUCACACUCUUAUUCAACAUUCCAAAAUUGAUAAAAUCUGGAGUUUUCUUUAAAAAUUUAAAAUUUGAAGACUUGUUCUCUUGACACCCUCAGUCAUUAAUUUUACCUAAUUAUGGUUUUUAUGAUUUUGGUUGUUUUGUUCAUAAAAAUGAUUUUACUAAAGGAUGCUCUGGUAAUAAUAAAAUUUAUAAAAAAAAAUGGGUGUGCUGGUAUGAUUGGAAAAAUAUGAGUGCAUAACUCCAAACAAAUAAAAGAUAUAUAAAAUAAAUGGAGGAUUCUUACCUUUUUAUGCUUGAGUACGCGGCGGAUUUCCUUAGGAUCCCACAACCUGCUGCGUUUGCCAGGCUCUUUCUCAGAUUCUUGGCGAACAAUCUGUCGCCCCAUUUCUUGCAAUAAAUCAUGCAUUUGCAAGCAAUUACCUGAUAUUGAUAUGAGUGACUUAUCAAUAAGGACAUCCAGUCCAUCAGACUCAGAAUCAUCAAGAAUCCUUGCCACAAAAUCUUUAUCCUCUCCCUCAAAGAAACACGCAAUAUCUAGAAACAAACUCUUCACCCUAGGAAUUAAUUCAUUAAAACUAAUCUUUAAUAUUUCAUAAAUAUUAUGAAUAUCAGAUUCACAAAUCCGAUUUAAGUCGUGCAAUACAUUUUCCCAAUGGCUUUUCCUCUUGAGGCACAGGGAGGAACCCAACACUUUAAGAACUAAGGGAUUGCCUUUGGCAUACUCUACAACCCUCCGUGAGUGCCAGUUGAGAUUUGUAGGACAAUGAUUUUCUUUAAAAGCGAAGUUACAAAAAUGCUCGAAAGCCUCUUCAAAUUCCAAUCCAUUAACCCUAUGUAUUUUCUUCUCCUCCCCUCUAAAUUUUUCGAGGACUCCUUUAUCCCUGGUGGUUACAACAAUUCUACUUCCUGGACCAAAUUGAUCAAGCUCUCCAAUCAGACCCUCUAAUUGUCCAACUUCAUUCACAUCAUCGAGUACUAUCAACACCUUCAUACGCCAGACCCUCUCUUUAGUAAAAUGUGGAAUAUUGGCACCAGCUACUUCAAGUUUUUCGCUUAAUAUUGUGGAAAGCAUUUCCUUUUGGAGAUGUUCUAAUCCACCUCCUGUUUCAGAAUUUCUCCUAACAUCUGACAUAAAGCAGCUACCAUCAAACUCACCAGUGAAUUGAUCGAAAAUAGCUUCAGCAAGGGUGGUUUUGCCUAUACCGCCCAUGCCCCAAAUUCCAACAAUUUGGACAGUAUCCGACAAAUCCAUACACAAAAAUGGUUUAAUCUGCUCAAUUCGUGAAUUUAAUCCAACUAGGCCAUUGGAUGAGUCCGUUGCGACUGUUAUUUUUUCCAAAUUCUUCAAAACAUCUUCGACAAUUUUGUUUACAAGUUCCGCAUCGUGCCUAAUAUAAAGGUGCAAAGAUGCAAAAACAUUGAGUCAAAUCGGGCCAAGACAGAAACAGAGAUAAGAUGAAUUAGGAAAGAGAGUUACCUGAAUUUCGUGGAUUCGUGGCCAGCAAGACCGGAUGUUUCUCUCAGUGCAUCCCUCCACCUCUGAACCAUUUCUGGCUUCUCUUCGAAGUGUUGUUUCAGCUGAUCAAAACCGUGCUUAAAAAUUCCAGUUUGAUGCCGCACAUCGGAUGGACUUACUCCAUAGAAAACCGGAAUAAUGAUUUGGCGGUUUGUGUGCUUGCAUUCAAGAAUCUUGACAAGUUCAUUCAGGCACCAUUUUGAAGAACCGUAGUCCUUUGAGAAAAUGACCACCGAAAUUUUUGAACCUUGGAUUGCGUUCAAAAGGGCAUCUGAAAUCUCAUCUCCUCGCCUAAGCUUUUCAUCAUCCAUAAAUGUUUUGAUUUUCUUUUUGUCAUACAAAUCAUCAUAGAGAUGGCAAGUAAAGAUCCUACGAGUGUCCUCCCCUCUAAAAUUGAGGAAGACUUCAUAAAUGCAAGAAGAAGAAGAAGAAGAAGAAGCAGCCAUGAAGGAAAUUUUAGAAAAUUGGUGACAGAAACAGAGAAUUAAUCUUGAGAGUUGAGAGAGGAGAUGUAAGAAUGAACAUGUGUGAAGAUUCUUGCAAGCACACAGAAAAUAAUUGAAUGGCUGGAGCUUUCUUAGUUUCCUGGAAAUUUCCUGGAGCUUUCAUAUACAUGAUUUGUCAAGUCAAGAAACAUAAUCAUGAUAAUGGGGCAGACCAGGAAGAAAAGAAAACUUGAUUCAACCAAUAAAGGAAGGAAAAGCAAAGAAAGAAAAUUUGAAAGUAGAUUCAGAGAAUUAUAAAAAGCUAAAGGAAAUUGGAAUUUUGUACAAUUUCUCCAGCGAAAAUUAAGCAUAGAAUAAUCCUAAAAUUUAAACUCUAAUAUCUUAUAAUGUAUUGAUUAAAAAUAAUCCUAAGAGUUCCCAAUUGAAACUUUCAUAAGUAUUUUAAUUGUUUUGGAUAAACAAAUUGUACUAGGAUAAAAAUUUGGCAAAUUCAGAGGAUAAUGGAAAAUAGUUAUGCUUCAAUAGGCCAAAGAUUAGAGAACAAACAAGAAUUAGUUAUUGAUACACAAAAGAGAAACACUCCAAAAUUUCAAGCAAAAAUAGUUUCAUAUACCAUUUCGAUUUUGGAAGGGGUGAGGUUUUGAACUUCAAUAGUUUCCUCUAAAAUUAAAAGGCAGCAAUUAAACUAGAAAGAGCAAUGAAGACUUAUUGGUACUUUAUUGAAGGUAAACAUUAUGAAACUUUCAAUGUCAUUACCUCAUUGUUCAAUUUUUAUUGAGAUUUGUGUAAGCAUUUAGCUAAAUCUUACCUCCGCCUUUAAAUUCAUUAGUUUUGAUUAAUUAUGAGACCUGGGAGAUAUUAUAAUCGAACUAAAACUUAAAAUUUCAAUAUCAUUAUUCUUUAAAAAGAAAUUGAGAUUUCAGAGUAAUAUCACAUAGAAAAACUUGCCCACGGACGGUAAGCCAAAAGUCUAGUCAACCACACGCAUAAAGCUAACUAGAACAAGAGAACAGAGAAACGCGUGGGUCCCUAAAAGAAAAGGCGUGGGUCCCAAAAGUCUAGUCAACCAUACCGAUGAAAAUCACUGAUUAAGAAUAAUAUAUUAUGUGGUUGAAGAUUUCUUUUUAUCAAUCUUCUUUCUACCCAUUAAUUUUCCCACGACUUUCCGGUUUCAUUUCUUGAAUCUCCAUGGAUUAACUUUCAAUAAACCAUAAAAUAAACUAAGGAAUCAUUUUCUCGAACACAGCUAUGAUUUUAAUAAAUGGGCGGACCAUCUAGAAUAGUAUAUAUAAUUCUGUUUAAUUAAUAAGUUGAAAAAACCAUAAAGAGAAAUUCUAAUAUUAUGAGCUUGACACGAAUUCUUCACUAAUUCCAAAACAAGGAGCUGUUUUAUAAGAACUGUGGUUGGAUUAUUAAGUUUUACAAUUUGAAUAUAAAUAAGAAAAUAAAAUCAGUCGCGUCGAUGUUUUCGAUACAUUUCGAUGCUAACUUAAUUAAUUACUUUACUUCAACUUUAUUUCCUGACGGACACUAUAUGGUGGGUCCAAGAUGGGACCUACAAUAAUCAAUCCUAGAAUUUAGUAUGGUUACCAAAUAGCUAGUGUUAUUUUGUGUUUGGUGGAAGAGAUUGAAUAUUUAGUUUUAACAUAACCAUUCAACUAAUUAGAAAAUAAAUAAAGUUAAAUGAAAUGUUUAGAUAUCAAUUUAAAUAUUAAUAUCCGGGAUAUAAAUUAGUUAUAAUAUAGUUCAUUACAUAAAAUUGAUUAAAUUAAUAAUUACACAUGAACAUAGAUGUAUAUGCUUUCCAAUUUCCAAAGUGCUCAAAGCACUUUUCUCACCAAACUUUCCUCUGAAUUUCCCGUAGCUGACUCCAUUGUUUGCGUUUUGUGAAAUUUCUAGGAACUUUUUCUAUUUAGAAUAUUGUACAUUUUUCUUUUCAGCUGAGAUUAAUUUAACUUAUAGAAAAUCUUAUCCUUUUUUUAAUAUUAUUUAAAUAAAAUUUGUCUAUCUUUCAUUUUAUCAGUCUACUUUUUACCCAUUAAUUAAGACUUUUCGAUUUCUUUUUUUCCUGAGGUUUUCAGUGACUAUCUUUCAAUAAACCAUAAAAAUUAAUGAGUCAUUUAUCGAACAAUUAGAUGACCAUAUUUCAAAAUAUCAACUAGAAGUUGCCCUGAAAUAUUUAAUUAAUAGUUGAAGAAUUGUGAUUAGUGUGGGCAUCUACAUAAAAAUUAUAUUAAAACACCGCUAAAAGAUAAAAAUAAAAUAAAAUAGUACAAACAUACACCCAUAGGUUAAAACAAAGAAAAAACACGAACCAAUACACUAAAAUGUUUUAGCUGUAGUUAGUUUUCAGUUUCAUUACUUAAGUCCCACGUGCAUGUCACGUGACUGAGGUCAAAAAAUGAUUGUCAGAUUAAAGUUCAAAGUACGGAGCAGGGUAAUUAAGGAGUGGAGCUAUUGGCACCCCUCCAUUAUUCUUACAAAACCCCACUUUAAAUCAAAUUAUAAUUAAGAAUAAUUGAAAAUUAAACACUUAUAGAUUUCUUUACAACAUGUUUAGUGAUAAAAAAGCACCAGUCGGGCAUGUCCCCAUUUCUUACCCGGGGCCGAAUCUCCUCGGCCGAAUGGUAUGAGUAGACUCUUGGUGAUGUGUUCUAUGUGGAGCACGUAAAACAGACCAGGAACUAGUACCAACCAGAAACGAGUACUGAUCAGAAACAAGCAUGACCAGAAACGCAUACCGACUAGAGACUUGUGGGUCCCUAAAAGAAAAGGCAAGCACAUAAACGAAAAAGCCAUUACAUUUCUAUUUUACAUGUCAUUCCUAAUUUUUGUAACACGGUGUGGCAGCAUAUGCACAAUCAAAUGAGGCAAAAGGGAUUCGACUAUCGUGGCAGAACAUGGACGAGGAUGCGUGAUGAAUAAUUCCUUCGAUAAAACGAAAAACAAAUGCAGAGAAAAGAAUUUCUUAUAUGACAAGAAAUUAAAGUAAUGUGACGGAACAUGAUGAAGAAAUUGCAGAUCGAUCAAUUAUCCCCAUGGACUCCUAUAAAUUCAACCAAAAUAACAAUUCCAAUAUUACCAAAUUCUUGAGUUAAAUUUAUUCAAUGCUUUUUUUUUUUAGAGAAAUUUUUUCCAAUGCUACUUUCCCUUUUUUGGGGAAAUUAGAACUGCGGCAUGUAUAGAAGACAUUGAGGUAUAAAGCAACAUUAAUUUCAUGGGUUAUGCGUUAUACGCAUAAUAUAUUGUCAGUCCAAAUUCAACUAUACAAAGAGGCUUGAGAACUUAAAAUUAAGCACAAACUAAACAGACGAAGUAAAUACAUGAUUAUGCAACAUAACAUUAAUUCUCUUAAUUUAUAACUGUUUUUGCCACAUGAAUCUUGCACAGUUAAUCCUAAUUGAAGACUAAAAAAGAACAAUUGGAACAAGGUUUUGAAAUAGAAUGAUAUACAAUCGAUAUGAUCCAUUUCCAGUCGUCAACGCUAAUUAACUGCAGUUUCUAGACUCCUAAUUAUACUAGCCAUAAGAAACUGUUUAGAAAACUGGUGAUCAGAUUAGAUUUUGAAAAGAAAUAAUUUUCAUUUUCCCUUCGCUACCUUUUUUUUUUAAUUAUUUUUAUACCAAAGAAUUCUAUCAUGAAAAGAAUCAAUUUAAUCACCUUUUCCAGCAGCACAAUUUUUCUUUUAUAAAAUUUGACCACAGAGACAAAGAAGAAUUAUUCAUACCUUCAUCAGUAAGGAAAUACUUUUCAUUAUGGCUAGGGUGAGAAAAGGCUUUCCACAACACUUGUACUUUGUAUUCCUGUAAAUUUUCUUUAAAGUCAAUAAAAACCAUAAGUUCUUUACAAUAACCAUCUCUUUGAUAAAAAAGUGCCGUAUUCCUUUAGAAUUUAAAACCGGAAAAAUUGAAUCAGUGUCUUUGAAGAGACAUAAUGGUCGUAAUUCUUUAAAUGAGUUGGCUAUGGAAAUCCUUAUCCAAGAUUCUUUUACGCCAUAUUCUUUCGUAAACCAAAAUUCAUUUUGGAAUACUCUGUUGAGAAUGUCAAAUAAAACGGCAUUGAAGGAAGUUUUCAAAGGCAGAAUCCGCACUUGUCAAAGGGAUGAUCUGCACUUGUCAAAGACACGAUCCGCGUCGAAUGAAUCGACACAUUUCCUUUCGUAUUCGCAUAUGUAAUCUUUGAAAAAAUGUAGCUUCUGCAUCUAUAAAUAACGCUUAGUGUAUAAUGUUUUAUUCAAGAAAAGAAAACAAGUUUCUUCAUACUCGUCGUCCGAACAUACAGAGACCGUCUCUUAUAACUUCAGCCGAAUACUUAUGAUGAUGAUCAUUUGUGAUUUCAUCAGGCAAAGGGUUGAUGGUGAAAAAAUUUGUAUGUGUGAAGAAUUGAGCUGUGGAUAUAGGGGACUUAAGUGUAAUCGAAAGAGAGUUAUUAGGCCAUAGUGCAGAUUGCAUUCAGUUUAUGAGUCGAUAUGCAAAUAAUUUGUUGACGUGGCGAAAUUUGUUAUGGUCGUUACUAUUGUUUCUGGAAAUUUUCUAGAAACCUCAGCAUAAAAGGGGCUUUUGCAUAGCCUCUGGUGUGCGUGUGAUUUCUCUUUCGUUUCCUCAUCAAAUUCUGUAAUUCUUGCUUUGAUAAAAAGCUUGUAAUCUCUUCUGUAAUGUGUGAUCAGUGCGUAAUCAUUUUGAGCAAUAAGAGCUUGUGGGUUUUUCCUUCAAACAGUGUCGUUUUGGUCAGUUUGUUAGUUUGAUCUGUUGGUGGAAUUUUCUUUGGUUAUUUGUUCUCAAAUUUCAACCGUAUAUAAAGUUUGAACUCUAAUGGCUUAUAAUGUAUUGAUUAAGAAUAAUCCUAAGAGUUCCCGAUUGAAAUUUUUAAUGACUAUUUUUAUUGUUUUGGAUAUACAAAUUGCAUUAAGAAAAAAUAUUGUCAAAUUCAGAGGAUAACGGGAAAUAAUUAUGCUUCAAAAGGCCAGAGAUUAGAGAACAAAGAAGCAUUCAUUACUGAUAAACAAAAGAGAAACACUCCAAAAUUGCAAGCAAACUAGUUUCAUAUACUAUUUGGAUUUUGGAAGGGGUGAAGUUUUGAACUUCAGUUGUUCCUCUAAAAUCAAAAGCAUCAAUUAAGCGUUCUCAAUUAGAAAUAGCAAAGAAGACUUAUUGGUACCUUACUGAAGUUAACAUUGUGGCACGGUUGUUCAUAUGUAAUGGCUGCUCUGUUAUGCUAGCUUCUCUGUUUUUGCUUACAGUUUUGAACAUAAAUUCUUGCUCAAAUAACCCAUAAUUAAAUAACACUAAUAUGGCUCGUGAAGUCCCAUAAUAGCUAAUUACGCAACUUUCUCCUCCUCCUCAAUUAUGUCUUCCCCUGCUCGGACACUAACUUCAAAAUUCAAUGCCCCGAAAAACAACACAAGAAAUCUUUGAGUUAGUUCGUGACCAGUUUAUAUAUAGUAGCAAUUGAAAAAAGAAAAAGAAGAAAAAAGUUAAUUAUUAUUCAGACCUUCACUUAUUAGGAAGUUUGUUCUGCUAUUGGGUGAGAUCAAGCUCUCAGCAUAUACUUCCACAUGAUACUUUCUAACAUUUUCUUGAAAGCCAUCAAUCAUAAAAUCUUCAUACUUUUUUCCAUCCUUUGGAUCAAUAAGUACAAUUUUUUCAUCUAAAACAGACAAAAUAAAAUCACUGUCCUUCAUGGAACACAAUGGCUGCAAUGCCUGAACUGAAUUGGCUAAUGAAAUUUGAGUCCAGGAUUCUCUCAGCCCAUAUUCUUUCAUAAUCCAAAAUUCUUUUCUUUCUCGACAUGGAACAUAGUCUUCUUUUCUUUCUCGACACAUGUCUCUGUACUUUUCUCUCUCUACUGAUCCACACUUUUUCAUACUUCUAACUAUCAUUUUGUUUUUUUUUUUUUUUGAGUUGUGAUUUAUUCAAUUAUUUUGUAUUUUUAAUGACAAUUGUUUAAUAUUUAGUUAGUUUUGAUAUUGAUUAGUGAUUGAAAGUGUAUUUUAGAAGACUUCCGGUCUCUUGAAAAAAGGAAAAAUGGAGAAGAAGAAGAAGUGUUCUUGAUUUUUUUGUAGGCAUUAAAGUUAAACGGUUUGAAAUGAUAUUUUGUUUUUAUUUCACUCAUUAAUCUCAUUCAGGAUAAAAUUAUAAAUGCAAAUAAAUGGGGUUUCAUAAGUAUUUUUAAUAGUGUUAAAAGGUCUACUCACUAAAUAAACAUGUUUUACCCAAACCAAUCCGAUUAAUAAGUUAUUAGGUUGGGUUGAUCAGGUUAAAAAUCAAAAUUAAAAAUUAAAUAAAUAAAAGGCAUAAAAACUAUCUGUUACUUGAAAAUAAAAAGAAUUUCUAAUAGUUAGUUCUAAUGUCCCAUAUCCAAAACAUGCAUAUUGUGAGGUUUGCUGGUGAAUCAAACUCAUCAGAACCAAAUGAUGACGUUUUGGCAAUUGAAGGAGCACUUAAAAGACACGUGAAACGCACGUCUGUUGUCACUUAAGAUUAAAGCUUGAAACGGCAGUUCAACCAUGUCGUUUAAAGGAAGCUUAGAAGUGAUGCACGUGACAGAUGUGUGAAGCAGCUCAUCUCAGUUCGUUAAGUUUGUUAUGCUACGUGUAAGCAAUCAGUUCGAUCUGGGUUUAGCUGGUUAGUUGCUCUGUUAGUUAUAAGAGCAGGCUGAUGAAACGAUUUGGGUUAAGCUUGUGAAUUCAUAUCAGAGAGAGAGAGAUUUCAGUGAAAGGGUUAAGAGUUCUCUGAAAUCUUGUAAACCAUUCUCUGUAAGAAAGAUCCUCCAUUGUUGAAUAAUAAAAGCUCUGCAGAAAACUUUUCCUGUGGAUGUAGAUUGUACCAAUUUGGUACAACUGAACCACGUAAUUGAUUCUUGUGUUGUCUGUGAUUUGUUUGUUUCUUGAUUCUCUAUUCUUUCUAGUUCUUGGGUACAUUGUUUUCACUUGGCUAGAUUCAUUCCUCAAUCUGUGCAUCUUGUAUAGUUCUUUAUCAAAGGUCCUGGGAAGUGUUUUAUUUGUCUUGCAUGUUAUAUAGCAAAUUAAAACACUACACAUAUUAAAUAAUAUAUUAUAAGUUAGAAAUACAAUAUCUAAAGAAAGAAUUAAUGAAAUAACAUAUUCUUGUUGAGAAUUAAGAGUGUGAUUUUAAUUUUGAUAUUGGAGUCUAAAGCAAUAGAUAGUACAAUGAAAUCAUGAAUGCUACGUUUAAAUAAUCUCUUUUAUAAAAUAAUAAAAAGAGGUUAAAAAUUAGGUUAACAUUUAGGGUUUAGCAGUUAAGGAUGAAUAUAUUAUUAUUGUUGUUGUUGUUAUUAUUAUAAUAAUAAUUAUUAUAAUAAUAAUUAUUAUUUAUAUGUUAAUUAAUUCAAUCCAACUUAAUUAUUAAUGAAUUUGAAAAAAUUGACCCAAUUAAUCCACAAUAAUUCAUUCAACUCGUCUAAAUUAGAUUAAGUUGAACUUAAUUUGCUACCCCACAUUGAGCAACAAACCUCAACGUCAUUCUACGAGCUCUUUGAUUGUUUAUAAAAUUGAUUUAGAGUACAUAAAGUGUAUCGACAAUGAAAGUGCAAAACAAAUUAUUGUACAUAUUAAAAUGUGCAAAAACAAUGAAUUAUAUGUACAAACGAGUGCAAACACAUUUUUCAAUAAGAAGUUGGAAGAUAUUUAUGCAUGAAAAAGCCUACGUUUGUAGUUAUUCUAAAUUUUAAAAACAAAAUUUACAUUUAGAUUCCUAAAAUUUACAUAUAAGUAUAAAAGUUUCAAAUAUUGUCUAUUAUUUUUUUAACAUGCCUAUUCCUUGUGGAUAAUUUUGUCUCAUCACUAAUGUUGUUUCUUGCUUACAAAAACCAAAAGCCACCUCCUUUUUGCAAUUUUUAUAGCGUCUCAAAAUAGACAAUAGGGGGAUUUUGAAUUUUUUAAGUCUCAAUAUAGUCUCUAAUCUUGUGAGAAAUAUUUUCUUUCAAUAAUUUGGAGGUAAACAUAACAUAACUUUUUGGACUAAAGCCUAACUCUGCUAAUAAGUAAUUGGUGGUAUCCUUUUCAAGACUUGAGUCUUUAGAUUCGAGUUUUAUAUAGUGUGCAUGUGUAUUUAAUUAAUAUUUUUUUUCAAAAAAAAUUACAUCAAAUACUAAUAUUCAUGACAUAAUUUAGUUCAUAAUUUUUUUAAAUACAUCGAAAAAUAUAAUUUUUUAACAACUUAAAGGCAUGACAAAUUUCAAGAUAUAAAUAUCAGUCAAAAUAAGUGAAAGAAAUAAUGGUGUCAAUUCUAAUUUCUUAACUAAAUUAAUUACUGCAUGAGCCCCGAAUAUGACACGAGAGUUUGAUGGGCUAACUUGGCACAAGAACGUGAAUAGUUAACUCAUUUAAGAAAUAAUUCAACAAAAAAUAUAAUUGAUAAGAAUGCAAUAUUGAAAUGAAUUUUUUACGAAACAUUGAAUUAAUGAUUAUUAAGCAAGAACAAUAAAAAAAUAAAAUAAAAAUAAAGAUUAACCAUUGAUAAGCUUCAACAAGAACUUAACACAACCCUCAAUCCUAAUUCAAAUUAUAAAUGUCAUUCAUAUAUUCAUUAUAAAUCAAUAACAAAGGUUAUAAAUGUUUAGAAAUUCUAGAGGGAAGGAAGCUAUCGCCGGGGAAUCAACAACUAAAAUUGAUGUAAUUGUGGCACGAGAUGGAAUAUGGAAACUACACCAUAAUUUUAAAUGCCGCCAUAGACAUUGACUUAUCUACAAUAACAAUGAUCUAAUUAAAAUAAAAAUAGAGUUUAUGGGCAUUUAUUAUUUUGACAUUCCUCAUUUGCAAAUAGGGAUACAAUUAUAAUUUAUUUAGUCAAAGCAAACAGUAAUUUUCUUCAUUAUAGGAGUGAAGUAAAAACAUUUAGAUUUUAAUGUAUGUAAGGAAAAAUUUAUCUUUAAAAAUACUUUCUUAAUGUGUGUAUGCAUAUUGAAAUACUCAAACCAAUUUUGGUUAUAUAUAAUUAAACAAAUUUUAAAAUAUGAAAAAUAUAAUGUAGUUAUAGUGGAUAAACAAUAAGUGAGCACAAUAUAAUUAAUCAAAUAUUGUGCUAUCAAAAGUUAAUUUUAGAAAUUCCAAAUCCAAUAGCUAACACAAUUCUUUAAAGAAAAAAAAAAGGUUGACACAAUUAAUAAAAUUAGCGACAUGAAUUUCACGCCAUUGAUAAUCAGCAAUUAGUAUUACUUUCUAAACUUGCUUCAACUGGUCGUUGAUGUCCGGGUCACCAAAAGUAUAAGCGAUAAUAAGGGGCAUUGGGCAAGAGUGAUGAAUGUUUAGUGGGUGCAUUUGAUUGAUAGAUAUAUAAAGGGCCGAAACUUGAGAUUAUAUUACUUUUACAAAUUUUAAUCCAAUCACAUAUUUAAUGAAAACAAAAUGAGUUAGGAUACUUUAUUUAAAAUACACAUUUUAAUAAGGCUUCAUUUAAUUAAAUAAAAUUAUAAAAGUAAAAUAUAUUUUAGAUAUUUUAAUAUUUAAGAAAAAAUUUUCAAUCUUUACUUUCAGAAGCUCAAAUUUUUAAUUUUUAGUUGUAGAGACAAAAUAUCUUAUUUAAUGUUUAAAAGUUCUGCUAAAAACAAUCAAAUAACUACAAAAAUUUUAAUAAGAGCAUAUAAAAUUAAAUAAGCAUUUAUUAAUAAUCACUUUAGUGUACUUAUCUAAUAACAAUAAGUGUUUAUUUAAUCUAAUAAGUUUUUAUUUAAUCUAAUGAGCUCUUUUUAAUUUUUUUUUAGUAGAGCUUUUGAAAAUUAAAUAAACUAUUUUGUCUCUAUUAAGAAAAACUUAAAAUUUAGGUUUUUGUAAGUAAAUGUUUAAAUUUUUUUUAAAAAUAUUAAAAUAUUAAAAUAUCUUUUCUUUAUUUCAUAAUCUUAUUUCAUUCUUCACAACAUAACUUUAAAUAACUUACCUAUUAAAAUAAUUUCACAAUUUCUAAUAAAAACUCCGAUUAACAAUCAAGCAAUAAUUUUUUUUUUUUUUUUGUAAAAAUUCUAUUUGUAAAAACUCUAAUAAUAAAAAUUCUACUUAAAUAAAUUUUAUUUGAAAAGGUAUACUAAACGAACCUAAGAUAAAAACAAAAAUUUUUAGAUCCAGACAAUUAAGCUUAAAACAAUUUCAAAUGAAUUUUAGACUAAUCAAAGUACAAUACGUACCAAGUUUGGUAAUUUAUUGACAUCUUCUUAUAUACCUUCGAUCAAGUCGAUUCUCACUUGACGACUAAUUGGUAGUUUGGUACAUCACCGUUGUUCCCUAUACUCGCAUGCAUCCGAUCACAAAUCUCACUCCAAUUGUUGUCUUUCUUCGGCGUUUUAGCGCAUCCUUCUUGAAUUUCUCGCAUUUCGUUCCCUUACAAGUCUCCGGUCAGGUCAGUUCACUUGACGAUUAAUUCGGCAAAUCUUGAAUCUCUUCUCUAUCCCUCUCGUUUUCUCGUGUCUCCUUUCAGUUAAAGCGAUUGAAUCAAUUUUAUCGCAGUCUAAGAGAAAUUAAGUAAUGCUCUUGGAUUUAAAAUUUUUUUGCUUUCGACUUUAGAUCUCGAAAGUCAAACUCUUCUACGAAUCCAUAGAUUCUCAAUGUUUAUAAUCUUAUUUGUGUUUGACCAGGUAACUGGAUCGUGAAAUUCGUCGUUUUGUAUCAAUUCAAGCUUUCGCGAGCUCAUGGAAUCACCUGGUGAGUUGUGGUGAAACGUUACCGUUUCAAUUUUCGCUUAAUUCUUUAUUGCAUAUUUUUUUCUCUAAUAUUUCAGUUUAAUUAGAAAAGAAAGAGGACCCAAAAAGAGAGAGAGAGAGAGAGACUCUACCAUACUCAAUUCCUUGCUCAUUCUGAUUUGGCCUGAAUGUUGGCAUUGACUAUUAUUUGUUUUCAUUUCGAUUUAAUUCUCAUUUAGACAGUCUUUACUAACGGUCAAUAAUAGUUUAAGGAAAAUGAUAAUAGGGAUUCUGCAAUAAUCUUUCUGCAUUGUUCAAGUUAGUAGACAAUGAAUAGGAUGUUUACGUUUACCUCAUUUUGAACCCCGAGGGCUUAGUUGAGUAGUUGAUUGAUUCAAUCUUGCAAUGUGUUCCCACAAGGUUUUGAGUUUGAUUCCUAAUUAUGUGGACCUUAGUUUCGAAUUUGAGUUUGUUAGGUGGGUUGAUGGGGUUUUUGGGUAUUAAAAAGGGAGAAGAAAAAAGUUGCUUGCUUCAUUUUGUACAAACCUGUUGACUUUUUAUUUUUUUCUUUUUAUUUUUGUACUAUUUUGUUUUACAGUUGGUGGUUCAAGACAGACAUCUGUUAUUGUUGUAACUUUGGAUACUGGUGAAGUAUAUAUUGUAACCAGCUUGUAUUCUAGGACUGACACUCAAGUGAUAUAUAUUGAUCCAACUACUGGUGCACUUCGCUACCAUGGGAAAUGGGGCUAUGAUGUUUUUGGAUCUGAAAAUGAAGCAGUAGAUUACAUAACAAAUGGAUCACGAUGGAUGUGCAAGAGUACAACUUUUGCCAAGGCGAUAUUGGGUUAUACUGCCCUGGGAAGCUUUGGGCUGCUUCUUGUUGCCACAAGGUUAACUGCCAGCAUUCCAAAUCUUCCUGGUGGAGGAACUGUAUGCACGGUUACAGAGAGCCAAUGGAUCAAAAUUCCACUUCAAAAUCCUCAACCCCAGGGUAAAGGAGAAGUAAAGAAUGUUCAAGAGUUGCCUGAUCUUGACAUUGAUGGGAAGCACUACUUUUGUGAGACAAGAGAUAUCACUCGACCUUUCCCCAGCCGCAUGCCUUUGCAAAAUCCUGACGAGGAAUUUGUUUGGAAUGAAUGGCUUUCGAUGCCUUUUAAAAGCAUUGGUUUACCUCAGCAUUGUGUCAUUCUUCUGCAGGUUUUGCUUCAUACUCGGUAUCUUCAAAAUUUAUGCUCAUUAAACUUCUUUCAUUCCCCACCCUCUCACUAUCCCUCCACCUAAUUUUGUUUCCAAAAGUUUGUUUGAUAGUCUAUUGCCACUAUAUGUAAAUGUAUCAUUUCCAUUCUGAGCAUGAUAUUUUAUUCAUCAUCACUUGUUAUUCUAAUCUUUAGAUGAAAGAAUAUUUCGUAUUAACAUUUUUCAUGGGCCAGUACCUAUUUUAUGGUCCAUUGUAGAUACUAAAAUGACCAACUUUAUUUCUUGGUCAUAAAAAGUUGCGACAGAAAUUUUAAACAUGUGAAUAUUUAAAUCUGAUAAUUCAUUAAAGAUUUCAACCUAAUAGAUUGAAAACUUAGAUUCAUUCCAUGAAUGAAAGAUAAUAAAGCAUCAGCCGAUGGAAUAUGGGAAAUAGAAACACUUUCCCUUCUAUUAAGAAGAGCCUGCUUCAGAUGAUCCUCAUUUUCUUCAUCCACAGGCCAACCUAGAACAUACCACACCAAGGUAAGAAAGAAAAGGGGUAGCAGGAUUGCCUAGUUUGACAAUUAGCAAAGCCCCAAAUGUUCCUCUUUUACUUUUCUUUUAGAAAGGUAGACAUGUUUGACAGAUUUGGGACAUUGCAUCAUCCCUUUCUGCUGCACAUGGUUGCAAUGUUUUACUUCUCACGUGAAAGCCUAGAAAUCCCAAUCCAAUAAUAAAAGGCCAUUUUAGAGUCAAUGUACAAAAACUUCCUUCCUUGUCUCUAUAUCCUCUUUUACAAUCCAUUCUUAGUUGAAUUGAGAUUAUGCUACAGCUGCUUCUUCAAGUUAACAUUGUUAUGCAAUUCAAUGGUGAUUUACGUGUGUACUUGUCCUAAGCAUGUGAUUUGAAAAUAAUAUGUUAAUAUUGUUUUCACUGGAUAUUAAUGUAUAGGGAUUUGCAGAAUGUCGAAAUUUUGGAAGAUCAGGUCAGCUAGAAGGGGUUGUUGCUCUUAUAGCUCGUCGUAGUAGGCUGCAUCCUGGUACUCGAUACUUGGCUAGGGGGAUUAAUUCUUGUUUUAGUACAGGUAAGAUAAUCUUUAACAUCUCCAGACCUGGAAAUUACAUUUUUGUUGUUGAGAUUCACUUGGUUCUUCUAUACAAUCAAAAAAAUUAAGGAUUUAGUUUUUUUUUUUUUUAAACGGAAUUUUCUUUUCCUUUCAGUACUCUUUGCAUUCUGUGUAUGCUGUUUAUUCUGAUUGUCAUUGAUCUCAUGCCUUUACAAGGAAACAGGUAAUAGUUUCAGUGGUAAAUUCAAGUGGAAUUGGUUUUGAUUCUGUUGUUUAGAAAGAUGGAUUGUAGAACUACAGAACAUUAAUCGUGCCACCUCAUGGCUCAUGCAUGCUUUUGGAGUAUUCUUUACCUGUAGAAUUUUUGUUUUUGUAGUUGACUUGGAAUAUAACUUUACCAUUUUUUUCAAAUAAUAAGAAUCAAUGAGUCUCAUCAAUAUUAAUCAAUAAUGAGCUAAAGAUAUAUAACUUGUGUCUCAGAACUAUAUAUGAUAUGCUUGUGAAGGUGUAUUAUUUUAAGUAGAGAUACCAAAUGCUACAGGGAGAAGCAAAAAAGAACAUUCUCCAGUGAAAACCUUCUGACAGAUUACAUUUUUGGGAUAAAAAAGAAACAUUGAGAUCAUCAGCCACACUUUUUCUUCUUGUACUGUUUAAUUAGUUUAGAGGCCUUUUAGUUGGUUUUGCUUGCCUGGAGGUGUCAUACAGUUCACUUUUUGAAUACCCUGGUUUUCUACAGAUUAGAACUUGGUUUCCUUUCACUCCACAGCUUUUGCUUUCCUACAUCACGUCCUUUGGGAUAAUUGAAUAAUGAAUGAAUGAAAACAAUCAAAUAAUUUCUGACAAUUAGUUAAUAACUUUUAUUUUGUAUGACCCUUUUGAUAUGUGUGGUCCUUUAAUUUACGGUUGAAAUAUAAAUAUGAAAAAAGUCUGCCAAUUAGUUUUACAAAUGACUUUUGUGCCAUAGAAUAUAUAUAUUUUUUUUUUGCCGAAAAACAAAACAAAUUCAUAAACAACAUUGUAUUUCACCAAUUAACAGUGCAAGUGUCAUUAUAGUUUCCACAUAUUAGUUCUGUUUUCGUUAGUUUCAUUUUCAUUCUGUUAUGUAACUGAUGUUUCAUUGCUAUAAAAUUAAUUGUCUGUUUCUCUUCACAACUGUUAUUUUGAAUGAUUUUUUCUGAAUUUUAUAAAGAAUUUGUAUAUGACAGGAAAUGAAGCAGAGUGCGAGCAACUUGUAUGGAUUCCUAAAAGGUCUGGUCAGAGUGUUCCUUUCAAUGCAUACAUCUGGCGGCGAGGGACUAUUCCAAUAUGGUGGGGUGCAGAAUUAAAGCUUACUGCUGCUGAAGCAGAAAUUUAUGUUGCAGAUCGGGAUCCUUAUAAAGGAAGUCUGAAGUAUUAUCAGAGGUUGAGUAAUCGAUAUGAUGCUCGAAACUUUGACUUAGCUGUUGGGGAAAAUCAGAAGAAAAAGCCUUUUAUUCCAAUUGUAUGCAUUAACUUGCUUAGGAAUGCGGAAGGGAAAUCAGAAUCUAUUUUAGUUCAGCAUUUUGAGGAAUCUUUGAACUAUGUCAGAUCAACUGGAAAACUUCCUUAUACUCGAAUAAUUUUAAUAAAUUAUGACUGGCAUGCCAGUACAAAAUUAAAAGGUGAACAACUUACAAUUGAAGGAUUAUGGAAGCAUCUAAAAGCACCCACUCAGGCCGUAGGCAUUUCUGAAGGGGACUAUUUGCCAUCACGGCAACGACUUAAUGAUUGCCGAGGUGAAGUCAUCUGCAAUGGUGACUUUGUGGGUGCCUUUUGCUUAAGAUCCCAUCAGAAUGGAGUGAUACGCUUUAACUGUGCAGACUCUCUUGAUCGGACCAAUGCUGCUAGUUAUUUUGGUGCUCUGCAAGUAUUUGUGGAGCAAUGUAGGCGGCUUGGGUUCUCCCUUGACAGUGAUUUUGCAUAUGGCUAUCAGUCAGCUAAUAACUAUGGUGGAUAUACUGCUCCUUUGCCACGAGGAUGGGAGAAACGAGCUGAUGCAGUGACAGGAAAAACAUAUUAUAUCGAUCACAACACUAGGACCACAACAUGGAUUCAUCCAUGCCCAGACAAACCUUGGAAGAGAUUUGAUAUGACAUUUGAGGAGUUCAAGCAAUCAACAAUUUUAUCACCAGUGUCUCAGCUAGCAGAUCUUUUUCUGCUUUCUGGUGAUAUCCAUGCAACCCUUUAUACUGGUUCAAAAGCAAUGCAUAGCCAAAUUCUUAAUAUAUUCAAUGAAGAACCAGGAAAGUUCAAACAAUUUUCUGCAGCACAAAAUAUGAAAAUUACCCUGCAGAGAAGAUACAAAAAUGCAGUUGUCGAUAGCUCUCGUCAGAAACAGCUGGAGAUGUUUCUUGGAUUGAGGCUUUUCAAGCAUCUUCCAUCUGUUUCAGUUCAACCUCUACAUGUAUGAUACUGUAGAACUUCAGAUUACCUAUUCAUACAAUCUGAGUUCAAUGAUUAUCAAUUUUCAUGAGGGAUGGAGACAAUAUUACACUAGCUACUUGUUUCUAACCUAAGCAUCCCUAACUUCUGCACAUAAAUAAAUGAUGCGCAAAGCAUACCAUAGCUAUAUCAAUGCCCAUUUCCUGUUUGAUGUUGACCAAUAAUGUUUGGAAGUUAGCUAUUGCAUGGUAAGAUGAUUUGAAGCUUCAUUUAAAGCUUCUAAGCCAGAGCUUCUAAGUCAUCUGGCUUAGAGAAUUUAAAUGUCCUCCAAAAGUCUGGAAUCACUGUUGCAUCUCAGCCUGAUUGAUAUUUGUUAUUGUUAACUUGGAAAUAUUUUGUUAAUCUUUCGGAUUGAACAACGUCGUGCUAUGAUCAUUAUUCAAGAAAUGACCUCAAGAACUUGUUGCAGUUGAGUGAUUUUUUGGUAAUGAUGAAAAUUAUUCAUGUUUAGGAACAGCUCUUUAGGGGAAAAGCAUAUAUGGGCUGGCUGGCCCUUUUUGGUGUAUUUGAUGAACCAUUUCAUAUCAUGCUGGUAACUGCAGGUUCUUUCUCGACCAUCUGGUUUCUUUCUCAAGCCAGUUCCCAACAUGUUCCCAAGUUCUGAUGGUGGAGCUAGUCUUCUAAGCUUCAAAAGAAAAGACAUGAUCUGGGUAUGGGUUGCAGCUAAACUUAGUCCUUUGUAGCAUUCCUAAUUCUCUGAUUGUCUUUUCUUUGUAGCAUUCUUAAUUCUCUGAUUGUCUUUUCUGUCCUUAAUGGAAUUCAUGCAUUUUUGGUUCUUUAGGUAUGUCCACAAGGCACAGAUGUGGUUGAACUUUUCAUCUACCUUGGUGAACCUUGUCAUGUCUGUCAGCUUCUUCUCACCAUAUCCCAUGGUGCAGAUGAUUCAACAUAUCCAGCAACAGUUGAUGUGAGAACAGGACGCCACUUAGAUGGGCUUAAACUGAUUUUGGAGGUUUGUAUUGGUUCUAUUGUACACCUUGCUUACAAAUUUUUUAUUUUUAAUUUUUAAUUUUGUAUGAUAUGCUCUUUGUUGGUAAAUUUCAUUUGACUUAGAAGAGAUAGUUUUAUCCCAACAGUGGGAUACAUCAUUGAGAUGCAUGGCAGAGUGAAUAUAGUAGACAAAAUCAUUGAGACCCAUGGUGGUGUGAACAUAGUAAACUUUGUCAAACACAGCUAAGAUGAGCAAAUUGUUUCAUUAGCCUUUAUCUUAUCUGCUGUGAUGAUUCAAAUUAAUGCUGUUUGGUAGGUUGCAAAAAAACGAAAUGAGCUGACUGUUCGUAUUAUUUAGUCAGAUCUCUAGCAAUAAGUUGAAGUUCAUUGUCACAUGGGUUGGGAGUAUCGUGGGCUGUGAGUAGUAGAAUGGAUUUAUGGAGUUGAUACAAGUGCCCACAAUCUCUCAUGUCAUUCUAGGAUUAAAUGGAUUGCACAUUACUGUAAAAAUGGAGGUUAAAUUUAUAUAAUUCGGAUUGAUUGUAAAAUGGAAGACAGAGAUGAGUUAGAAAAAGAAUGACCCGUGUCCUUUUUGAGCUGUUUCUAAAUGUCCCUGGUGUGCCUCAUGCUUAACACGUGCCUUUCCAAAUAAUUUUGCUUAACCUGUGCUUGUCUACUUCUUGUGCUAUUCUGUGCCUGGUCCUGAGCUGUAUUGGUAGAUUGACAUCCAGCUUGAACUUUUAGGUAUAUCUUUUGUACAUAAAUUCUGAAUACCCAUGGACUUAGCGUGAUAUAAAGUCAAGGAUCCAUUUAGCUGAGUCCUUCAAGUUUUGUUAGUAUGUCUUCGGAUUAUAAAUAUGUAACAAAAUGAGGUGUAGAAUACAUUUAAAAAGAAAAGGAUAAAAAAACAAAAGAAAUGAAAAGAGGUGUUUAGAAGUAAUAGCUAAACUAGAUACACUCUCACUAAUUAGCGAUUCUGAUGAACAGUGCCCAUAGCUUCUUUUAUACCUUGAAGUUGCAGAAAUUGAUUCUUGGUGAAUUAAGUCACUUACAGACAUAACUUUUUCUUCCAUCUAAUUUUUAUUAGGUUAGAUAGGAGAAGACUUGUUUCAGGGUGUCCUGACCCUAGUAUUAGUUUUCUUGUCAGAUUUUUCAUGAAAAUUUACAAUGCACGUGACAUACAACUUCUAGUAAUCCUAGGACUUUGUUCACAGGGUGCUUCUAUUCCUCGUUGUGGAAAUGGGACAAACCUUUUGAUACCUUUACCAGGAUCAGUUAGUGCUGAGGAUAUGGCUAUUACUGGAGCUGGUGCACGACUUCAUGAUCAAGAUGCACCAACCCUUCCACUGUUGUAUGAUUUUGAAGAAUUAGAGGGAGAAUUGGAUUUUCUUACUCGUUUUGUGGCAGUUACCUUUUAUCCUGCUAUUUCUGGAACAAGUUCCAUGACUCUUGGUGAGGUAGAAAAUAUUUUCAUAAAAUGUUAAUUGAUUUAUCUACGCACUUUAUUCUUAAAUUAGUAUUUUAGACCAUGAGCUUUGUGGAGUGGGUUUGCUGUAACUGCUGCUGGUGACAACAUAAUUGUUAAUAUUAUUACAGAUAGAGAUUCUUGGAGUUUCUCUUCCAUGGAGGGGGGUAUUCAAUAAUGAAGGCCCUGGUGCUAGAUUAAUUGAGCUUGGCAAAAAGUUUCAGAAGGAAACCGAUCCAUUUUUGUCAAAUUCAGUUACAAAUACGGUUCUGUUUUCCAAUGAAAAUGUGUCAACAUCAAUGCAAACAGAAGCUGCUUCCAAUCCUUGGGUUGACCUGUUGUCUGGAGGGGACACAUUUUCUGAUCCUCUUUCAGAGCCGUUUUCUAACCCUCUUUCUGAGCCGUUCUCUGAUCCUCUUUCUGAGUCGUUCUCUGAUCCUCUUUCUGAGCCAGUGACAAGAAAUGUUGCAUCUGGAGGGGCUGAUUUGCUUGAUUUCUUGGACCAGCCUAUAGUUGAAGAUCAUGGUGUGGAAACUUAUAAAAGAUCUUCAACACAGGAUGGCUGUUCUCUGGCUAGUGGUGCCCAGCAGUACAUAAGCUGUCUAAAAUCCCUUGCAGGGCCACGCGAGGUAUAGUACUGCUCUCUUGUGUUUUUUGCAGCUCUACAUCUUAGUAACCUCAUCUUUUUAAUGGAGUAAAUUCUAGAAGUUCAACAAAUUUUGCUUUGCUAAAUGUAUAACUUAUUAAUCAGAGUCCUGUUAUUAUGGUUUGACACUACUGACAUAUUGUGUUGGUAAUUUAUUUGUACGUCCCUUGGUUGAAUUAUUUGCUGUCUCCAUGCCAUUCGAUAUGGUGCUACUUGGUUUUUGAUCAUCCAUGACACUAUAUAUAUAUAUAUGUAAAGGAUGAAUUGAUUGUUUUGGCUUGUAUUCUCACAUUUUAUGAUUGAUCGAUGGAAAGGUCUUCCUGUAUUAAAUUCAACCUCACAAGCAUAAGAUUGACAAAUUCUGGGCAAAUUUUCAGGAAAAGAAACUAGACUUCAUGGAAGCAAUGAAGCUUGAAAUUGAACGUCUGCAGCUGAAUCUUUCUGCAGCUGAAAGGGAUAGAGCUUUAUUGUCAAUUGGAACUGAUCCUGCCUCUAUAAAUCCAAAUGUAUUGCUUGAUGAAUCUUACAUGGGAAGACUGUGUCGAGUAGCAAACACUCUUGCAUUACUUGGCCAAGCUUCCCUAGAAGACAAAAUUGUUGGUGCAAUUGGCCUUGAGAAUAGUGAUGAUAGUGUUUUAGACUUCUGGAAUAUUACUAGAAUCGGAGAGAGUUGUUCUGGUGGUGGGUGCGAGGUUCGUGCCGAAACUAAGGUGCCUGCUCUUGCUUCCUCAACUGCAACAUCUGUUGGAUCUUCACAAUCCCCUUUGUUGUGUUCUCAAUGUGAAAGAAAAGUUUGCAAAGUUUGUUGUGCAGGAAGAGGAGCUCUACUGUUUUCAAAUUAUAAAUCAAGGGAUGUGACCAACUACAAUGGCUUCUCAAGUCAGAGUGGAUCAAGCCAUGGAAGCCAAGUUGAUGUAUCUACCAGUCGUUCACUAACACUGGAUGGCGUUAUCUGUAAACACUGCUGCCAUGAGAUUGUGCUUGAUGCAUUGAUGUUGGACUAUGUUAGGGUCUUGAUUAGCUUGCGAAGAAGUUCCCGUGCAGACAACGCAGCAUACAAUGCUUUGAAUGAGGUUGUUGGAUCCUGCUUAAAGGAUAGUCUUUCUGAGAGGAUUCAGUCUUCCGAUAACGUGCAAGCAGCUGAAGUCCUUCACCAAUUAUGUGGUGGACAGGAAGCACUUGCUGAAUUUCCAUUUGCUAGCUUUUUGCACUCGGUAUGUUCUUGGUUUGUAUUCAGUUCUCAUCAUAUUAUGUUUUCCUUUUAAAUUUCUUUUCUUGAUUAAAAUUUUUAGAAAUAUGUUUUAGCAUUUAUUCUUAUGAUAUAUGCCCAGAACAUUCAUCCCACUUAUCCAUGAGAAUCCUUGUCUGGUUUGAUUUUCAAUUGAGACAUUUUUGGGAACCCUGAGCAGGUUCCAUAUGCUAAUAAUCUUUGAGGUAAGGUGUUGUAGGAUGCCUUGAGAAGCUAAAAACCUAUUACAAGUAAAAGCUCUUGCAUUGUUUUGUGCAAUCUGUGUGCGAGCAAGUCAUGUCUCUAAUAAUUUCAUAGUUUGCUUGAUUGGAAUUUUUUAUCUUGAUAUGGAUUGUUUAUUCUAGAUUCCUUGGUGCCACUGUAGGUUGAAACAGCAAAAGAUUCAGCACCGAUUUUGUCACUGCUUGCUCCAUUAAAUUCUGGAUCAAGGCACUCAUAUUGGAGAGCUCCACCUAGUAUUACUUCUGUUGAAUUUGUUAUUGUUCUCGGUUCUGUUUCUGAUGUCAGUGGGGUUAUCUUGCUUGUUAGUCCUUGCGGCUAUUCUGUGGCUGACACUCCGAUGGUAAGUGCCAUAUUUAUUCCCUUAUUUCCUUGUUGUUCAAUAAAUUUGGUGAUAAGCCAAGUGGCCUUAAUAAUGAAGCCCAGUACCAGGGGUGGUGGGUAAUAGAUAUUCAACUUGUGAAUAUUCCUAAGCAAACACUGAAUCAACAUAUACCUCGGCAAAAGUUCUCUAUGCUAUGAUAAUGGAAGUCAUAUUUUGAAAUGAUUAAAAGAGUCCCUGUGUAGUGCCAUUUCCAACGAAAUUGCAGCUGGGGGUUUAGUUUCAUGUAGGUUAGUUUCCGAUAAUAAACUUUCCAUUUCAUUAAUUGCUGAUGAAAAAACCAAGUAAGAACAGUUUUGUUGCUCAUCAUUUUUGUAUAUUUUGGUAAACUGUAAUUUUAAAUUCUCAACGAUCUUCCCUUUGUAGGUAAGAAGAUGGUCCACUCACUUGAUAUUUAUGAUUGUAGAUCAGGUUUCUAUUGGUUUGCCUUUAUCAUUUGGAACCCAUGUUUGAUAUUAACAGAGAUCACAUCAAUAAUAUCCUAUUUGGGUAGAUGUGGGUGAGGAUUUAAAAUCAAAUUUGAAAUUGAGGGGAAAGAAGAGAAAAGGAACCACAAUAAUUAAACAAAAUAAUAGGAACUAUUCUGAUGAGUUUUAAUCUCGAGAGGAACAAUUUUCAAAUGCACUGCUAGAGAAAUUGUAGCUUUUUGUCAUUAGUUAAAAGGAAAAAGAAUAAGAACUAUCCGGCCCUUUCCUUCAUGAAUGUGUGUUGAGGUUGCUGUAUUAUUUAGUCAGUAUUUGUAAUUUUCUUCCCUGCAGUGCUCUCUGCCUCCUGAAUUUGCUUCCUAUUGCUGUUACAGGUGCAAAUCUGGGCAAGCAAUAAGAUACACCGGGAGGAAAGGUCAUCAAUGGGAAAAUGGGAUGUCCAAUCCCUCACCACAUCUUCUUCAGAUUUGUAUGGUCCAGAAAAGUCUGCUAGUGUUGAAAAAUUACCUAGGCAUGUAAAAUUUACGUUUAAGAAUCCUGUUAGGUGCCGCAUUAUUUGGAUCACAUUACGUCUUCAGAGACCUGGUUCGGCUUCAGUUAAUUUCGGGAAGGACCUCAGUCUUUUGUCUCUUGAUGAAGAUGAAAACCCCUUUGCACAAGUAGACAGACGUGCUUCAUUUGGAGGAGCAGUUGAAAAUGAACCAUGUAUUCAUGCCAAAAGAAUUCUUGUAGUCGGAAGCCCAGUAAAAAGGGAGGGGCUUACCACAUCACAGAGCUCUGAGCAGCUAAGUAUUAGAAACUGGUUGGAUAGAGCUCCACAAAUGAGUAGAUUCAAGGUAUUAGUUGCUUUCACUCUUUGUUCAUUCAUAAUUCCAGCUUUCUGCUUCACUGAUAAACCUCUUUUUUCUCUUCAGGUCCCAAUUGAGGCCGAGAGAUUGAUGGACUACGAUCUCGUCUUGGAACAGUAUCUACCUCCAGUGUCACCUUCACUUGCUGGAUUCCGUCUAGACGCUUUCAGUGCAAUAAAACCUAGGGUUACCCAUUCACCUUCCUCAGAUUCAGAUAUCUGGGACAAAUCAGUAACAUUUUUAGAAGAUAGGUACAUCUCUCAAGCUGUGUUGUAUUUACAAGUAUCCGCACUCCAGGAACCACAUAACAUGGUAACUAUUGCGGAAUAUCGACUGCCGGAGGCUAGAGCCGGAACGCCAAUGUACUUUGAUUUCCCACGACCGAUACAGUCCCGACGAGUUUCAUUCAAGCUUCUUGGAGAUGUUACAGCAUUUGCAGAUGAACCUUCAGAACAAGAUGAUUCAGGAUUGAGAGCUCUACUUGUGGCCACAGGUUUGUCUUUGUCAAACAGAAUCAAGUUAUAUUAUUAUUGUGAUCCUUAUGAGCUCGGAAAAUGGGCAAGCCUUUCUGGAGUUUGAUCAUUAUUUAUAUGUCAGAGAAAGAGUUUUGGGUUUGAUUUUGAUUUUGAUUUGCAUUUUUUGUCAGUUUAUUGAAAUUUUUUCGUGGUAUAAAAUCAGAAUGUAAAGGUAUAAAAAUUCAUUGAUGCUGCAAUGUCUGCUUUUGAGAAAGAAGAAUUCAACGUCUUUUCUAUGCCAUUGUAUUUUCCACUGCUUGUAAACUUGGGCUGUCGAAUGCUCUGUGAACCUUAAGGGCUAAAGUAAUUUUCAAGACUGAAGGAUUUAUUAAUCGAGUUCAAAAGAUUGCAAGUUGGUGAGCGUUGGCAUUUAAAAAUCAAUUGUUAUUCUCUCAAUAAUCUCUCUCUUCUGCCGACACCCCAAGCUCAGAAACCCGUUGUUCCGACGGACGUGUAACACUUCUAGAAAUUAGCAUUUUCUUCUACAUGAAGGUUGGUCUCUCCUCGUGAAGUGUUUUCUUUUUUGAGUGAAGGUGGUUUUCUACUUACAUAUGUCGAGGGUCUUACGAUAUCUAAUGUGUGAAAUUUCUCUCUCAUUUUACCAUAAAGAAAAUGUUUGUAAUGAUCUGAAGCUUGAGUCUUAAAUUAUCUUAAAUUUAUAUUUAGGGUGGAGCUAUUGGCAUCCCUACAUUAUUCUUACAAAAUUCCACUUUAAAUAAAAUUACAAUUAAGAACAAUUAAAAAUUAAACACUUAUAAUUUUUUGUACAGCAAAUUACUUAAUUUAUAAUCAAUUCUUUUAAAAUAUAUAUAUAUAUUUGUUACUUCUUAUCUAACUAAAAUAAAUUGUACAAAUUUAGAAUAAUCUAUUGUUCUUUUUUGAUUUCUUAUUGAUUUAAUAUUUUUAUACUUAAAAUUACUUUGAAAUUAUAAUUUGAAAUAUGUGUUAUUUUAGCCAAUAAUUAACACUUAAAAACUUAUCACCCAUAUAACUUUUUAAUUUGUGUGUAGGGUAAUAAUAAAAUUGAAAAUAAUUAAAAAUAGCACAAUAAUGAGUUUUAACAAUAAAACAAAUCAAAUGAAUAUUUAAAAUUUUAAAAAGUAUAUCUAGAAAAAGAGGUAUUUUCGGAAAUAGUUUGCAUAUAACUAAAAAAAAGUUUUAUGAGGAGAUCAGAUGGGUGCCAAUAGUCCACCUCGUAAUUAAGAAUCUCCCAUUAUAUUGUGAACCAAAAAGACACUUGCAUAAGAAGAAGAAUUUUUCUGUUUGAUUUUAUUUGUGGAUCCAACAUUUCUCAUAUCUUGAGCGCCUUUCCGUAUCAAAUUAAAAUAGUAGUAGCAAAAUUGUAGUGCACAUUCAAUUAAUCAACUAAUAGUCUAAGAAGCAAAGAGAGGAUUACAAGUUCACAACACCAUUACAAAGGAUUCAAAAUUCCCACACGAAAACAUCAAUGUACAGAUAUAAACAAUCCUAAUUGGACACAAGAAAAACCCUUAAAUGGAUUGCUUGCCUUCCCAAUGCUACAUACCCUGCAAACUGCUUACUGGCCAAGAAAAUGUUUUCAAUUUAGUGUAUUUUCAAAAUGCUUAUUUUCUCAUAAUAUUAAAAAAAUAAAAUAAAAAAGAAUUCUUACAUGUUUCAUCAGCAUGAUUAAAAUCAAAGAAGAAAGAGAGACAUAAUGUCUCUGACAUAAUAAAAUUAUAAAAAUUUCAAGAAAAAAAAAGGUUAAAACAUGUAAGGUGGAUGAUUGAAAACAAUUGUAUGAUGGUAACCAUCAUCUUAAACAAAUAAAAUAAGGUAUGUUCAAAAGUAAUAAGGAAUACAUAGACAAAACAUCAUCUUAAACAAAUCAUAAUCUAGAAUUGGAGCAUUUUCGACAUACCUAAGGAGAAAGAAUACGUGAAAAUAGGUGAUUCAUUUGUUAAGGAGUGUUGAUUUGGUCGUCUCUGCAAAUUCUUUAGGGACUCGGUUCCAGUUCCUCUUCAUCAAAACUGUAAUAUAAUUCCCCUUCAUCAGAACUCGAAUCAAAUUCACUUGCAGCAGUUCCACUCGCGCUUGGCAAAUCAUCCAAUUUCCAAACUUCGGUACCAAAAUUGAGAGUAAAAGUGUUGGCUUUGAUCUCGCUGCGAUUUGCAUAUACCGGACAUACUCCGUAACGUUUUAUCUUGUGACCCUUUUGGUUUCGGUAACACUCAUUGAAGAACUUAAGUGAGACAGUUGUAUGAUGGUAACCAUCAGGAAAGCCAACAUUCAAGCAAGGUUUAAAACAAAGUAUGACAUGAUCUGAAUCAAGGGAGUAUUUAGAAUAGGUAGAAAAACCCAGAUCAACAUAUUUGGUUUCAGAGAGAGUCUUUAUUUCUAAGUCGGAUUGAAAGAUGACGUACCAAUCGCACUUGCAACGAGAACAAACUUUCUUAGAAUCAAGAACAGCACAAAAAGCAAACCCGAUUAAGUUUCCGCAAAAAGAUUGCGGUGGCAGUUGAAUACAUAUCGAAGAUUCUGAACUUUGAUGGCUGAACCAGUCAGGAAUUUCGCUCCCAGGUAAAACAAUUAGGGAUCCCCAGAGUUCAGAAAGUUUCUGUGAAAUGACAUUUAAAAAAAGAAAAUUGUAAAUUGAAAACCAUGAUUUCAGAUAUAACAAAGAGGGACAGAGUAAACAAGAGAGGGAAUUUGAUACCUCGUUGAUUGCCUUUUCAUAGCCCAAUCUCAGUGAUGCAAUUGCCAUAUGCCGAAUUCUUAGUCGUGAAUCUGCCAAAAUCUUGUUGUUUGCUUUUCCAUCAAGUUUCAAGCAGUUAGUAAACUCAAAACAAAUUGCUGCUGACUCCAGAGAUUGAAUAAGGUCAGGAGAGGGUUUCGAUAACUUUUCGAGUACGGAUGCAUCUAGUUCUUGUAGACAUGACGGAAUCUCUGGCAAAGAUUGAAGCCGCUUGCAGUUCCUUGCUUUUAGUGAUUGUAGACACAAUGGAAGUUCUGGUAAUGACCGAAGCAUGUUACAACCCGUCAAGUCAAGAGAUUCAAGACACAAUGGAAGUUCUGGUAAUGACUGAAGCAUCUUACAACGCUCCAAGUGAAGAGACCUCAGCCGCGACAGUUGCUUGAUACUUGCAGGUAAACUCUCAAAGUUAUUUCCACUUAGAUGCAAGCCUGUCAGUGAGGAUAGACAGGCAAUCUCUUGUGGAAUUUCCAUUACAGCACAGUUCCUUAUAUUUAGACGUCCCAAAGAAGAUAAACCUAAUAAUAAUGAUCGAGGCAAUGAUACCAAACCUUUGCAUCUAGAGAACUCAAGAAUUCUAAGUACGUUUGAAUCUGCAACAGAGGAUGGUAGUUGACUAAUAGCUGAUCCAGCUGCACAGAUGUAACGCAAAGAUUUUAAAUUGCCAAUGUUAUCCGGCAACUUAUCAAGUUUAGAGCAAUCUUCUACGAACAAUACUUCAAGUCCCGGUAGAUUUUCAAAUGACGAUGGCAGCUCUGUAAUUGCCGUAUGGCCUAAAUAGAUGCGUUUUAAAUGUUCCAUUUUCUCCAAGAUUUCUGGGAAACGCUCAAGGUUCACGCAGCCAUUAAGAAAAAGAUCAACCAACGAUCUCAAUUUACAAAACCCAGUUGAAAUCAUCUUCAGCCGUUUGCAAUCCCUCAAAUCCAACACUAUAAGAUCAGUUAGGCACUCUAUUGAUGAUGGAACUUCUUCUAUUGCAGACUGGAUUAAGUAUAGCCGUGUAAUUUUCCCAGAAAUCUGUGGAAACUCUACGAGAUUAACACAAUAGGAGAAAUUAAUAGUUACUGGACAAACAAAAUGAAGAUUGGUUGGAAAAGACCUAAGACUUUUGCAGCCCAUAAAAUCCAACCUACUGAGAUACUUGAAAUUCUGGAUAGAUGAGGGAACACAAGCCUUUUCUCCUUCCCAAAGUUGCUCAACUUUACUUAAACGCAAAUUCAGUUGAACGAGGUUCUUUGGCUUGAAAUUUGAUGGCAGUGUCCUUAAUGGAUAUGUGUCCCAAUGAAGAUAUCUCAAUUUUUUAGGAAGAUAAUCUAGACCAUUUGGAAGCUGCACUUUAGAGUAUGAAAGUUGCUCUUCAAUGAUCAUACUUAGAAACCUUUCAAUCCCAUAAAACUUAGGUACAUAAAAUUUGAGCAAUCUCAUACUAGACAUAUUUGUGAAGGUUCCGGGGUCUAAAUUAAUGCCUUUUAUUUUGGACAAAUCCAGAAAUAUGCCUUCAAUUGCAUCGGUCCCCUUAUUAAAAAAAAAACAAAGAAUGAGUAAUCCUAAAACAGAAAAGAAACAUUCGUAAACUUUAUUAACUAAGAGCUCCUUAAACAAAAACAAAUUCUGCAAUCUUUGAUUUUAUUUUUUUAAUAUAUUAAAUAUCUAUAUGCGAGAAAAGAAAAUUUUGGGGGCCAUUGCAAAAUUAAACUAACCGAAAAAAAAAAUUCAAAAUUUCUCUAAUUUACAAACCUGUUAUCUUAAUAUCUAGAAGUUGAGAAGACAAGGCCUAUUUGAUUGGUAUAAGAUUUCAAUUUUUUUUUUUUUUUUUUUUUUUUUUUGUCGAUAGAAUCCAAAAUGUUAGUUCAAAAUUAGGGAAAAAAAUGAAAGUCAUUUUUUUUUCCACUAGCUGUAAUUGUAUCCAAGUCAAAUUGAGAUACAACCCUUUUUGAAAGAAUUUAACCAUCUUACAACCUCCUUAAGGUACAUUUAAGAUAAAAGGAGUGAUUGGAGGCAGAACUAGGUGGGCCAAUCAGUCCAUUUUAUUAGCGACUGUUGCUUAAAAAAAAUUAUACUCUAAAACACACUUACAUUUUUGAAAAAAUAUAUAAUUAUAUUGAAGUAGAACCAGGUGGGCCAACCCUCAUGGCACUCACUUUGUUCUGACACUUUUCACUAAAUUUGAAGAAAAAUAAAAUUAUACUCUUCACACUCUUAUUCAACAUUCCAAAUUUGAUAAAAUCGGGAGUUUUCUUUAAAAAUUUAAAAUUUGAAGACUUGUUCUCUUGACACCCUCAGUCAUUAAUUUUACCUAAUUAUGGGUUUUAUGAUUUUGGUUGUUUUGUUCAUAAAAAUGCUUUUACUAAAGGAUGUUCUGGUAAUAAUAAAAUUUAUAAAAAAAACAUGGGUGUGCUGGUAUGGUUGGAAAAAUAUGAGUGCAUAACUCCAAACAAAUAAAAGAUAUAUAUAAAAAAAAAUGGAGGAUUCUUACCUUAUUAUGCUUGAGUACGCGGCGGAUUUCCUUAGGAUCCCACAACCUGCUGCGUUUGCCUGGCUCUUUCUCAGAUUCUUGGCGAACAAUCCGUCGCCCCAUUUCUUGCAAUAAAAUCAUGCAUUUGCAAGCAAUUCCCUGAUACUGAUAUGAGUGACUUAUCAAUAAGGACAUUCACGUCAUUCAGUCCAUAAGACUUAGAAUCAUCAAGUAUCCUUAUCACAAAAUCUUUAUCCUCUCCCUCAAAGAAACAAGCAAUAUCUAGAAAUACACUCUUGACAUUGGGCGUUAAUUCAUUAAAACUAAUCUUUAAUAUAUCAUACAUAUUAUGAAUAUCAGAUUCACAAAUCCGAUUUAAGUCGUCCAAUACGUUUCCCCAAUGGCUUUUCCUCUUGAGGGAGGAACCCAACACUUUAAGAACUAAUGGAUUGCCAUCAGCAUACUUUACAACUCUCCGUGACUCACGUUUGAAAUCUUCAGGACAAUGCUUUUCUUUAAAAGCGAAGUUACAAAAAUGCUCGAAAGCCUCAUCAAAUUUCAAUCCAUUAACCCUAUAUAUUUUCUCCACUGGAAACGUCUCGAGGACAUGUUUAUUCCUAGUGGUGAUGACAAUUCUACUUCCUGGACCAUACUGAUCAAGCCCUCCAAUCAAACCCUCUAAUUGUCCAUCUUUACUCACAUCAUCAAGCACAAUCAACACCUUCAUGCGUCGGACCCUCUCUUUAGUAAAUUGUGGAAUAUUGGGACCAUCUACUUUAAGUUUUUCUCUUAAUAUCCUUGAAAGAAUUUGCUUUUGUAGAUCUUCUAAUCCAUCCCCUCGUUCUAUAUUUCUCCUAACAUCUGACAUAAAGCACCUACCUUCAAACUCUCUGGAGAAUUGAUUGAAAAUAGCUGUGGCAAGGGUGGUUUUGCCUAUACCACCCAUGCCCCAAAUUCCAACAAUUUGGACAGUAUCCCACAAAUCCAUGCACAGAAAUGGUUUAAUCUGCUCAAUUCGUGAAUUUAAUCCAACUAGGCCAUUGGAUGAGUCCGUUGAGACUGUUAUUUUUUCCAUCUUCUUCAAAACAUCUUCGACAAUUUUGCUUACAAGUUGCGCAUCAUGCCUAAUAUGAAGGUGCAAAGAUGCAAAAACAUUGAGUCAAAUCGGGCCAACACAGAAACAGAGAUAAGAUGAAUUAGGAAAGAGAGUUACCUGAAUUUCGUGGAUUCGUGGCCAGCUAGAUGGGAUGUUUCUUUCAGUGCAUCCCUCCACUUCUGAACCAUUUCUGGCUUCUCUUUGAACUGUUGUUCGAGCUUAUCAAAACCGUGCCCAAAAAUUCCAGCUUGAUGCCGAACAUCGGACGGACUUACGCUAUAGAAAACUGGAAUAACGAUUUGGCCGUUUGUGUGCUUGCAUUCAAGAAUCUUGACAAGUUCAUUCAGGCACCAUUUUGAAGAAGCGUAGUCCUUUGAGAAAAUGACGACCGAAAUUUUCGAACCUUCGAUUGCGUUCAAAAGAGCAGGUGAAAUCUCAUCUCCUCGCCUAAGCUCUUCAUCAUCAAUAAACGUUUUGAUUUUCGUUCUUUCAUUCAAAUUAUAAUAGAGAUGGCAUGUAAAGCUCACGCGAGUGUCCUCUCCUCUGAAACUGAGGAAUACAUCAUAAUUGCAACAAGAAGAAGAGGAAGCCAUGAAGGAAAUUUUAGAAAUUUGGUGACAGAAACAGAGAAUUAAUCUUGAGAGUUGAGAGGGGAUAUGUAAGAAUGAAAAUGCGUAAAUAGUAAAUGAUUGAAUUAAUCUGGCGAGUAAAUAGUAAAUAAUUGAAUGGCCGGAGCUUUCUUAGUUUCCUGGAAAUUUCCUGGAGCUUUCGUAUACAUGAUUUGUCAAGUCAAGAAACAUAAUCAUGAUAAUGGGGCAGACCAGGAAGGAAAGAAAAUUUGAUCCAACCAAUAAAGGAAGGAAAAGUAAAGAAAGAAAAUUUGAAAGUAGAUUCAGAGAAUUAUAAAAAGCUAAAGGAUAUUGGAAUUUUGUACAAUUUCUCUAUUACAGUUUGGAUUAAGAUUUGAGCAAGCGGCCAAAACUACAUUGCGUCAGGGCUUUGGUGCCACACUCGUUUGUCUGUUAGUAGCAUUGGAUUUGAUCUGACGGCUGCAGAAGAGACACAAACAUAAAGAGGAGUAACCUGAGGAAAAGGUAAUAAGCCGGUUACCUGCAGAAAAUAAGUGCAUGAUAAAAUAACACAAGUAAUGAACACAAUGGAAGCGUAUAUGCAAGUAAUGGUUGGAAACAACUUGCUGGAAGCGUGCAAGUAUUGGUUGGGCACAGACCGACAUUAAAUUUCGCAAAUAGUGUCUGAAACAUUUGCAAAUACUUAAUUCAAAACGUCAAUAAAUGCUGGAAAAAAUACAUAUUUUUUUAUUUUUUAUUAAGAAUACAUUUAAAAAAAGAAUAAUUAUUAAUGGUACAUAUUUGUAACAAUUAUACCAAAAACAAUUAUCCAUAUAUUUAAAAAAAAUGUUAACAAUACAUAUUUUUUAGAAGUAUACAUAUUAUAUCAUAAAAAAAUUGAGUUGGAGCUUCGACAAGUAGAUCUUAAAAAACUAAGGUUGAAUUUUGGAGGAGCAGAUUCGGUCGUGGAGUAACAUUUGUUUAUUAUUAUUAAUUUAUUUUGGUAGUCCUAGUGAAACAUCGUUGUUUCACAUAGAUGAUGUCGCAGUUUGAUAGACGGGAUGACAUGUGAUUUUUUAUCAAAUAUAUCGGGCCACAUGGCAUUUUUGACUAGGUGAAUGGAGUGACAUGUUAAUUUUUUUUUUUUUUAAUCAAAGGUUCUUCUAUCUUAGAAGACUAGAUUAGCCUUAUGAUGUCAAGACUUGGAAACGACAACUAACUGACUAGUGGAUAGCAGACACAUGUUGUCAACUUAGGGUAUACAAGGAUACAUGUUAAAAGUAUUGUAGUAUAUGUGAUACAAGUGUCAUGGAAGGCUAUAUGAGUGAUAAUUACUCAUUAAACUAUAAGUUGCAAUAAUUUAACACAACAAGUGCCAAUUAAAAUGUAAUAAUUUAAAAAAAAUUAGGUAUUCUCCGUCUGUCUCCCUCUCAAUCAAUGUGUCCUACUUUGAAUGUUAAUAUUUAUUAUCAAACAUAAAAAAAUUCUAAAAUAUUAAAAAAAAAAAACAGAGUCUUCUAGGCACAUAAAUUAGAGUAGUUUCGUGAACAAAGAACUUGAGAAAGAUAAUGGUGGCACUCUCUUAGAAGGAAUCUAUGGGGUUAAUGUUUUCUUCCCUAUGUCUAUUUUAUGUAUCUUAGUUUCAAAAACAAGAUGUACACAAUUAGGGGUUGGUUAAUGCAGUUAAAACGGUGGAAAAAGGCUUAUAGAAAUAAAAUAUAAUUGUAAUGCAGUGUUUGGUAUGAAUAAGUAAACUAAAAAUAAGACAAUUGGGUAUACGAAUUUAUAAUGCGAUAAUAAUAUUUUUUCCCUAAGACGACCCGUAGGGUAAGAUUAUAGACUAAAUUGUUGUGUUAUGUUAAUGAUACGAUAUAAAAGUGUUGUUUUAGAAGCUGUAAAAGUUAGUUAAUGUGAAAUUUGUUUUUAAAGGUAAUUGUCUUGUAACCCCUUGUUUUUAAGGGUAAGAUUAUAGACGCAAUUUGUUUGUUUUGAAAAAAAGUCCCUUAUGUUGAGCUGGACUUUUUUUCGUCUUCACAAGUCCCUUUUGCCGAGCUGGAAUUUUUCUGACAGAGUCUCCGUUUGUUCCCAUAAUAGCGGCGAGAAUCUGGCCGAGCCUCGAUGAUAGCUCGUUGCUACGACACGUGACUGUGUCCAUUGAGUCUCUAUUCGAAAUCCAAAUGUCGACGACAACGGCCGCCUCCACUAACGGUUCUCAAAUCACGCCGUGCGUUGAUGACGUGGCGGUGGCAAUUAACAACAAUAACUUCAACUCGAAGGAGAGAUUCAACGACCGUGAUUUUUUGUUGAAGCAGUCGUAUUCGUUUGGAUUCGAGCGGAGUCUUGCAUCGAAGAGGAUGGUGAUGGAGGCGGUAAUGGCGUUGCCGUGGAAGUACAAGAGGGGGAGUUACUGGAGCAAACAGUCGUCUCCGUUUGGCUCAUUGACGAAGUCUAGAGUCUUCUGGAGCAAAGGAUUAUAUACUUAUCCUCUUUGUUUUCCUUUUACUGAUACUGUAGCUUUAGCCGAUUACCCAUUUUCCAAGUGUUAAACAUGAGCCGUUGUUACCUUUCUUUACUAUCUAAAUGGUCAUUCGCAAAAGGACAAAUGACUAGGGUAUCAAACCCCUUACGCAAUGUAGCUGGACCCUUAGCAAAGCAUUCACCUAAAUCUUACCUCCGCUGUAAAUUCUUAAGUUUUGAAAAUUAUGAGACCUUUAUAUUGGGAGAUAUUAUAAUCAAAUGAAAAGUUAAAAUUUUAAUAUUGUUAAUAAAUGACAAAGCCAUUUCAUUUCUCUUUUACAUGUUAUUAAUUUUUGUAACACGGGGUGGCAACAUAAGCAUAAUCAAGUAAAGCAAAAGGGUUUCAAAUUAUGGUGGUAAAACGUGAAGAAGGAUGCCAACUGAAUAAUUCCUUCCACAAAACGAAAAAUAAUCACAGAAAAAGGAAUCUCUUAUAAAAUGUUUGCGUAUUUUUUAUAAGGUUUGAAACUUUAGGUGGUCGGUAAAUGAUUUCUUAAUUGAAUAAUAUAUAAAAAAGCUAAUUAUUUAUAAUUUUAAAUAAUCUGAAUUUGUAUGUUAGAAAUUUCAUCUCUUUUAUUUUUGAGAAUUUUUCAUAAAGAAUAGAGAACAUAAUGUUAACAUUUAAAGUAACACAUCUCAAUCGUCGAAAUUAUUUUUCUAUUAAAUCCAACGAUAACGAAUUAAUGUCAGAAAAGGACAAAAUUAGUGGUGGCUUGCAAUAAUUGCAAGGUAGCUUUUGUAAAGACAGAAAUGUGAUGGAUUCAAAAAGAAAUUGAAGUGAUAAUGUACGUGGAUCCUUAAAAUAAAAAGCCGAAUCGCUUGGUGGCCCAGUAAAAUUACGAUUUGAAUUUUUUUUUUUUUUUUUUUUACACAAUGUGUCAAGCACAUAAAUGACGAAAGCCAUUUCAUUUCCCUUUCACACGUCAUUAACUUUUGUAACACGGUGUGUUCAUCGUCAAGUGAGGCAAAAGGGUUUCCAUUACAGUGGGAAAACAUGAACAAGAAUGCAUAAUGAAUAAUUCCUUCGAUAAAGCGAAAAUUAAACAUAAAAUAAUCCUAAAAUUUAAACUCUAAUAUCCUUCGAUAAUGUAUUGAUUAAAAAUAAUCCUAAGAGUUUCCAAUUGAAACUUCCGUAAGUAUUUUUAUUGUUUUGGAUAAACAAAUUGCACUAGGAUAAAAAUUUGGUAAAUUCAGAGGAUAAUAGAAAAUAGCUAUGGUUCAAUAGGCCAAAGAUUAGAGAACAAACAAGAAUUAGUUAUUGAUAUACAAAAGAGAAACACUCCAAAAUUUCAAGCAAAAAUAGUUUCAUAUACCAUUUCGAUUUUGGAAGGGGUGAGGUUUUGAAAUUCAAUAGUUUCCUCUAAAAUCAAAAGGCAGCAAUUAAGUUAGAAAGAGCAAAGAAGACUUAUUGGUACCUUAUUGAAGCUGAACAUUAUGGAACUUUCAAUGUCAUUACCUCACUGUUCAAUUUUUAUUGAGAUUUGUGCAAGCAUUUACCUAAAUUUUACCUCCGCCUGUAAAUUCAUAAGUUUUGAAAAUUUUGAGACGUUAUAUUGGGAGAUAUUAUAAUCGAACUAAAACUUAAAAUUUCAAUAUUAUUAUUCUUUGAAAAAAAAAUGAGAUAUCAGAGUAAUAUCACAUAGAAUGGUAAGCCAAAAGUCUAAUCAACCACAUGCAUAAAGCUAACUAGAACAAGUGAACAGAGAAACGCGUGGGUCCCUAAAAGAAAAGGCAAGCACAUAAAGAAAACGGAAAACAAACGCCAGAGAAAAGAAUUUCUUAUAUGCCUUGAUAUUGAUUAAUAUUCAGCGAUAGCUUAAUGCUUACCAUCAAGCAACUUUGAAAGCAGGAAGCUAUAUAUGACAAGAAAUCAAAGUAAUGUGAAGGAACAUGAUGAUGAAAUUGCAGGCCAGCACAAAAACACCCAUACCCCUGAUUUGUUUAAAUGUACACGAAGACCUUAAGGUUUGGUAAAAGAAAAUUGAAUUUAUAUUGUAUUAUAAUACAAUUUUUUUUAAACCAUCAAUGAUAAAAUCUUCUUACUUUUUUCCAUCCUUUGGAUCAAUAAGUACAAAUUUCUCAUCUAAAUCUUCAUACUUUUUACAAAUGACUUUUGUGCCAUAGAUUUUUUUUUUCUUUUUUUGGUUUUGCCGAAAAAACAAAACAAAUUCAUAAACAACAUUGUAUUUCACCAAUUAACAGUGCAAGUGUCAUUAUAGUUUCCACAUUUUAGUUCUGUUUUUUUUAGUUUCAUUUUCUUUCUGUUAUGUAACUGAUGUUUCAUUGCUAUAAAAUUAAUUGUCUGUUUCUCUUCACAACUGUUAUUUUGAAUGAUUUUUUCUGAAUUUUAUAAACAAUUUGUAUAUGACAGGAAAUGAAGCAGAGUGCGAGCAACUUGUAUGGAUUCCUAAAAGGUCUGGUCAGAGUGUUCCUUUCAAUGCAUACAUCUGGCGGCGAGGGACUAUUCCAAUAUGGUGGGGUGCAGAAUUAAAGCUUACUGCUGCUGAAGCAGAAAUUUAUGUUGCAGAUCGGGAUCCUUAUAAAGGAAGUCUGCAGUAUUAUCAGAGGUUGAGUAAUCGAUAUGAUGCUCGAAACUUUGACUUAGCUGUUGGGGAAAAUCAGAAGAAAAAGCCUUUUAUUCCAAUUGUAUGCAUUAACUUGCUUAGGAAUGCGGAAGGGAAAUCAGAAUCUAUUUUAGUUCAGCAUUUUGAGGAAUCUUUGAACUAUGUCAGAUCAACUGGAAAACUUCCUUAUACUCGAAUUAUUUUAAUAAAUUAUGACUGGCAUGCCAGUACAAAAUUAAAAGGUGAACAACUUACAAUUGAAGGAUUAUGGAAGCAUCUAAAAGCACCCACUCAGGCCGUAGGCAUUUCUGAAGGGGACUAUUUGCCAUCACGGCAACGACUUAAUGAUUGCCGAGGUGAAGUCAUCUGCAAUGAUGACUUUGUGGGUGCCUUUUGCUUAAGAUCCCAUCAGAAUGGAGUGAUACGCUUUAACUGUGCAGACUCUCUUGAUCGGACCAAUGCUGCUAGUUAUUUUGGUGCUCUGCAAGUAUUUGUGGAGCAAUGUAGGCGGCUUGGGGUCUCCCUUGACAGUGAUUUUGCAUAUGGCUAUCAGUCAGCUAAUAACUAUGGUGGAUAUACUGCUCCUUUGCCACGAGGAUGGGAGAAACGAGCUGAUGCAGUGACAGGAAAAACAUAUUAUAUCGAUCACAACACUAGGACCACAACAUGGAUUCAUCCAUGCCCAGACAAACCUUGGAAGAGAUUUGAUAUGACAUUUGAGGAGUUCAAGCAUUCAACAAUUUUAUCACCAGUGUCUCAGCUAGCAGAUCUUUUUCUGCUUUCUGGUGAUAUCCAUGCAACCCUUUAUACUGGUUCAAAAGCAAUGCAUAGCCAAAUUCUUAAUAUAUUCAAUGAAGAACCAGGAAAGUUCAAACAAUUUUCUGCAGCACAAAAUAUGAAAAUUACUCUGCAGAGAAGAUACAAAAAUGCAGUUGUCGAUAGCUCUCGUCAGAAACAGCUGGAGAUGUUUCUUGGAUUUAGGCUGUUCAGUUCAUUUUUUUGUGGUAGAAAUGUCGUCAUUUUAAAUUUAGUGUAUUUUCAAAAAGCUUAUUUUCUCAGAAUAUAAAAAAUAAAAAAAUAAAAAAAGAAUUCUUACAUGUUUCAUCAGCAUGAUUAAAAUCGAAGAAGAAAGCGAGACAUAAUGUCUCUGACAUAAUAAAAUUACAAAAAUUUCAAGGAAAAAAAAGAAGUUAAAACAUGUAAUCUUCAGAAGCAUAUAAUAAAAGAGCACUUCCACAAAUUACUACAAUUUCAUGCAGUAGAGAUUGAAGAGUUGAAUUCCACUUAUAGACACCGACCUCUUGUUUUGUCUAAUGUUAAAAUUACAACCUCUUGCUUUGACUUAUUAGCAGGUUUCAAAAGUAAUAAGGAAUACAUAGAUAAAACAUCAUCUUAAACAAAUCACAAUCUAGAAUUAGAGCAUUUUCGACAUACCUAAGGACCACGAAUACGUGAAAACGGGUGACUCAUUUGUUAAGAAGUGUUGAUUUGAUCGGCUCUGCAAAUUCUCUUGGGACUCGGUUCCAAUUCCUCUUCAUCCGAAGUUCCACUCGCGCUUGGAAAAUCAUCCAAUUUCCAAACUUCGGUAGCAAAAUUGAGAGUAAAAGUGUUGGCUUUGAUCUCGCUGGGAUUUGCAUAUACUGGACAUACUCCGUAACGUUUUAUCUUGCAAUCCUUUUGGCUUCGGUAACACUUAUUGAAGAACUUAAGUGAGACAGUUGUAUGAUGGUAACCAUCGGGAAAGCCAACAUUCAAGCAAGGUUUAAAACCAAGUAUGACAUGAUCGGAAUCAAGGGAGUAUCUAGUGGGCAAAUCGAAACCCAGAUCAACAUGUUUGGUUUCAGAGAGAGUCUUUAUUUCUAAGUCGAAUUGACGGUAGAAGUAAAAAUCACACAUACAACGAGAAUAAACUUUCUUAAAAUCAAGAACAGCACAAAAAGCAAACCCGAUUAAGUUUCUGAAAAAAGAGUGCGGUGGCAGUUGAAUAUAUAUCGAAGAUCCUGAACUUUGAUUGCUGAACCAGUCAGGAAUUUCGCCCCCAGGUAAAACAAUUAGGGAUCCCCUGAGUUCUGAAAGUUUCUGUGAAAUGACAUUUAAAAAAAGAAAAUUGUAAAAUGAAAACCAUGAUUUCAGAUAGGGAUAUUAUCAUUUUUCCACCAAAGGUAUUCUGACACAUCAUGUCAGUACCACGGUUUGGUAAAACUAUCAAUUUACCACCAAACGUUUAAACUGUUAGGAUUUUCCCACUAUUCCGUUAAAACUCAGUUAAUAUGUAACGGAAAAUUUCUAAAAAGUCAAUUUUACCCCUGGAGCAUAAAAGACCAUAUAAUUAACUUUUUAUGAAUUUUGUAAUUAAAUCAUCAUUUGUUGUUCUUCCUUCUUAAAGGACAAAAAUUACCCUUUAUAAAUUUUAUAAAAUUGGCCGUGUAGUGCUAGGUACUUCAUAAAUUAAUUUAAUUUUUAAAGGGCAAAUUUAUUUAUUAAAUUGAUGAGCUCAAGACAAUUUAUUCUACUACUAAAAAUCAAUUUAUGAAAGGGAAAAAAAAAAGAAUGUGCAAACGAAGUAAUUUAAUCUUUGAUAUGAUGAUAAUAAUUUUACACAAAAAAUUAAAUAAAUAAAUUUUCCCUUUAAAAAUUAAAUAAAUUAAAUCAAUUUAUGAAGUACCAAAUACCACACGGUCAAUUUUACAAAAUUCAUAAAUGGUAAUUUUUGUCGUUUAAGAAUAAAGAAUAACAAAUGAUGAUUUAAUUACAAAAUUCAUAAAAGGUUAAUUAUAUGGUCUUUUAUGCUCAGGGGUAAAAUUGACCUUUUAGGAAUUUUCCGUUAGAUAUUAACUGAGUUUUAACGGAAUGGUGGGAAAAUGCUAACAGUUUAAACGUUUGGUGGUAAAUUGAUAGUUUUACCAAACCGUGGUACUGACAUGAUGUGUCAGAAUACCUUAGGUGGGAAAAUGAUAAUAUCCCUUUCAGAUAUAACAAAGAGGGACAGAGUAAACAAGAGAGGGAAUUUGAUACCUCGUUGAUUGCCUUUUCAUAGCCCAGUCUCAGUGAUGCAAUUGCCAUAUGCCGAAUUCUUAGUUGUGAAUCUGCCAAAAUCUUGUUGUUUGCUUUUCCAUUCAGUUUCAAGCAGUUAGUAAACCCAAAAUAAAUUGGUUGUGACUCCAGACAUCCCGGUGCCCAUUGACGAAGGUCAGGAGAGGGUUUCGAUAGCUUUUCGAGUACGGAUGCAUCUAGUUCUUGUAGACAUGACGGAAUCUCUGGCAAAGAUUGGAGCCGGUUGCAGUUCCUUGCAUUUAGUGAUUGUAGACACAAUGAAAGUUCUGGUAAUGACCGAAGCAUGUUACAAUCCUCCAAGUUAAGAUAUUUUAGACACAAUGGAAGUUCUGGUAUUGACCGAAGCAUGUUACAACCCGUCAAGGCAAGAGAUUCUAGACACAAUGGAAGUGCUGGUAAUGACUGAAGCAUCUUACAAUCCGUCAAGUCAAGAGAUGUUAGGCACAAUGGAAGUUCUGGUAAUGACUGAAGCAUCUUACAAUUCUUCAAGUCAAGAGAACUCAACUGCGACAGUUGCUUGAUACUUGCAGGUAAACUCUCAAAGUUAUUUCCACUUAGAUGCAAGCCUGUCAGUGAGGAUAGACAGGCAAUCUCUUGUGGAAUUUCCAUUACAGCACAGUCACUUAUAUCUAGAAGUCCCAAAGAAGAUAAACCUAAUAAUAAUGAUCGAGGCAAUGAUGCCAAACCUUUGCAGCUAGAGAAAGAAAGAAUUCCAAGUACGUUUGAAUCUGUAACAGAGGAUGGUAGUUGACUAAUAGCUGAUUUAGCUGCUGAGAUGUAAUACAAAGAUUCUAAAUUGCCAAUGUUAUCCGGCAACUUAUCAAGUUUAGAGCAACCAUUUAUGAACAAUGAUUCAAGCCCCGGUAGAUUUUCAAAUGACGAUGGCAGCUCUGUAAUUGCCGUCCGGUCUAAAUAGAUGCGUUUUAAAUGUUCCAUUUUCUCCAAGAUUUCUGGGAAACGCUCAAGAUUCAAGCAGCCAAGAAGAAUAAGCCGAACCAAAGAUCUCAAUUUACAAAACCUAGUUGAAAUCCUCUUCAGCCGUUUGCAACCCAUCAAAUCCAACACUUCAAGAUCAGUUAGGCACUCUAUUGAUGAUGGAACUUCUUCUAUUGCAGACUGGUCUAAGUAUAGCCGUGUAAUUUUCCCAGAAAUCUGUGGAAACUCUAUGAGAUUAACACAAGAGGAGAAAUUAAUAGUUACUGGACAAACAAAAUGAAGAUUGCUUGGAAAAGACCUAAGACUUUUGCAGCCCUUAAAAGACAACGCACUGAGAAACUUGAAAUUCUGGAUAGAUGAGGGAACACAAGCCUUUUCUCCUUCCCAAGGUUGCUCAACUUUACUAAAACGCAAAUUCAGUUCAACAAGGUUCUUUGGCUUGAAAUUUGAUGGCAGUGUCCUUAAUGGAUAUGUGUCCCAAUGAAGAUAUCUCAAUUUUUUAGGAAGAUAAUAUAGGCCUUUUGGAAGCUGCACUUUAGAGUAUGAAAGUUGCUCUUCAAUACUCAUACUUAGAAGCUUUUCAAUCCCAUAAAACUUAGGUACAUAAAAUUUGAGCAAUCUCAUAUUAGACAUAUUUGUGAAGGCUCCGGGGUCUAAAUUGAUGCCUUUUAUUUUGGACAAAUCCAAAAAUAUGCCUUCAAUUGCAUCAAUCCCCUUAUAUAAAAAAAAAAAAAACAAAGAAUGGGUAAGCUUAAAACUCAAAAGAAACAUUCGUAAACUUUACUAAGAGCUCCUUAAACAAAAACAAAUUCUGCAAUCUUUGAUUUAAUUUUUUUAAUAUAUUAAAUAUCUAUAUGUGAGAAAAGAAAAUUUUGGGGACCAUUGCAAAAUUCAACUAACUGAAAAAAAAAAUUCAAAAUUUCUCUAAUUUACAAACCUGUUAUCUUAAUAUCUAGAAGUUGAGAAGACAGGGCCUAUUUGAUUGGUAUAAGAUUUCGAUUUUUUUUUAGUCCAUAGAAUCCAAAAUGUUAGUUCAAAAUUAGGGAAAAAAGUCAUUUUUUUCCACCAACUGUAAUUGUAUCCAAGUCAAAUUGAGAUACGACCCUUUUCGAAAGGAUUUAACCAUCUUAUAGCCUCCUUAAGGUACAUUUAAGCUAAAAGGAGUGAUUGGAGGCAGUUCUAGGUGGGCCAAUCAGUCCAUUUUAUUAGUGACGUUUGCUUAAAAAAAAAAAUUAUACUCUAAAACACACUUUUUUUUUUUUAAAAAAAUAUAAUUAUAUUGAAGUAAAACCCGGUGGGCCAAUCCUCAUGGCACUCACUUUGUUCCGACACUCUUCACUAAAUUUGAAGAAAAAUAAAAUUAUACUCUUCACACUCUUAAUCAACAUUCCAAAAUUGAUUAAAUCUGGAGUUUUCUUUAAAAAUUUAAAAUUUGAAGAUUUGUUGUCUUGACACCCUCAGUCAUUAAUUUUACCUAAUUAUGGUUUUUAUGAUUUUGAUUGUUUUGUUCAUAAAAAUGCUUUUACUAAAGGAUGUUCUGGUAAUAAUAAAAUUUAUAAAAAACACAUGGGUGUGCUGGUAUGGUUGGAAAAAUAUGAGUGCAUAACUCCAAACAAAUAAAAGAUAUAUAAAAAAAAGAUGGAGGAUUCUUACCUUAUUAUGCUUUAGUACGCGGCGGAUUUCCUUAGGAUCCCACAACCUACUGCGUCUGCCUGGCUCUUCCUCAGAUUCUUGGCGAACAAUCUCUCGACCCAUUUCUUGCAAUAAAUCAUGCAUUUGCAAGCAGUUAUUUGACACUGUUAUGAGUGACUUGUCCACGAGGGCAUCUAGUUUGUGAGACCCAGAAUCAUCAAGUAUCCUCGACACAAAAUCUUUAUCCUCUCCCUCAAGGAAACACGCAAUAUCUAGAAACAUACUCUUCUGCUUGCGUGUUAAUUCAUUAAAACUAAUCUUUAAUAUAUCAUAAAUAUUAUGAAUAUCAGAUUCACAAAUCCGAUUUAAGUCGUUCAAUACAUUUUCCCAACGGCUUUUAUCCUUGAGGGAGGAACCCAACACUUUAAGAACUAAUGGAUUGCCAUCGGCAUACUCUACAACCCUCUGUGAGUGCCAGUUGAGAUCUUCAGCACAAUGCUUUUCUUUAAAAGCGAAGUUACAAAAAUGCUCGAAAGCCUCAUCAAAUUUCAAUCCAUUGACCCUAUAUAUUUUCUCCACUCCAAAUUUUUCGAGGACUCGUUUAUCCCUAGUGGUUACAACAAUUCUACUUCCUGGACCAUAUUGAUCAAGCCCUCCAAUCAAACCCUCUAAUUGUUCAUCUUUAUUCACAUCAUCAAGUGCAAUCAACACCUUCAUGCGUCGGAGCCUCCCUUUAGUAAAUUGUGGAAUGUUGGGACCAUCUACUUCAAGUUUUUCACUUAAUAUUGUCGAAAGCAUUUCCUUUUGUAGCUCUUCUAGGCCACCCCCUGUUUCUGAUUUUCUCCUAACAUUUUUUGCAAAGUAUUUUCCAUCAAACUCACCAGAGAAUUGAUCGAAAAUAGCUUCAGCAAGGGUGGUUUUGCCUAUACCACCCAUGCCCCAAAUUCCAACAAUUUGGACAGUAUCCCACAAAUCCAUGCACAGCAAUGGUUUAAUCUGCUCAAUUCGUGAAUUUAAUCCAACCAGGCCAUUGGAUGAGUCCGUUGAGACUGUUAUUUUUUCCAACUUCUUCAAAACAUCUUCGACAAUUUUGUUUACAAGUUGCGCAUCAUGCCUAAUAUGAAGGUGCAAAGAUGCAAAAACAUUGAGUCAAAUCGGGCCAACACAGAAACAGAGAUAAGAUGAAUUAGGAAAGAGAGUUACCUGAAUUUUGUGGAUUCGUGGCCAGCUAGAUGGGAUGUUUCUUUCAGUGCAUCCCUCCACUUUUGAACCAUUUCUGGUUUCUCUUUGAGCUGCUGUUCUAGCUUGUAAAAACCGUCCCCAAAAACUCCGGUUUGAUGCCGCACAUCAGAUGGACUUACUUCAUAGAAGACUGGAAUAAUAAUUUGGCCGUUUGUGUUCUUGCAUUCAAGAAUCUUGACAAGUUCAUUUAGGCACCAUUUUGAAGAAGCGUAGUCCUUUGAGAAAAUGACCACCGAAAUUUUUGAACCUUCGAUUGCGUUCAAAAGAGCAGGUGAAAUCUCAUCUCCUCGCCUAAGCUCUUCAUCAUCAAUAAACGUUUUGAUUUUCGUUCUUUCAUUCAAAUUAUAAUAGAGAUGGCAUGUAAAGCUCACGCGAGUGUCCUCUCCUCUGAAACUGAGGAAUACAUCAUAAUUGCAACAAGAAGAAGAGGAAGCCAUGAAGGAAAUUUUAGAAAUUUGGUGACAGAAACAGAGAAUUAAUCUUGAGAGUUGAGAGGGGAUAUGUAAGAAUGAAAAUGCGUAAAUAGUAAAUAAUUGAAUUAAUCUGGCGAGUACAUAGUAAAUAAUUGAAUGGCCGGGGCUUUCUUAGUUUCCUGGAAAUUUCCUGGAGCUUUCGUAUACAUGAUUUGUCAAGUCAAGAAACAUAAUCAUGAUAGGAAAUGGGGCAGACCAGGUAGGAAAGAAAAUUUGAUCCAACCAAUAAAGGAAGGAAAAGUAAAGAAAGAAAAUUUGAAAGUAGAUUCAGAGAAUUAUAAAAAGCUAAAGGAAAUUGGAAUUUUGUACCAUUUCUCCAGCCAGGAACUUUCAUUGUCAUUACCUCACUGUUACAGUUUGGAUUAAGAUUUGACUUUUGAGCAAACAUUCGCCAAAAUUUUACCUCUGCCUGUAAAUUCUUAAGUUUUGAAAAUUAUGAGACCUUUAUAUUGGGAUAUAUUAUAAUCGAAUCAAAACAUAAAAUUUUAAUAUUGUUAAUCUUUAAUCUUUUUUUUAAAAAAUUGAACAACAGAGUAAUUUCUAACAUAGAAAAAGUUGUAUAAUUGUCCAAUUAUUUAUAAUUUUAAAUAAUCCGGAUUGGUUUGUUAGAAAAUCAUCUCUUUGAUUUUUGAGAAUUUUUCAUAAAGAAUAGGGAAUAUAAUGUUCAUAUUUAAAGUAAGUAAGUAACACAUCUCAAUUGUUGAAAUUAUUUUUCCAUUAAAUUCAACGAUGACGAAUUAAAGUCAGAAAAUGACAAAAUCAGUGGUGGCUUGCAAUAAUUGCAAGGUCGCUGGACCCUUGCAAAAUGUGUGAAAGUAAAUAAUUGAAUGCACAGAGCUCGCUUUCUUACUUUCGUUCCGGUUUCCUGGAAAUUUCUUGGAGCUUUCAUAUACAGGAUUUGCCAUGUUAAGAAACAGGGUCAUGAUAAUGGGGCAAACAUUUGAUUGAACCAAUAAAGGAAGGGAAAGCAAAGUAAGGAAAAUUUGAAAUUAUAAGAAGCUAAAGAAACAUCCAACGUCAUUACCUCACUGUUACAAUUUUUAUUGAGAUUUGAGCAAGCACUUACCUAAACAUUACCUCCGCCUGUAAAUUUAUAACUUUUGAAAAUUAUGAGAUCUUAGAUUGCGAGAUAUUAAAAUUUAGAAUUUCAAUAUUAUUAUUCUUUUAAAAUGAAAUUUGAGAUAACAGAGUGAUUGAUAAUAUAGGAGAACUUGACCACGGUAGGCCAAAAAUCUAGGCAAGCACAUGCAUACACAGAAAUGUGAUGGAUUCUGAAAGAAAUUAAAGUAAUAAUGUACGUAGGUCCUUAAAAUAAAAAGCAAAAUCGCUUGGUGGCCCAGUAUAAUAUAUAUAUAUUAUAAUACAAUAUAAUACAAUAUAAAUUCAAUCCUUACCUGAGGCAUGGAUGCACAACGAGUUACCUGCCACGCUGGAGCACCUUGAGGUCAAUUGUUGCUCGAAUCUUGCUUUCUUGUCACGGAAUGGAAAUCUACCUCAGGCUCUUAAGUACCUUCGUGUUGAAGACUGUUCAAAGCUGGAGUCGUUAGCAGAAAGGUUGGACAACACAUCCCUUGAAGAAAUUGAUAUUUCAGGGCUUGAAAAUCUUAAAUCAUUACCUGCCGGUUUGCAUAAUCUCCACGAUCUUCAAAAGAUUUGGAUAUCUGAAUGUCCAAAUCUUGAGUCAUUUCCCGAAGAAGGAUUGCCUUCUACGAAACUGACUCUGCUCACGAUAUGUGAUUGUGAGAAUCUGAAGGCUUUACCCAACUACAUGCACAAUCUCACUUCAUUGAAAACUCUGCGUCUCGGUAAUUGUCCGAAGCUCACAUACUUUCCAGAGCAGGGCCUGCCUAAAUCACUUUUGGAACUAAUUGUCUCUAAUUGCCCGUUGAUAGAAGAAAGGUGCAGAAAGGAUGAAGGAAAAUAUUGGCCCAUGAUUUCCCAUAUACCUUGUGUCCAAAUUAAUUUCAGAUCAGUUUUUAAAGGAAGAUCCAUCAAUUAGAUUGUGUAAUCAUAAUUUCUUUUUUUUUUCCACCUGUAAUUUAAUUGUAAUAUGAACUGACUUUAUCAAUAAAAGAAUAAAAUUAUGUUUAGGAUUGUCAGUGAAGUUGAUAAAGUAAGAAGAGCAGAGGAAAGAAGUAAUAAGAGAAGAAGAAACUCCAGUUCAAGGAGGGAUGUUAGUGAAACUGAUUAAAUGAGAAGGAACAGAGAAAUCGUGUACAUGCUGUUAUUGUGCUCUUGACAGCAGCUAAGCAGCUCACUUAAGCUGACGUGGAUUAGUUAGUUAUUUGGUUUAACAAAUUAUCAUUUUAUAUAUAUAAAUGAUAAAAAAUUGAAUUUAUAUUGUAUUAUAAUAUAUAUAUAUAUUAAACCAAACCAAACUUAUGUUAUAUGGUUUUUUAAAAAAAACUUAUUUUAUAUGGUUAAAAGAAAACCUUAUGUUAUACGGUUUCAAAAAAAUAAACUUAUAUUAUAUGGUUUCUUAUUAAUAAUCACACAAACCUUAAGGACUACCAUUUGUUUUUUGAAAAAAAAAAUUGAAUCUAAAGAUUUUUGAGAAAUGACCCAUUAUAAGUUGAACUUAUAUUAUAUAUAUUUUCUCCUUACAUGGACAACCACAGAAAAGACCGACCAGUUAUCUCCAUGAACUCGUAUAAAUUCAACCAAAAUAACAAUUCCAAUCUUACCAAAUUCUUGAGUUAAAUUUAUUCAAUGCUUUUUUUUUAUAGGAAAUUUUUUCCAAUGCUACUUUUCCUUUUUUGGGGAAAUUAGACCGCGGUAUGUGUAGAAGACAUUGAGGUGUAAAGCGACAUUAAUUUCAUGGGUUAUGCGUUAUAGGCAUAAUAUAUUUUCAGUCCAGAUUCAAUUAUGCAAAGAGGCUUGAGAACUUAAAAUUAACCACAAACUAAACAGACGAAGUAAAUACAUGAUUAUGCAACAUAACAUUAAUUCUCUCAAUUUAUAACUGUUUUUGCUACAUGAAUCUUGCACAGUUAGUCCUAAUUGAAGACUAAAAAAGAACAAUUGGAACAAGGUUUUGGAAUAGAAUGAUAUACAAUCAAUAUGAUCCAUUUCUAGUGGCCAAAGCUAAUUAACUGCAAUUUCUAGACUCCUAAGUAUACUAGUCAUAGGAAACUGUUUAGAAAACUAGUGAUCAGAUUAGAUUUUGAAAAGAAAUAAUGUUCAUUUCCCCUUCUCUACCUUUUUUUUUUUUUGUUUUAUUUUUAUAGCAAAGAAUUAUAUCAUGAAAAGAAUCAAUUUAAUCACCUUUUCCAGCAGCCCAAUUUUUCUUUUAUAAAAUUGGACCACGGAGACAAAGAAGAAUUAUUCAUACCUUCAUCACUAAGGAAAUACUUUUCGGUAUGGCUAAGGUGAGAAAAGGCUUUCCACAAACACUAGUAGUUUGUAUUCCUAUAAAUUUUCUUUGAAGUCAAUAAAAACCAUAAGUUUUUUACAAUAACCAUCUCUUUGAUCAAAAAGUGCCGUAUUCCUUUAGAAUUUAAAACCGGCAAAAACCGAAUCGAUCAGUGUCUUUGAAGAGACAUAAUGGUCGUAAUUCUUUAAAUGAGUUGGCUAUGGAAAUCCUUAUCCAAGAUUCUUUUACGCCAUAUUCUUUCGUAAACCAAAAUUCAUUUUGGAAUACUCCUCGUCCCAACAUACAGAGACAGUCUGUCAUAACUUUAGCCGAAUACUUAUGAUAAUGAUCAUUUGUGAUUUCAUCAGGCAUAGGCAAGAACUUGAACUUGUCUACUACCAACCAAAAGCCGAAAUUCGCCUGCCACCCCCAAUGAUUCCUAAUACUAUUUUAAUACCAAGUUUGAUCACAAGAUAAGAAUCAGAUUUAACACUUUUCCAAGUGUUGUUUCUCAAAGAGAAGUCAUACACAUUUUAUUUUCUACCAGGAACUGUUGUACUAUCUAGCCAAAUGUAAAUUUCCGGUCUUGGUAUUCUCUUACCUCUCUAGUGGAAGGAUUGUAUAUCUUAUAUAAAUAGUUAUUAUAAUUACGCUCCGAGUCUCUCUUUAGUCCUCAAGCACAAUAAGCCAUUACAAGAACCCAAUAUCAAAACCGAUUCAUAAAGCUAACCAUUGCUUUAAUUUGCAAGUUAAAGAAAAAAUCACUUCAGGUUUCAGGGAUACUGUACGUAAAAUCGAGGAAGGUAACUGGAAAACACUUGUAUAUAUGUCAAGCAAACUGCAGGAUUUGUGAUUAUAUGUGUAAAAUAGAUAAGACUGAUAAUAUAGCAAUCGCAUAUACAUGCCAAUCCUAGUGGAGUAAAAGCUCUAUUGCCACUAGAAUUCUGUUCGUGGAAUUUGUUCUCAAAUUUCAACCGUAUGUAAAGUUUGAACUCUAAUUGCUUAUAAUGUAUUGAUUAAGAAUAAUCCUAAGAGUUCCUGAUUGAAAUUUUUUAAUGACUUUUUUAUUGUUUUGGAUAUACAAAUUGCAUUAAGAAAAAAUAUUGUCAAUUUCAGAGGAUAACGGGAAAUGAUUAUGCUUCAAAAGGCCAGAGAUUAGAGAAUAAAGAAGCAUUCAUUACUGAUAUACAAAAGAGAAACACUCCAAAAUUGCUAGCAAACUAGUUUCAUUUACUAUUUGGAUUUUGGAAGGGGUGAAGUUUUGAGCUUCAGUUGUUCCUCUAAAAUCAAAAGUAGCAAUUAAGCGUUCUCAUUUAGAAAGAGCAAAGAAGACUUAUUCGUACCUUACUAAAGCUAACAUUAUGGCAUGGUUGUUCAUAUAUAACGGCUGCUCUGUUAUGCUAGCUUCUCUGUUUUUUUUUUUUUUAUAUUACAUGAGACUAUUGCUCAAAUUACAACUCAUAUUACAUGAGAGUAUAACUGAUAUUUACAAAUCAAACUAUCACUGGGACCAAUUUACAUCAAUGCUAAUGGAACUCUGCCCAGAUUUUAACCCUCACAAAUAUUCGAGGGAUGUCUACUCCUUACUUUUAGGUAAGGGAGAAGACUACCUUCACUCAAUUUUAAUUGAGGAAGAAAAUAACCCCACAAUGCAUUUGCUUCUAUUUUUGCUUGCAGUUUUGAACAUAAAUUCUUGCUCAAAUAACCCAUAAUUAAAUAACACUAAUAUGGCUCGUGAAAUCCCAUAAUAGCUAAUUACGCAACUUUCUCCUCCUCCUCAAUUCUGUCUUCCCCUGCUCGUACACUAAAUUCAAAAUUCAAUGCCCCUAAAAACAACACAAGAAAUCUUUGAGAUAAUUCAUGACCAGUUUAUACAUAGUAGCAAUUGAAAAAGGAAAAAGAAUGAAAGAGUUAAUUAUUAUUCAGACCUUCACGUAUUCGGAAGUUUGUUCUGCUAUUGGGUGAGAUCAAGCUCUCAGCAUAUACUUCCAUAUGAUACUUUCCAACAUUUUCUUGAAAGCCAUCAAUCAUAAAAUCUUCAUACUUUUUUUCAUCCUUUGGAUCAAUAAGUACAAAUUUCUCGUCUAAAACAUACAAAAUAAAAUCAUUGUCCUUCUUGGAACAUAAUGGCUGCAAUGCCUGAAUUGAAUUGGCUAAUGAAAUUUAAGUCCAGGAUUCUCUCAGCCCAUAUUCUUUCAUAAUCCAAAAUUCUUUCGACCAUAAUGUUGACUCUGAGAUUAAACAAAGGCAAUUUCCUAUAAUUGAAUAUGAAUAUUUGGAAUGAUAUGGGCAAACAUUUUUCAGGUAAGGCUAAGAAUUUGAACUUGUCUUUUGCCAAAACAAAUGCCGCAAUCAUGUAAUCAGAAUUGAGCUUACAAAAACCGAAGUGGACAGUUCCAUUGAGAUUGGUCACCCGAGAACAAUGAUGAAAAAACUUAAAAUCAGUUUCAAAGGUGUUCCAAAGUAUUUUUCCUUAAAGAGAAGACAUGCACACCUACUACUACUUUGGCAUUUCUAUAAGAGUGAGAAAACCCUAAAACCUUGAACUCAUCUAUUGAUUGAGCAUAACCUAAGCUAACUAACGGUGUAUCUCUAUUAGUGAAGGGUUCAUAGUCGUUUGGUAUUCUCUUGAACUCUCUAGUUGAACAAUUGUAUAUAAAUAAAGUUUCAGUUGCAGUUUCAUCUCGGAGGGAUAAGCACAACAAAGCAUUACAAGGGCAGCAUAUCCUAAGACAAUCAAAAGAGCUUUCUUUAAUUGGAAAAUCAAACUGAUCUUCCGUAAUAAUUUUGCUAUCGAGGUCUAUACGGAGAAGAGAGUUUCUUACCAAGCUCUUGACCAUAUCAACAAGAACCAGCGUUUGUCCUUGUUGGUUUUUAGUUUGGUUGAUCUUGACGAACCGAGGAUUAGUAAUUAAGGCCCUGAAUGACUUGGAUAAACACUUGAAUAGGCAGAGAGACUUGGCGGGGAGUUUUGCAAACACAUCGACGAUGAUAUCUGGAGGAAGAGCCACAUUGCUUCUUCACCAAGUUAAGCAAAGACUUUAGGGUUUCUUGAUCUCAAUUUGGUAGCCGUGAUGUUUGUAAAGAGCAGUCAUUCGCAUAAAAACUAUUAAAUAUAUUAUUUUUUUAUUCUAAAACAAUAUCAAAGCAUUUUUUAAAUACUGCUCCGUUAAUUUUGAAGUAAAGUUUUUGGGCUCCUUUCAAAAUAUUUUGCCUCUACUCCCAAAUGGGGGUUUUUAAUUAAAUACCCUUUAAUAGUUUUAAAAUUAUUUAAAUACCCCAUCCUUUUUUAGUUUUCAUGGAUACCCUAACAAAUGUGAGUAAAGUCAGAAAUACCCUUAAUGAAUGCAUCAAAUUCACUCAAUGAAUUGUCUUCAUAUUUCUUUCCUCAUUUCUUUCACCCAAAUCUAUUUUUGCUGCCGAUUCUCUCAAAGUCUCUUAGAAUCUCUCAAAAUCUCUCAUAACUUCUUACACAAAUACAAUUAUGUAUUCAUUUCUUUAACACCCACUCUUUCUUUAAAGGUGCAUUGCUUAUUAAACAACCCAAUAAGAGAUGUUAAUGUUGUUAGGUUUUAAAUUUUUUAAUUUUUAGGAAAAUUUAGAAAUUUUCCUCACAUUACAAUGUUUUAUUUUCACCAUUUUUUCUUAUAUGUAGAAAUUUAUGCAAUGUAGGUUGUUUGAUUAUUUUUUUCAGCAAUAUAGCUUAUUUAUGGCGAAAAUGUUUCGCGUUAUGCAUUCUUUUGAUAUCGUGUACGUCAUAUAGUUAGUCAUAUAGGUCAUGUAAAUAAUAUAGUCGUGUAAGUCGUGUAGGUCAUGUAAGAAAUAUAGUCAUGUAAGUCGUGUAAGUAAUAGAGUCGUGUAGGUCGUGUAGUUACUUGUAUAUGAAAUUUGAUAUUAUUAUUUUUAUUGUAUCAUCAGAUAUGGGAAGUGGCUCGUUCUCACUUCGAGGGGAGGUGUUAUGGGAUUAUGACAACUAACAUUGCAGAAAGUAUGAAUUCUCUCUUGAAAGAAGCACGAACCUUGCCUAUUCAUAAGUUAAUGGAUUGUAUCAUUGACAAAUUACAAGAAUAGUUUGCAAAAAGGCGAGAUAUGGAAAUGGAUGCAUGUACUCUAAUUUGUUGCAUUAUGAAAUAACUAAAUUUUUUUACAUUCCAAUUUAAUUUCACUUCUUUGUUUUUAUAAUUUCAGUUGACAUUUUCUACAUAGCAGCAAAUAUAAAUUCUUAGCACCAAUUAAGUCUUUAAAGAACUAAAUUAAUCUAAUGAUUAUUGGAAAAAGUCGUGUAAUACAAGAAGUCGUGUAAUACAUGAAGGUGGUGUAAUCGCAUAAUAUAUGAAGGUCGUGUAAUACACGAAUAUAUUACAUGACCUUACACAACCAAAUCGUGUGUUCAUAAAUUACAGCAAAAAAAUAAAUUUGCAUAUUCGACAGUUUGAGAAAUGAUUAGAUUAAUUAUUAUAAACAAACAAAGUUAUUAGUUUACAAUGUCAAUAUUUGGAUAGGAUACACUAAUGGGCAUCGCAAUUAAACAAAUUACAACCAUUUAAAAAGUUUUUUUUAUCUUCAAACUGUUUUCUUCCUCUGCCCAAGCAUACAUGAGGAAUGUCUGCAAAUAAUAAAUUCAUGAAAUCAAUUAGAAACAACUCUUAAUCAAAGGCUGCUUGAAAAAACCACUUUAGUUAAUUCUUCCUAUUAAUAGCCCAGGACCAUUGAUAGUGAUGGCCUAUAAAAUUUCAUUUUACUAAAUCAAACUAUUCCACCAGCAAUGACUUCAUUUAAAAAAACAAUACUCACAUGUUAGUUGUUCUCCGAAAGUAAUGACUGGUCAUAGAAAAGUCUUUCAGCAAGUUGCUUUCAUGAAGGUCGUGUAAUUGCAAUACAUGAAGGUCGUGUAAUCGUGCAAUACAUUAAGGUCGUGUAAUCGUGCAAUACAUGAAGGUCGUGUAAUACACAGCCUUAAAUCCUACAUAACCUUACACGACCAAAUCAUGUGUUACAUGACAAAAUUAUAAUCGGCACAAUCCAUCAAAUUUUCACAAUUUGCAUGCAGCAAGACAACUAGAAAUUUAUUUUUGAACAUGUAAUGAGAGACCCGCAACUAAUUAAUCUAUAUUUUCUAUAGAAACCCUAACUUUUUGUUUUUUUUCCCCGAAUAUCAACAAGAAAACUAAUUAUAGGGAAUUGCUUACCUCAACUAGUUACAUUAUGACCAUUUUAUAGUAAAAGAUCAACUCUCACCGAUGAUUAUGUAGCGACAAACUAGGCUUCUCUUUCUCAGUUGUGGCAGCUUCUCCUUCUCAGGCUCAGUUUGCUCGUGUUGAAGUUCGAUUUAGCAUGUAUGGAAAAUGAAUAUUUGUUUCGGUAGAGGUGAUGCCGGUGAGGGAAUUGCAGAUGUGAUGCUGGUUGAUAUUUGAUUUAACAUGUAUGAGAAUGGAGGAUGAGUGUUUGUUUGUUUGAGUAAAGGUAAUGAAAGGAAUUGCAGCAGAUAUGAGUGUUUGUUUACUUCAGUAGAGGGGGGAGAGGUGUUGUCCGUUGAGUUGAAAUGUUUUAAAAUGAGGAUAACUUAGUAAUUUCCUAUCAAUUUUUAAAAGAUAUUGAUGAAAAUUUUGACAAAAUCAAAUUUUAAGGUAUUGAGAUAAUUUUUGAAGUAUGGAGGUGUACUUGCCGCAAUUAACUUUCCCAAAUGCCCAGCUAAAUACCCAAUGAAUAGCUCCGCCUCGAAUAUCAGAUGAAUAUCUCCAAUGAAAAUCACGUUCAACUCUUUUUUUUUUUUUUUUCCUCCCCAAGAGCUGGUUUUCACAGAGAAAACGUCUACAAUUUUUUCACAAAAACCAAAUUUCACAAUUUUGUAGUCAUCAAUUUGCUCAGCAUAACAAAACCCAUAUAAACUUUUCACUAUUUUACAUAUAGUAUAAUAUAACUCUUCUCCUCAGUCCUCAGUUCCCUCUUAUGAGAAAACUAAAAUUCACGUCUCCUUCUUCGAUAACAAAUUCACGUUAAAACCCUCAAAAACAACAAGACUUGCCAAUAUUUUAUAAUAAAGAAGAGAGAAACAAUGCCUUCAUAUCCUCGAAGUAAAUGAGAACUUGCAAUAAUUAAAGUAAGUAGUAACAUACGGUUUGCGACCCUGUUGAUGAUAGGCGUCUAGGCUAGCAAGUGGCUUUAGUAUGUAAAACUAUCUAGAAUCAAAAUCUAUGUACAUUCGAUAAGCGGGUCGGUCAGCAGAGUAGUAACCUUGGAUCAGGGUAUCAACUUGGAAACCAAAUUUCUUGUAAAGAUUCACAGCGGGAGUUCUCAAAGGAUCAACAUGAAGCGUUAUGCGGAGCACAGUUCUGGUUCUGCAUUUCUUAAUUGUUGCUUCCAGCAGUGCCUCUCCGUGACCUUGUCCCCGAUAAUUCUCCUUCACUAAUUAAGUUCACCCCAAAACCCAUUAAUUUCAUGUCAAUUAAAAAAAGAAAAGAAAAUGAAUAACUAACAAAUAUUUCUUUGAGGACUUUUAUCAAACAGUUGAGAUUACGGGCAUGCAGUGGAAAUUUCAACAAUGUGGACAAAGAUAUGGGACCUGCAAGCUUGGUGAUAGAAGCAGACAAGGAAGUAGGCCACGCGUACAUGACGUAGCCAACGACUUGUCCAUGAAUAUGAAUGUAAAGCAGGCCUGAGUUCUUCUUUUUCAGCUCUUCAUCAAAAGAUCUUGCCAGUGAUUCGUGCUUGGGAAAAAUCUUCUUCUCCAUCUUCACAAUCUCGUCCACUACGACAGUCCAGUUCGUUGAGUUUCUCUGCAGCUCCGUGACGGUUCCAUUACUCCCCAUGGCACGUGGCUUGUUGCGACUUACAGUUGAUCCAGCACGUACAGAAAAUUAGAAAUGAAGCCUCCUAGCAUUCUUUCGAACAGGCAAAAAAGUCAAUGGACAUGGAGGCGCCAUGUGUGGAAAUGUUAAGAGGAUGAUGAAGCCCCCAAGAGGCCAGCGUGGCGUGGCAUUGCACCUCAUCAUUUUUUUAAUGCUAAUCUGUAGAGCGGCCCAAAAUGACGGCACAAUAUAUAGCUGGCAAAGCCCACCCAAGCCCAACUAUUUGGGCCAACAUAUCAUAAAUUAAAACAAAUAUAAAAUGCACUGUACAGCGCAGACAAAGAUGCUUUGUGCAGAGAUGUGUUUUCUUUAUGGGUCCAAUUAUAUUGGUACCGCUCUAAGGUAGAGUAUCAUUUCAUAACUACAUUAUCAAAAUCAUAAUUAUUUUUUUAUUAUUUAUUACUUUGCGUGUGUGACUGAGAUUCGUGAUCCAUCAUAGAUCAGCUCCAACGUAACAGAAGCCUUCUUUUAUUGCUCAUCAUCUUUAGCAAACAUUCAUUGGCUUUGGAUGUUGCUACAAUUUAUUUUGCAUAAUUGAAAAGUAUAGUAGAUGUGCAUAAUGUUAGAAAUUUUAUUAUAAUAUAACAAAAUACGUAAUAACUUAUACUAAGAUGUUAAGAAUUCAUUGUGCCAAAUUCCUAUAUUUGUCUAUAAUAAAUCAAAAUUUCAAAAUAUAAAAUAUGGAUAAAAUUAAAUAGAAAAUGAUUCAAUUUAUAAAAUUAAAAAUGAAAUUUGAUUAAAUCAUAUUUCUAAGUAUGAAUAUUUAGUUAAACAUUUUUGAAAUAAAGAAAAUUAUUAAAAUUGAAAAAACAAAUAAUUAAAAAAUAGAAUUUUAAAAUUGAAAUAAAACUAAUUUUAUUGAUUGAUAAUAUAUUACAAAGAGAGAUGAGAAAAAUAAAUUGAGGUGAAAGAAGAGAAGAGAAGGUGUGUAGAGAUGUGUUCCACCCUCUUCUAUUUAUACUAAUACAUGGUUAAUCCAGACUACGCAAAUAAAUAAAACUAAUUACACCUUAACCGUAUAUUUGUCACACUGAUAAAACACAAACUUAACUUAAUCCACUAAUGCAUAUCCAACACAUUCCGUUAACAAUUACCAUAAAGUAGUGUACUAGGGUAUAUACAUAAUCAUUUUACAUAACUAUACGCUGAAUGUAAUACAUCAGCAAACUUGGAAAUCAUACAUUCAUUACAAAACUGCACCAUAUAAUACCCAGAGGAAAUAAGUCUCAAUACUUACCGAGAUCAUCAUCGCAUGAAUAGAGGAUAGAAAACCUUUCAAUACCUAACAAAACUUAACUACAUCAUACAGGUAAAGUAAUUUAACUCUCAAUACACAAUGCACAUAGCUUAUAAAGAAGACUACAUAUAUGAUGAUUGGCAAUCACAUAUCAUGACUCAAUUAAAUAUAUAAUACGUGUAUAUAAAAUCAUAACAUGAUAUUAAAUCAUAUUAUCAAUCAUAAAUGCUUCAUAGAAUACAUAAUGGUAAUAAUUGUCUCUACUCACAGAUUUUGUUUCACUCGUGGGUUCGUUGGGGCUCCUGUGGGUUUCUAAAUUCUUGAAAUUCUCAUAAAAUGCAGGAUUCAAAAAUUAACUGUUAGAACUGAUAUAAAAAUUAAUACGUACGAUGUAAAUUAAAUCAUAAUUUCUUAUAUUUCACAAAUCUAUUACCCACUGACUCACUUAAUAUAGAUCUAACUGUCCAAUUCUAUUUCUUAUAAUAUUUCUCUCAAUUCCACUUUUCAAAUUCUUUUCCACUCACAACUUUUUAAUUUUCUUUUUCACUCUUUUCUUUCUUUUCCUCAUUUCCCACUCUCGGCUUCUUUCUUUUCUUUUUCUUCUCUUUUAUCUUCUCUACUUUCUUAUUUCUCUCAUGUUUCCUUUAUUCAUUCUCAGUGCUCAAAUUUGAUAAAAUGAAGCAGUGUCAAAAUUUUGCAUUUAUAUAGCCACCAAACAGCCACCGAAUUGAAGCAAGUAGCUCUCACUUUUUAAAUAUAUGUAGGCACCACUUGAAGCAAGUGAAUAUGUAGCUAGCUGCUUCCAAUUGCCUGCACUUGUGCUAUAUAAUUGUAAAAUUGGACUUGGGUUUGAGAGGCCUCUUCAAUGCUUUCUAUUCUCCCGUAAUUAUUGUUAUUAGAAUAUUCCAACCUAGCCUACGUACAACUGCAUUCUUCACUCGUGCUCAUCGUAGGCCUCUUUCAGCCAAUGGUUAAUACUAAAAAACUUAUCACCCAUAUAAUUUUUUAAUUUGUGUGUAGGGUAAUAAUAAAAUUGAAAAUAAUUAAAAAAUAGCACAAUAAUGAGUUUUCACAAUAAAACAAAUCAAAUGAAAAUUGAAAAUUUAGAAAAGUGUAUCUAAAAAAAAGGAGCAUUUUUGGAAAUAAAAUGAAUAUAACUAAAAAGGGGCUUUUAUGAGAAGAUCAUAGGGGUGUCAAUAGUCCAACUCUUAUAUUUAAAGUUAUUUUGACUUUGUAUUUCCGAUGAUAUAUUUAUUAGGUAAUUUUUAAUUGAGUCAUUAUUUGUAGAAAAUUUUUCUGAGACCAGAAGUUUAUAAAAUGAAUCAAUUAAAUCCCUCUAAGUAUAAAUUUAUGUCAUUCAAGUCUUUAACUUAAUUUCUUCGUUAAAAUUAUUAACAACAUCAAGGACAUUUUAGUUAAAAAACAAUUAAGCACCUUCUCAUUCUUUAUUUUUGACAGCCAACAAUAGUUUAAAGUAAACUCAAGUAACCUAAAUUAAUGUUCUUUAAAAAAAAAGAAAAAAGAAAGAAAGAAAAGGUUAGUUAAUGUGUAGGCAAGCAAUAUCACUUCAUCAACUGCACAGAUAUGAUUUCUUUUCAAGCAAGUGGAUUUCUUUUAUAUAUAUUCAUCAUGUUAUCAAAUGAAUUAAUAAAUUGGUGAUCCUAGUGAUGUGUAUGGAACCAAUAGGAUAUCACUAGCUAUACAUGUUUGAUUUGAUUGUGAAAUCCUAUUGAUUAAUUGUUUUUAAUAAAAAGAAAUUGAAGUCUCUUUUUUCUUUUUUCAUUUUUGGACGGCAUGGAAUUAGCCCACAAUCUCAAUAACUAGAUGUCAAUGAAUAAGCAAUUGACAAUAAUUCUAAACAUGCGAAUUAGACUUCAAUCAAUGUCACUCAACCUGUGGGACAACAUACACAACUUUUAUGGGCUGUAUCUCAACCUCAAAAUGAAGAACCAAUGUUAUUGACAAUGAGUAGAAUAGUACAAUAUUCACCUUGAGCUGGCAUUUAAUUCUCCAAAAUAGAAUCUAGAAGACAAUUAACUAUUUCUUGUACUUGAAUUUCAGUUUACCAUAAUGUUGUCAAGGUGUUUCUUAGUUUCAAUUUAAUUGACCUUCAUACUUUUAGUUUUAUUUUUAGACCGAAUGUUAUUGUGGUUUUUCUAAUAUUAUAUUCAAUACAUGUUAUUUAGUUUAACAAUCAUCGUAUAUUUUAUAAAUGUGACGGAAUUACAUUUUCAUGUGUAAUUCCAAGAGUUAUUAUGGUUAUGUUUUUUAGUGGUGCUCUCUUUAUUCGAAUUAGUUUAAAAACUAAAGAUUUUGUUUAAAUUGUUGCAGAAAUUUGUUCCCGAUUACUCAAAUUGGUAAAUAGGCUAUUAGGCUCUGAAAAAAAAAUUAAUGCAUAAGGGUAAAAUUGUACUUUAAAUCACUAAUAUGAUAUAUAUGGGAAUAUAGUUAUCUUUUUAUGUUUAAAUUAACGUUUUCACUAACUUUUAUGGCCAAAGAAUUAGGUGAAGAAUCUGAAAGACAUAAAUUUGUAUUUAAAAGGAUUUAAUUGAUUCAUUUUAUAAACUUUUGGUCUUUGAAUUUUUUUUCUAUAAAUAAUAAUGACUCAAUUAAAGAUCAUCCUAUUUAUUAUUGGCUGUUUAAAAAAACAAAAGAGAUGACUAGAGUUUAUCACUUUGACUAUAACGUGGGUCAUAUUGGUAGUUGCCAUGAUGGCAUGUCGAAUUUGGGAUGAUACGUUGAGGACUUGAGGUUGGAUUUCUUUCAGCUUAAAAAAAAAAAAAGUAUGCGGCCAAAAUUUUGCUUAAAAGGUUAAAUGUACCCCUGUCAAAGGACCAUCUCACCUCUGACCAUUUAACUUCUACCGUUAAAUCUGGUAUAUUUAACUAGUUUUGACCUAUGCAAUGAUUUUUUCUUGCAAGUUGUGUCAUGUGUGGAAGGGUAAAUUUGUUUUUUUUUGGGUGAACUUGUUCUUUUCUUAAAAGUUUCGGGGCUAUAAGUCUCUUAACUUAAAGUUAUAAUUAUAAUUGCACUAAUGAUACAAUAAAUUUUUGAUAAAUAAAUAUUUAAGAAAUUAAUAACUUUGGGUAAAUAACACACUUCUCCCGCCCCAACUUGCACUAUUUAAAUUAAUAAUUUCAUUUAAUGCAUAUGAUAAUAUUUUUUUUAAAUCCAUUAAGGCCCAAUGAAAAUAUAAAUUAAUAAUUAAUUAAAUAUAAAAAUUCAUAACUACUAAAAUAUAAAUUUGUAACAUUAAAGAAUUCUGUUUUUCUUACAACUUCAAUCAUCUAAAUUAAACUCUUUGCAAAUAAAUGCAUAUAGAGUUGUUUGCUUUUUUUUUUAAUAUUUAUUCCUAAAUUGAAUUCAAUCUCCUCUCUUAAUUUUUUUUUUUUUUUUUGUAGAGCAUGCACCACAUUUAUAACUUUUUUUUUCAUGUUUUAGAAAGUAGUUACUUAAUAUUAUUAUUGCUUGAAAGACCUCUUUUGCAGAAAUAUUUGGCAAACACAAUUAUCAUAUGAAUCGUAAUUGUCAUCAGCAUAGUUAUCUAAUACCCUUUUAAUAAUCUGGUUGAAUUAGUGAGUGAUUCCAUCACUACAGCUAUGCUAUUAAAUAUAGUAGUCAUCAGAGGAGAUAUUGUUGACAUGAGGAAGUACGAUAUGUGUUUAUACAUAAGUAAAAAUAUUGAUAAAACUCUUCCUAAAAACAAAAUAACAAAAUUAUGUUUCUAAAUUAAUAAAUAUUCAUUGAUCAAUAAAUUAAUAAAUUAUUAAAAUUUAUAAAUAAAUAAAUUCUCUAAAAUGAUAUUUUUUUCUUAGUCCUAGCAAGUAGCAAUAUUAUUUUAUAGAGGUUUUAUUUUAGUAAUAGCAAUAGUAUAAUUAUAAUUAUUAUUAUCAUUAUAUAUAAUAAUUAGUUAUAAUAUUUACUAUUAUGAUAGUUAUCAUUAUAAUUGUUAUUAUAAUUGUUAAUUAUCACUAUCAUUAUUAUUAGUUAUUUUACUAUUUAUUAUUAUCGUUAGCAUAGUAGUAAGAUAUUAUGUCGCUAUUAUUAUUACUAUUAAUUUUUUUAUUUUGUAAAUGGGGCAAAUUUCAAAUUUUAAAAACUAUAAGAAGAAUUUCAUUAUUUCCACUAGUUUCAUUCUCAUAUAUAUAGAUACACACACAUAAAGAAAUACGAUCAAUUAUUCACAUUUCUCUAUCCCACGAAUAAAUACUGUAAAUUAUUAUUUUUUAAAAGAAAAAUAUCAAAACGGUGUGGGUCCCAGCAUAAGCCUUCUAACCUACCUUCUCCCUGUAGAAAAAAAAGAAAAGAAAGAAAAACUCAACUUUUAGGAAAAUGUUUUGGAAAAUGAGAUUCUUCCCACGUUAAGCACCACAAUAAGCACCAAACGGUGCGUUUUGGGCAUAGUAUAAAAUGAGCCAACUCACGUGAUACACACAUAGCCACCAGUAAACACGCGCAGUAGAUCUCACGCGAUAUACACCUUUUCUCCAUUUGCUCUCACAAAAAUCUCACCGUUUCUCUCGCUGUGUCUCUCUUUGAUCUCCAUUCUCAAACUUUCUCAGGCAGUGGUGCUCGGCGUUGGUCUCUGGCCGUGGGUUUCCGGCUGUGGGUCUCCGGCCGUGGGUCUCUCACCGCUGGUCUCUCACCGUGGGUCUGCUCUCUCUCUUCUCUAUCAUCUCUAUUCUCAAACUUUCUUAGGCAGUGGUGCUCGGCGUUGGUCUCUCACCGUGGGUCUGCUCUCUCUCUUCUCUACCGUCUCUGUUCUCUCGAAUUGUAUAGGUAAUGGCAAAUUUCCGUGAGUUGAUUUUUAAUUUUUGAAAAUCCAGUUGAUAUUGUGAGCUUAAUUACACUUGGAUUGAUGUUGUAGUCGAAUUGUAUAGGUAAUGGCAAAUUUCCGUGAGUUGAUUUUUAAUUUUUGAAAAUCCAGUUGAUAUUGUGAGCAAAUGAGACAAUUAUUUUCAAUAGUCUUAGGAGAUGGCCUUGUGCUGGAGAUGGGAUUUUGAUAGCCUUAAGAGAUGGUCUUGUGCUGGAGAUGUCAUUUUGAUAGUUAUUUACAUGCAGUUUCUUGGUUACAAUUGGCAAUCCGUUAUAUCCUUUGAACUUGACUACUACAAAUAUUCCAAUUGAUGGAUGAGUUGAUUAUUCUUGUGUUCCUCUUAGACAUUUUUGAAAUGAGUGGCAAACAGACCAUAUUUUUCUUCUUUUUGUUUUCUUUGUAAUUGAAAUUGAAUAAUUUUAUUUGAGCUGAAUGAAAUUAGUGUAGACUUUUUGUUGUACUUUUGAGAUGAAUGCAGUAAGAUGUAUUUCUUUUUUUUUGGGGGAGAAAAAAAGAAAAUUAGACCUAGCACAUACUUAUGUAUUUCUUUUUUUUUGUCUUUGCCUAGGUGAAGUUGAAUUGGUGGUCAUUAGCAUAAAGAUGCAAUUGGUAAUUUUGAAGUUGGUUCAGUAAGCUGGUUUUUAAUAAAUUGACUACCAUUUUUUCUUUCUGGAAGGAAUCUGGGUUGUUGUGUAUAUUGAACAGAAUUUGUUCAAUCAUUAUGUCUUCAAGCACAAGCGAAAUGCAAACACAACUAAAAGCUUGUGAUAAAUGCUGCAACAACAAUAAGGUCUUGCAAACUUCACGUACAAAAGAAAAUCCGAAUCGUAGGUUUUGGAAGUGCAAAGGAUGUGGGGCUUUUGAAUGGGAUGAUGAUUGGAAGAGCAGUGAAUGUACUGAUUUUAGAGGGAUGGAAGAUCGUAUUAUAAAUUAGAAUAAAAUUGAGAUGUUGAUAGCAGAAGUCCGCAAGUUGGGCCAUCAAAUCGAAUGCUUAUCUCUUAAAUUUCAGUUGCUUGAGCAAGAACUUCAACGAAGACAACAACCAAGUGUUCUUGUAACAUACAUCCCGCAAAUAAUGAUAACUCUUUUAAUAUGUAUUAUAUUUAAGUUGUGCAAUUAAUUAAUGUAUUGUUAUUUUUCUUUUUCUUUUUGGCGAAUUGUAUCAUGAAUGCUUCAGUGGAUGUAAACAAAAACUAAUGUUUCUGUAAAGGGCAGGAAAGAUUAUGCUUAUGAUUGUUGCUGUCAUUUUAAUUUGCCUUAUCAUUUGCAUCUUUCUGUCAUUUGAUCCCCAUAACUAGUUUGUAAGGGAAUUGUUCCAUGCUUUUUCACAAAAUAUAGAUAAUUGCUGCACAUUAAAAACACAUUUAUUCUUUAGGAAAUAAUUAAAGAAUAACAAAUCUGCAGUUACAGAGGAUCAAUUCCAAUAGCAUACAAUUAAAAAAUAACAUAAUAUCAUUUAUCUCUCCACCAUUUCAGUAGCACACAAUCAAAGAAUAACAUAUUUGCAGCAUCUCCUCAAUUCCAAUAGCAUACAAUUAAAAAAUAUCAGAAUAUCAUAUAUCCUCUCACCAUUCCAGUAGCACACAAUUAAAGAAUAACACAUGCAGCAUAUCCCUCCACCAUUCCACCAGCAUAUAAUUCAAAAAUAACACAUGCAGCAUAUCCCUCCACCAUUCCACCAGCAUAUAAUUCAAAAAUAAAACAUGCAGCAUAUCCCUCCACCAUUCCACCAACAUAUAAUUCAAAAAUAACACAUGUAGCAUAUCCCUCCACCAUUCCAAUCCAAUAGCACACGGCCAAAUAAUAACACAGCUGCAGCAUAUAAAUCUAAUAAAGGAUCAUGCAUAGAUAAAAAACAAUUUCAUGUAUGAAAUCCACAAUCUUACAUAUCAUAGCCAAGGGCUUGUAUCCGAAUAUUAAUGAGAAUAAAACAAAAACAAUGCUAUUCUAGGAAAUCACUUCGAAACUCCUUAUCAACUUCAUAUUCACUAUCUUGCUGAAAGAGUAGCUGCUGAAAAUGUCCAUGCGGCUGGAAUUGUGGUUCCUAUUAAAAAUAAAUAAAUAUUUUGUUAUAAUAAAAGAAAAUAAAGUAGAUAAGAUGAAUAAAUACUAAAUUUAUCACCACUUACCGUACAAGAAUUUUGUGUAGGUGUUGGAUAAACAUUAUCCCCAACCAUAUGAUGUAAGCUCAUAAGACCCUAAAACAAACAUACAUUAAAUGAAGCGAUAAUAAAAAAAAUUCAUAACAUAUACUAUGAAAAACUUACAUUACAAUAGUCCAUAACUCCAUGUGGGUACAUAUUCAUAUCAACACAACUUCCUUCAGGAUUUUGAAAUGCCUAUAGAGGAUCAAUAAUAUAUUAGAAAAAUGUCUAUGAUUAAGUAAUAAAAAUCAACGACAUGCAUAUGAAUUCCAUAAAACCUACCGUAACAACAUUGUUCUCGUGUGUUGGGAUCACAGUCAGCACUUGCUCGUUCACCUGUCCAUCCUGCAAAGUCAACAAAACAUACAUUUGAACAUCAUUUAUCUCAUAAAUUUUUUAACUUUAAUUAAAUUGAAAAUACAUUUUAAAAGUACCUUUGCAUUAGAACGUGAGGAAUUCAUUUUAGAUUUUGAAAAUUUAUUAUAUUUUUUUCUUUGACAAGGUGGCCGACCUUUACGACGCCGAGCUACUGGAUCUCUAACUGUUUCUACUUCCACACUACAACUUCCUUGGCCUGUAACAAUAGUUACUUCAUUAUCUCCGCAAGGAAUUGCCUUUGAUCAAUCCUCCCGUACAUUCUCAAUCCAAUUGAAAACAAGAUUAGAGCUUUCAAUCUUAUGUGCAGCCAUAUUCGCAACCUCCGCGAAAGUAGCACACAUUUUCUCAUAUCGUUUUUGCUCAUCCGUACAGCUAUGAAGCUCAUAACUCGCUUUCACUCUACUAUGGCAUCUCCACACAUCUUUUCUCCAUCUUCGUAAAAUAUACUUUUCUGGAAGUACUUCUACGUCAUUGCGGAUCAUGAUUGUAAUGGCAUGCCUACAAAGAAUACCUCUAAAUUGGAACCUUGAGCAGCUGCAACGUAUUUCACCAUUUUCUUUUUCAAAAUAUACUUCAAAAAAGGUUCUCUUUUUACCCUCUCCAACUUUGACAUCCUCUCUAACUAUAUAUUCACAACCCAUAGAAUUGACAAAUUCGCAAUACAUUUUCCCAAUCAAUUCUUGCUGAAAUUCUUGAAAUUUUGAAAUAGUGUACACAUCUCGGACUUGCCUCUCCAUUGCAUAAGAUGUUACACGUGGCAUUUGUUGGGAAAGACACCUGACAUCUUCUUCAACUUCCUUCUGAACUUUAUUCUUCAACGCACAACUGUAUUGCUCUACAAACUGCUUCAAAGUAGUCUUUAAGUUAACAUAACCAUCAAAAAAUGCAUUCAUACUUUCACUGCGUUGAGUAGAUUACAUUCCUGCCCAAAAAGUAUUGUUUAGAUAACAAGGUACCCAAUGAUGCCUCUCAUCAUAUAAGCCUCGUAACCAUUCGUUAUCCCCCAAAUCAUAUUCUAUAAUCAUGUGGUGCUAAGUUUCCUCAAAUUUUGCAGCACUCUGGGAAUCAUAAACAGCACAAUGCAAGACAUUACUUAUGUUGCGAUAUUCUUUAUAACCCCCUAGCUUCUCUGGAAUUUUCUUCAUUAUAUGUCAUAAACACCACCGAUGUCGAGUAUUGGGGAAGACAUUCUGAAUUGCAACUUUCAUUGCCCUGUCUUGAUCUGUAAUGAUUCCAUUGGGAGCUGAAUUAGACAUGCAGGAUAGCCAUGUUCGAAAUAACCACGUGAAUGUCUCAAUAUCUUCGUGUGAAAUCAAUCCACACCCAAACAAAAUAGAAUGCCCAUGAUGAUUAACUCCUACAAAUGGAGCGAACGGCAUAUCAUACUUAUUUGUAAGAUACGUGGUGUCAAAUGUAACAACGUCUCCAAACUCCUUGUACGCUUCCCUAUUCCUUGGUUAUGCCCAAAAAACAUUUUUUAAUCGUCCCUCAUCAUCCACUUGCACACUAAAGUAAAACCUAUUAUCUUCUGCUUGCACUUUCAUAAAAUAGUUUUGAAGAGCAGCAGCAUCUCCAUCUCCAAGCCGUAAUCUUCUUUCUUUCUGAACAUGAUUUCUACAAUCUCUUUCUAUGAAUGUCACAUUUUCAUGACCGCUAGCCUCAAUAACAAGUGAUUGAUAAUUUUUACACAAUCUGAUUCCUGCUCGAUCAUUCACAUCAAGCAUCUUUUUUGCAUAUGUAUUGAGGCUAAGAUUGCACCGAAAAUACUUGGAUUUGGUUGGAGUUAACAGCACAUGGUUGUGUUCAAGAUUUAAGCUUCGAAUUGUCCACUUUCCAUCAUCCCCUAAACCAGCUCUCAAUCUAGCAUUGCAGCUUGUUUUUGCAUUAGGUUGGGGCUUUAAAAUUUUCACAGAUUUGCUUCUUGUUUCACCACUUCUCCCACAAGCAAAAGUCACAUUUCUAAAUAUCCCAUCACUAUCCUUUCUACUAGUUCUCCUCAAAACCGGAAACCCUUUUCUUUUACCGUACUCUUUUAAGUAAAUAAACAAAUCGACAUCACUAUCAAAUGACAUCCCAAUUAUUGGCUCAUCAUCCUCCUCAUUUUUCUCCAACUCUUCAACUUCGAUGUCCUUUUCCAUAUUAUUUAUUUCUACAAAAUUGAAAUAAUUCACAUUGACAAAAUGAAAGUAACAAAAUACAAAUAAUUCAGCACAACCUUACAAAACUAAACUAACUAAUGAUGCAAAUUGUGAACACAAAUUUAAUAUAUACCAGCUGAAUUUGCAGCAUAUAUUUAUUUAUUUCGUGCUUACUAUUAACUUUGUAAUAGACAAUUAAACAAAUAAGUAUGGAAUAAUUUAUGGCAGUGUAAAUUACUAGCUGAAUCUGCAGCAUAUACUAGAUAAAAUGCCGAUCACUGUCUUGAUUUUUUAUUUUUCCAUUUCAUUAAGUAAUUUGUUUAACUUAAUUUAAAUUAAAAUAAUGGGUUGCAAAUUGAAAUUUAAGUGAAAUGGGCUGCUGCCAUUUCCUGCCUUGAGUUGAUAGAAAGGUGCUUACGGUCUACAACAUAUGAUGCGGGUUUUUGCCCAUGCCUUUUUGUUUAUAGAGAUCGACUAGACAAGUUUUUUACAAGACAAUGCGUCAUUGGAGAGGAUGAAAUGGUUUAGGCUCCUAAGGGCUGCAUUCUUUUUUUUUUUUUCUUUUUCAAUGAAAUUAAAAAAAAAAAGUAUAUCCUGGAUCGCAAUUAGUGCGUCUACGAUUUAACUAGUCGUCUUGAACAAAGAUUCUAUAACUCCUAAUCUGUAGCAUAUACGCAUCCAAUGCAUACCUGCAGAAAUUGAUUGCCGCAAUCGACGAUGAGUGAAGUCAGUCACCAAGAUGCAACUCAAUUCUUCACACAGCUAAGAGGAUGAUAUACCGUGAGAGAGCCAACGGAUUUCACACCGUGAGGAACAGUCCACAAGUAAAACAGAAAAUGCCUUAGGAGAAUUAGUUGUUCAGAUUUCUAGCUUGAAUGAGGAGUGGGUUUGGUGUGAAUGAGAGUGAGAGUGAUGCGUGCGUGAGAUGCACGUGUAAUGUGUUUGUUUGUUCAAACAGUGGCCUUUUAUAUUGCACACAAAACGUACUGUUCGGGACUUAUUGUGGUACUUAUUGUGUGCUGAAUAUCGGUGCUGAAAUGUUUUUAUUAAGAAAAAAACAAAACAGAACGUAGAAAUAGGAGCAAGCAGGCCGCAGGCCAAAACCUUGGGGGUACCACCAUACGACUUCUGACCUCCCUGCGGGCUUGUCCUUUGCAGGGGUGGUGACAUGUCACAUGCGUACCAAAAAAUAAAAUUAUCUUUUUGUAUUUUUGUAUUAUUAUUUUCCUCCGCUCAUUCACAAGUAGUGGAUGUGAAAGAAGAUUUUAUAUAGGACCGCCGCACUAUUUCAGCAUGCCGUAUUGAAUAACAAUAAAUCUUAUAAGCGAAAUUAAUGAAGAAUCUUAUAAUCCUAUUUAUUUUAGAAUCUGCUUUUCUAUUAUAUGUCUUCUUUUUUGCCCCCCCGCCCCUCCCCUCUUUUUUUUUGCUAGUCCCAACGAUUUUGAAAUAUUAACUGAUUCCCACUGGUUGAGAUAAGGAUAAUUUUUAAAAACCUCCCUGAAGUUUGAGGUUGUUGCAAGUAGACCGUCAAAAUUAUUUUAUUUAUAAAAAAUCUCAAACCGUCAGUUAAAUUUUUCUUAACUAGUAGUUGACUUUGAAAAGAUAAAAUUAUCCUUAAUGACAGUGCAAUCCUUGGCGUGAAAAUCACCGUUCUAUUUUUUAACAUUUUUAGUUACAAUGUCUCAAGUAACUAAAAAAUUUAUUUUAUCCUAUUUAAAUUAUCAAGAUUUCCUUAAAAUCCUAAAAAAAAGAAAAAAAUUGAAGAAAUAGCAACUACUACCAAUCCCAUCAUCACCCAUUCAAUUUUUUUUUCUAGUCAAUUUCUUCAAAAUUGAUAAAAAAACAUUCUUCAUCAUAAUCUACAUUCAGCAACAUCAUCAAGCCUAUAACUAUACAUCGCCUAAUCCAAAGCAUUAAAGACGAACAAGAAAAGAGAGUUAUGUGAUAUGUGAUCGUAGAUCACAAUCUAAAGAUCAGAUCAGGCCACUCUCAAACUUCCACGUCAACGUCCUUCUUGACCGGAGAGCAAAUGAGCCAUGUGAAACCACAUGGAUCCUUGACCUUUUCCACGUGCCCAGCCGCCCACAACAAUACGCGCUGUUGCCUUUAGCAAGCUUACCCUCAUCAACAAUUCCAGCACUCACAGCCUUGGCGAGGGCAGCCUCAACAUCAUCAAUCUCCAAGCAGAGGACGCAUCCGAUUCCCAUAUUCUUAGCUGCAGCAGAAUCAUCGGAAAAGUCAGAGACAAGAAAAAUGGAGCCAGCAAUCUCGAGUUGAGCUCUUGUUCAGCCUUUCGUUUGGUUUCCAUGUUGCAGUUGAUCUCCACAGCACCAAACGCUGUCUUGUAGAACUGAACAGCGUCAGCAACCUUCGAUGCUUCCACAAGCAACUGCGGCUUCAUCCCAUGAAGUUGGCCAAGGUAGCAGGAGCAGUCAUCUUCACGGUGCAGUUCAGAACAUCAGCCAUUGAGAGAGUUUUGGUGUCUAGACAAAGGGAAAGAACCUGAACUUAGGAGAGAGAAAAUCAAAGAGAGAGAAGAAAGAUGAAACCAAAGAGACGAAAUAAAAGAAAAUGAACUUCACCCAUUUUGAUACAGUGUUAAAGGCAAUAAAACGAUAACUCUUUGAUAACAAUACAAAAUAUCAAUAAUGCCCUCAAUUAGUCAAACGGCAACCAAACGGAACUAAAAUGUAACGGAUCUUUUACAACUAAAACGAUUUUGGCCAUCUACUUAUAACAGCCUCAAAUUUCAAGAAAUAGGGAUGGCAAUGGGGCAGAUAUGGGUUGGAUCUACUCUGCUCCAGAUCCAAAUCCAUAAUAAAAAUCAAGAUCCGUAUCUGCUCCAGAUCCGUUAUGAAUCCAUAUUUUUCGCUCCAUAUCCAAAUCCAAAAAAGAAAUAAAUAUCUAUAUCUGCUCCAAAUCCGAAAAAAAAUUAAAAUCCAAAUAUGCUCUAGAUCCGUCAUGAAUUCUAAAAUUCCGUAAUAAAAAAGUAAUAAUUUUUUAGAUUGAAAAUUGAAGGCUAAAAUGUAUUGAUAACAAAUAAAUUAUAUAAUUUUUCUCAAAAAUAUAAUAAAUAUUGUAGCUUAUACUUCUAUACCAAAACAACAAACAAGAAUGAUAAUAAAAUAUCAUUCAGAAGUAAUUGCAGGAGUAAGAUCAAUCUAAUAUUCUAUUGUCUCCUUCAUCAUUCUAGUAUCCACGAUACACCUACCCUCAUUUCUACAACAUUAGAUAAUGACAUAUAAAUUAAAUAUGAUUUAUAUUCAGUCCUUUAUUAUUUUUAUUAUGACCAUAUUUGACUAAAUAUAUGAAUAACUAUAUUCCUUAAAAAUUAUUUGGCCAAUAAGAUAAAAUAAAUUACCAGGUUAUAUUACUUGGAUUGCAAUUUGAAUAUUGCAUGUACAUGCUUUGAGGCUGGUUGAUCUUUAAAUUUACAAAACUAACCUUUAAGUUUUAAGAGUUUAAAUUCAUGAUAAAUACUACUAAUAUGCUAUGAAUAAAAUUUAUUAUCAUUAUCAUUCCACAAUUAUUAAGAAACUUUUAAAAUAAAAUAAAAUUAAAAGAUGAGUGGAUAUGGAUAUGGAUUUAGAUAUUAAGAUAGAUCUAUAUCUGCUCCAGAUCCGUCUUAGAUCCGCACAUCGAUAUCCAAAUCCGAUCCAAAUCCAUUUUAAACCGAUCCAAAUCCGAUCCGAUUGGAUUUGGAUCACAUGAAUCUUGGAUCAAAUCCAAUCCAUUGCCAUCCCUAUCCAGAAAGAUUUUUAAAAAUUACCCGUUGAGAUAACGUUCAUUAAUGGUAUUAGAUUCGGAGCAGACUGCAGACUCAGAAUUUUUUUUUUAGAUAACGUUCAUUAAUGGUAUUAGAUUCGGAGCAGACUGCAGACUCAAUAACUUUUUUUAAAAAAAAAAAAAUUCUGGAGAUUAACAACUUUAUUAAUUAUUCUUCGUACAUAAAUUUUUAGCCUGGAUUAGAUUUAUUUCAAUGGAAUCAGCUUUUCAUUGAAGAAAAUAAAGAUUGACGCGGGGGCGGAGGCCAACCAAUUUUUGGCAUCAGGUUCAACAACUUUAUUCUUUAUGCAGAAACUUUUAGCCGUCUGAUUAAUUUUAUCAUACAUUGAUAUUCGGUCGUUGGAUUAGAUCUAUUUCAAUUACGUGAGACAUAAUUAGCUUUUAAUUAAAGAGAAUAGAGAGUGACGCCGGGACCACCAAUUUUCUUUCCUGACUUUUGUCUAAAAAUUAUUGUGAAGUGCUUAUCUUAACCGUUGACCUGAAUCUAAUCAGAGGGCUAAAAAUUUGUGACUAGGUAAACAAACAGGCACCCAAAGUUCCAUUUAAGAUCAAUCGGAAAGAAAGUGAGCGAGCAUAAUCACAGAGAGAAAAACCUUGUUGAUUUUCCUUAAUACCUUUUCUUCUAAACCCCCCCCCCCCCCCCCGCCCCGGGGGAAAAAAACAAUAACAACCAAAAAAUAAAAAAUAAAAUAAAAGACACGCACAAACACAUUUUUUUUUUUCUAUAGAUUUCAGUUUUCUGUAGAUUUAUCCUGCCAACAUUUUUUCAUAGUCAUUUUCUGUCAAUUCUUGUCGUCCUUCCCAAAAAAAAAAAAUGUCGAUCGUUGGAGAAACCAUUCUAACUGUCACCAUUGAGAUGUUGGUGAAAAGUUGAUAUCAGAUGUGAUUCAGCUGUUCGCACGCCAAGAACAGAUCCAAGCCGCUCUUAAGGAUUGGAAGAAGAAACUGGGGAUGAUCAGGGCGGUGCUCGACGACGCCGUUGAGCAGCAGACAACGAAGCAGUCAGUGAAGACGUGGCUGGGCGGACUUGAGAGCUUAGCUUAUGACGUGGAAGACAUAUUGGACGAGUUUGCAGCUGAGGCUUUGCGGAGGAAGUUGGUUUUCGAACCCGACGAUCUCGUUCAACCUCGUGCAGGUUACUUGCGGAAACUCAUUCCUACCUGCUGCACUAAAUUCAGUCCGCAAAAUGUGAGGUUCGAUUCCAAGAUGGCGGCGAGGAUAGAGGAGAUUACUGGCAGAUUCCAGGACAUCGUAGCGCAGAAAGACCUGCUGGAUUUGAAAGAAAAUUCAGGAGGAAAGUCCAACAAAUUAAGCAGUCGUCCAGAGACCACCAGUUUGGUGAUUGAAGCCGAAGUACAGGGCAGAGAAGAAGAGAAGAAAGCAAUAGUGGAGCUGUUAUUGAAAGAUGAUUUAAGUUCUGCUGGUAGAUUCUCCGUUAUUCCUAUUGUAGGCAUGGGAGGGCUGGGGAAGACAGCUCUUGCCCAACUUGUCUACAAUGACCCAACGGUGGAAAGCCAUUUUGACUUCCAAGCUUGGGUAUGUGUCUCAGAAGAUUUCGAUGCUGUCAGAGUGACAAGAGCCAUUCUCAACUCUCUGCAAAUUUGAAAUUGGAUGUAAAAAAGUGGUGUGGAGAAGAAGAAGUGCAAUGGUUCUCAGCCCACAGAAUUCACAGGUUACAAAUGAUAUGUCAAAUCGAGUGUUCCUAAGAGGGAUACUCCAGGAAGAGUUACCAAAUUUAGAAGAAGUGUCAAUUAAAAACAACGAAGAGCUAACAUGCUUAUGGCGGGCAGGACAUGGAUUACUGCAAGACAUUGGUUCCCUUCACCAAUUGAAGAUUGCGAGUUGUCCCCAACUUGUUUCCUUGGUGGAGGAGGAAGAAAAAGGCCAACAACAGCAAGGGUUGCCAUGCAGACUUCAGGUUCUGGAAUUAAGGAGCUGCCCAAGACUGGUGAAGCUACCACAAGCAUUUCUCAGCUUUAGUUCACUUCGGGACUUGAAGAUCUCAGACUGUGAUUCAAUGGAAGCUUUACCGGAUGCGCUGAUGCACAAAGGUAAAGCACCGCUUGAAAAGUUAAUCAUUUCUGGUUGUCAUACUCUGUAAUACAUCGCCAGGGCCCAGCUACCUCCUAGUCUUAAGAAGCUGAGGGUCUACUAUUGCAACAGUCUUAGGACGUUGGUAGAUGAAGAUCAAAUUUUAGACAUCAAUAGUUGCGGUGGGUACACCUCUGUUCUUGAGCAGUUACAGAUUAUUCAUUGUCCAUCUCUGACAUCCUUAUGGUCAAAAAGCGAGCUACCCGCCACGCUUGAAAAUAUUUAUGUUGAUCGUUGCUCGAAGCUUGCUUUCUUGUCAUUGAGAGGCAAUCUAUCGAAGGCUCUUAAGCACCUUUAUAUUGUUAGUUGCUCAAACCUGGAGUCAAUAGCAGAAGGGUUGGACGACAACACAUCUCUUGAAACUAUGGAAAUUUUUAUUUGUCAAAAUCUGAAAGUUUUACCCCAUAACUUGCACAAGGCCCGCCAUCUUCGACUAUUGAGGAUAAAUGAAUGUCCAAAUCUUGUUUCCUUUCCAGAAGGAGGGCUGGCGCCUUUUAGUAAACUGACUACGCUUGAGAUAUUUAAUUGUGAGAAACUGAAGGCCCUCCCCAACGGCCUCCGCAAUCUCACAUCUCUUCAAUACUUAUUAAUACAAGAUUGUCCAAGCAUAGGAUCUUUCACUGCGAAUUGCUUUCCCACCAACCUUACUUCAGUUCGUAUUGACUAUGAGAAGAUUUAUAAGCCAUUGAUAUUGGAGCGUGGCCUGGGAUUGCACAGAUUCACCUCUCUUAGACAACUCACGCUAUUUGGAGGAGAAUGUUGCAGCUUGGUAUCAUUUCCACUGGAGAAAGAUACAGGAAAGGCACUUCCUGCCUCUCUAAAGCAUCUGUCUAUUUGGAAUUUUCCUAAUUUGGAACGCAUAUCCUCAAUUGAAAACCUCACUUCAUUUGAAUCUCUUCAGCUCUGUUGUUGUCCAAAGCUCCAGGAGUUUCCAGACAAUGGCCUGCCUAUCUCACUUUUGAGACUAGAAAUCUAUGGAUGUCCGUUGAUUGAAGAAAGGUUCGAGAAGGAUAAAGGACAAUAUUGGUCCUUGAUAGCCGAUAUACCUUGUGUCCGGAUAGAUUGCCAUUAUGUGUGAUAGAUCCCAAAGCACAGAGACAACUGUAUCCUGUUUAAAUUCACAAAAUCCAAUCCCAGGUAUGUGUAGUUAGGGAUGGCAAAAAUUCUCACGGGACGGGUAGUCUCGGGGAUUUUUCCCAUUCGGGGAGGGUAUGAGGAUAAUUUCAUACCCAAUUUUUUAUUCGGGGAAGGGACAAGGAAAUUUAAUUUCUUAUUCGGGGAGAGGACGGGGAUGAGGUGGAAUCCCCAUCCCCUACCCAUUUCCCCAUUUUAAUUUUUAAUUUAAUUUUUAUUUUUUAAAAUUACUAGUAAAUAAAUAAUAAAAUUUGAAUUAUAAAAUUAUUAAAAUUGGUAAAAAUAACAAAUAGCAAAAUAUUUAUAUUAUUAAACUUUUAGGCCUAAUUAACUAAUUAAAGUCCUAAAUUUUUAUUUAGGACAUUAAAAAGACCAGAUAGAUUCUAUUAGCCCAAAAAUUUUGUUUUAAUUUUAAAAUUCAUUAAAUAUUUUAAACUUAAAUCUAUUUUUUUAUUUAUUUUUAGAUGUUAUAAUUGUCCACAGCGAAUCACAAUUUUAAUAUCUAAUCUAAUAUUUUCUCUUGAUUUGCUCCGACUUAACUAUUGUGUUGUAAAGGAAAUAGUCCACAUUUAUAAAGUGCCCACGCCACCAUUGAAAAAGUUAAUUUUGAAUCUAAAUUUGAUUUUAUUUGUAACAAUUUUGUAUUACACUGUUAAUUUGUUCAUGAUAGUUUGUAAAAGAAGUUUGUAUCCAUUGCAUGCUGCGUUACUUACUAAUUUAAUGUAUGUGACUUUUGUAAUGAAUAUUAAUGUAAGAUAUAUUUCGAACUUUACUUUUAUUUGAAUUUUUUUAUUUUAAUAUGAUUAACUUAAAAUCGAAAACAAAAAAAUGUAUUAGUUAUUCGGGGAUCGGGGACCUUCGGAGAUCCCCUGUUAUUAUUCAGGGAGGGGAUGGAGAUUCUCUCAAAUAAUUCUGACGGGACGAGGAGGGGACGAGGACAUACGCAAAAUAUCGGGGAUGGGUACGGGGAGAUUGAUCCCCUCCCCUCCCCUCCCCAUUGCCAUCCCUAUGUGUAGUUAAUAAAUAUCCAACCAAUUACAAUUAUGUUUUAAUUAUAUUUCUUUCUUUUUAAAAAAUUAAAUCUCAUGGAUUCUUCUUUUUCUUGAUGUUCUGAUCAAGAUCCAAACAGCUGAUUACACAAUUCCCCACCUGCUCGUUUCUUUCUAUAUCAGCUUAUCAAGGCAAUUUUUUAUUUUUCUCUUUUCAUGGUGAGAAAUACUUUUAUUUAUUAUUCUUAUUUUGUUUCUUUUCUUGACAAUUGACAAAGCUGAGCUACAUCUAAGUCAUUUUCCUUUAUGAUGCUGACCACUGAUGGUUGAUGUUAAGGAAGCUCACAUUUGCAAGAUUAUCAGCAAAGCAGAGGAUCACAGCAACAAUCAUAUGCAGUUACGAGUUGAUGACAUGGCAUGCCAGCUGGAGCCUGGUGGCUAUGUAAUCAGUUAUGCAUGUAUCAAUUAGCUAUAAGCUGUUAUAGUUAGUUGAAAGGAUUAGUUAAUAAUUUGUUGCUAAUUACAACUAUUUGUGCUGAGCUUCAGCUUAGUAUAAAUAACAACAGCUUUGUACAUAUCAUUAAUAAUGUGAUUAAUGAAAUUUAGUUUCUAGAAAACACUCAGAUCUAGUUCAUAUUUUCUUAGUUGCCAAACACGUUUUUCUCGUUCUUCAACUUGGUAUCAGAGCUAGUAACAAUGGCUUCAGUCCAUCUAGCUUCUUCUUCUUCUUCUCAAGCGCCAAUUAAUCAAACAACUGUUAAUUCAACAAAUAUGACAUUCACUUUCAAUACACCUAUCAAGUUAGAUCAAUCCAAUUAUUUGAUUUGGAGAUCUCAAGUUCUUGCUUCAAUUCGCGGCAACAGACUUGAGAAAUUCAUUGAUAACUCAACCACUCCACCUCCUUCACACAUUGCUCAGAGAAUUGAAGAUGAUCUAAGAUCUGUAGAAAAUCCAGAAUUUGCAACUCGGAGAUCACAAGAUCAGGUGCUGCUUGGCUGGUUACCUUCUUCAAUGAGUGAAGGAAUCAUCAGUCUAGUCUUCAAUCUAGAGACUUCUCGAGAGGUAUGGAAAGCUAUAGAAGUUCAAUUUGGAUCUCAAUCUAAAUUUAGACUUCUGCAUUUACGAUAUAUGAUGAAUUCAACUAGGAAAGAUGAUCUGAAAAUUACUGAUUACUUCAUUAAGAUGAAAAGUAUUGCUGAUAAUAUGGCUGCAGCUGGUAGUGCGUUAAGUGAUGAUGAUUUGAUUUUGCAUGUACUCUCUAGCUUAGGUCCAGAUUAUAACUCUGUUGCUACCUAUAUCACUGGACAAGUAGGAGUAGGAAAAAUGAAUGUAAAUGAAGCUUAUACUAUGCUUCUAACUCAAGAAGCUAGGAUUGAACAACAAACUCAUAUGCUAGCUAAUACUGAUGUGAUACAAAACUUUGAGGCUAAUCUUGCCUAUAACAAAGGUUAUAAAAUGGGAAAUAUGUCAGGAGGAAGAGGUUUUGGUAGCUUUGGAUAUAAUUCUGGUUAUGGAAACAGUGGAAACAGUAACAGUAAUGGUUACAAAGGAGGUUAUGGAGGCUCUGGAUUUAAUGCUAAUAGUGGAAAUGCUUAUGGAUCUAACAAUCAGUUCAAGGCUUAUCAAGGAGAUAAUCAGAGAGGUGGAGGAGGAGGUAACUAGAACCAGAAUGCUGGAAAUAGAGGAUUUAACAAUAGCAGACCACCUGGAAACACUAAGCCUCAAUGGAAUGUCUCUAAGCCAACCUGUCAAAUCUGUUGUAGAACAGGCCACACUGCAAAUAUUUGCUGGAAACUUGAGGAAUUCAUGGCAUUUGGAGCUUACAGACCACCACCAAACAGAAAUCCAAAAUCUGCAUAUUUGGCUAAUAUGGAAGGCCCCGCUGAUACUAACUGGUAUUUGGAUAGUGGUGCAACACACCAUCUGACUAAUGAUAUCAACAUGCAUGUUUCUGAAGCUUUUACAGGUAUAUCUAAACUUGUUGUUGGCAAUGGUGCUGGAUUGGAUAUAACACUUAUUGGAAGUGCUGCAUUGAAAUCACAUAACUCCAAUAAUGCCUCUUUAACUUUUAAACUAAAUGAUAUCCUUUUAGUGCCACAAAUUACUAAAAACCUUAUCAGCAUCUCUAAACUCACAAAGGAUAAUGAUGUUGUGAUUGAGUUUACUAAUAAUUUCUGUUUUGUGAAGGACAAUGUGAGAAAUUUGAUCAUAUUGCAGGGCAAAGCUGAAAAUGGUCUAUACAAAUUGCUAUUGGUAAUAGGAAUAGUGUACUGCUGAAGAAGAUUGUACUGAAAUUCAGAAGUUUUGGAUGGAGAAGAAGAACUGAAAAUUGAGGAAUAUGGAAAUGAAGUUUCAUAAAAAACAACAUGACUUGCUAUAUAGAUUUUUCCAAAAGAAUGGAGACAUUUAAAACCCUUAUGCAAAGGACUAUACCCCAGAAAAAUACAUUUGGAUGUAUGAGACUGAAAUUUGUGUUGAUUAUAACUUCUAAGGAAGGGAAAGCAUGAACAUCCAAAUGUUCUCAAGAAUUUGUAAUCUGGAGAGAUGUGAAAUAUAGACUCAUAAGGAGAUUUCAUUGACUGAACUGGUGUAGGCAAUCUGUUUAUAAGGUAUGUGGCUGUAUGAAAAGACUCCCACCAGAAUUUAAUGGGUAGGUUUGCUUGUGCAAGUAGAGUAAGACCAAGUUCUGUAAUAUGCCUAUGCUUUCUCUCUACAAUUCCAUUUUGAUUGUGAGUGUAUGGACAUGAAUGUCUGAAGUGUAUGCCCUCUGUGUGAAGGAGGUUAACAAAGGAUCGAAAUUCUCCCCCCCAGUCUGAUUGAAGACAUUUUAUGGGUUUGUCAAGUUGUUUUUCUAUCUGGUUUUUGAAAAUUUUAAAGACUGAUAGUGUUUCACUUUUGGUUUUCAAAGGAAAGAUCCAAGUAAAUCUUAUGAAAUCGUCAACAAAGCUUAUAUAAUAUAUGUAGCCUUGUGAUGAAAUCACAGGGGCUGGUCCCCAUAAAUUAGUAUGCAAUAUUUCCAGGGGAAACUUUGUUUUGAUAUCAGAAGCUGGAAAAUGAAGUUGGUGCAUUUUUCCUAUUUGACAAGCAUCACAGAAAUUAAAGGUUGUAUUCUUAUUGUCAAGAAUGAAAGAUGAACAUGUUUUGAUUACAUGAUUCAAAAUCUUAGAAGAUGGAUGUCCCAAUCUCUGAUGCAAUACAGAAGUACUUAACAAACACUCAGAGUUUUUACAAGUAGCUGCAGUAGGCAGACAGGAGGUUUUAUUUGAAAAAAUAGAAUUGACAACUGAAAACAUUAAAAGAGGAGAAGUUGAUACAACUGACUCAGCAACAAAGUUUUGACUAUAAGCAGAAGAGGCUGUCUUAUUAGGUGAAACCAAUAGCAAUUUGUAUACCUUUGAAGCUGAAACUGCAGGUAAUGAUUCACAUUCUAAUCACCUUGGUCCUAUAUCUUCACCACUCUCUCACAACACCAUCCCAACCCUCACCACCAGCUGUUGUAUCUCAGCAAUCUAUACCUUCUUCACCAACUCAGCUCAAUCUUCCUAUACUUCUACCUGAUACAACACAAAAUACAUUAUUCUCCCAACCUCCUAUAUCUCACUCUCUGAUUCAACCAACCCACUCAUCUCAACCUAAACCAAAUCUCUCCACACAUAAAAUGAUCACUAGAGCAAAGGCUGGCAUAUACAAACCAAAGGCCUACCUAACAGAUCAUAAUAGCCUGGAACCAUCUACAGUUUCAGAAGCAUUAUCUGAUCCCAAAUGGAAAGCAGCAAUGCAGACUGAAUACCCUUAUGCCUAUGUGCCCAUCCUACAAACUAGUUGGGUGCAAAUGGGUGUUCAGAACCAAGUACAACACAGAUGGCUCAGUUUCAAAACAUAAAGCCAGACUGGUAGCCAAGGGAUUUCAUCAAACUGCAGGUAUUAAUUAUUCUGAAACUUUUAGUCCUGUAGUGAAGUCUUCAACAGUAAGAUUGAUUCUUAGUCUAGCUGUCAUGAACUGUUGGAAGGUCAGACAAAUUGAUGUGAAUAAUGUCUUCUUAAAUGAGGAUUUGUCAGAGGAUGUGUAUAUGGUUUAGCCUGAGGGUUUUGUGUCCAAAGAAGGCUACAUAUGCAAGCUUACCAAGGCUCUAUAUGGAUUGAAACAAGCUCCAAGAGCUUGGUAUGAUAAACUGAAAGGCUGUCUUACUGCCUGGAAUUUCAUCAAUUCAAAGGCUGACACAUCUCUUUUUGUUAAACAUGAUGAUAAGGGCAUUAUUAUUAUCUUGGUCUAUGUUGAUGAUAUUCUGGUUACUGGUCCUGACUCAGCAUUACUUGAAGAAUUUAUCACUAAACUAAGUAAGGCUUUUGCUCUCAAGGAUCUGGGUUUGAUAGCUUAUUUUCUUGGAGUGGAAGUAUGUUACACAACUCAUGGAAUGCAUCUGUCACAGACAAAGUAUAUUAAAGAUCUGAUCAGCAAAGCUUCAAUGCAGAAUUGCAAAGGGUCAGAUACACCCUUCAGUACUGGAUUUAAACUAGAGAAAAAUGUUCAAGGUCCUCUGGGACAAGAAUUUGAAGAACCAGCACUUUAUAGGAGCAUUGUUGGAGGGCUUCAAUAUUUGAUUCUCACCAGGUCUGACAUUGCUUAUUCUGUACACAAACUCAGCCAAUAUCUCAAUACUCCUACACUUCAGCACUGGCUGGCAUGCAAGAAGGUUCUCAGAUAUCUUCAAGCCAUAACUACUCAUGGUUUAUACAUUCAAAAGGAAGGGACACUUGGACUUGCAGGUCUAACAGGAUACUCUGAUGCUGACUAGGCAUGUGAUGUUGAUGAUCGAAAGUCUAUUGGAGCUUACUGUAUUUACCUUGGUAAUAAUCUGAUCUCCUGGUCUUCAAAGAAGCAAGCUAUAGUAGCUAAGUCAAGCACUGAAAGUGAAUACAGGGCACUAUCUUCAGCAAGUUCAGAGCUUUCAUGGUUGCAAUCUCUGUUGUCAGAACUUAACAUUGUUCAGUUACCUACUCCAAUUCUUUGGUGUGACAAUCAAAGUGCUGGAGAGUUAGCUCGAAAUCCUAUUCUUCAUUCUAAAUCCAAACACAUUGAAUUGGAAAUUCAUUACAUUAGAGAUAAAGUGCUUGGAAAAGAAUUAGAAAUAAGAUAUAUUCCUACAGAAGAACAAGUUGCUGAUGUCCUUACUAAAGCUUUGUCAUUUCCCAAGUUUAACUAUUUUAGAUCCAAGCUCAAUGUCAUCAACAGGCCAUUGAGCUUGAGGGGGGAUGUUAAAGAAGCUCACAUUUACAAGAUUAUCAGCAAAGCAGAGGAUCACAGCAACAACCAUAUGCAGUUACGAGUUGAUGACAUGGCAUGCCAGCUGGAGCCUGGUGGUUAUGUAAUAAGUUAUGCAUGUAUCAAUUAGCUAUAAGCUGUUAUAGUUAGUUGAAAGGAUUAGUUAAUAAGUUGUUGCUAAUUACAACAGCUUUGUACAUAUCAUUAAUGAUGUGAUUAAUGAAAUUUAGUUUCUAGAAAACACUCAGAUCUAGUUCAUAUUUUCUUAGUUGCCAAACACGUUUUUCUCGUUCUUCAACUGUUGGAAGUCAACUAUUGUAUAGUAAGAUGAUUUGAAACUUCUUUUAAAACUUCUCUGUCAUCUAGCUUAGAGAACUUGACUGUCCACCAAGAGUCUGGAGUCACCUGUUGCAUCUCAAGUUGAUUUGGUAUUUGUUAUUUUUAAUGAGGAAAUACUUUGCUAGAACUUUCAGAUUGAACAUUGCAGGUAGGAUUAUUAUUCAAGUCGUGACCUUCGAGAACUUGUUGCAGUUGAAUGUUUUUUUUUUUUUUUUGGGGGGGGUGGGGGGGUAAUGACAAAAAUUAUUAAUGUUUAGGAACAACUCUUUAGGGGAGAAGCAUAUAUAUCUGGCUGGCAAUUUUGGCAUAUUCAACUGUUGAUAGUAGAAUGGAUGUAUGGAGGGUUGACUUCAGUGACCACAAUUAAUUAUGUCAUUGUACGGUUAAAUGGUUGCAUUAUGAAAAGCAGAGAUGCGUUAGAAAAUGACAUGGCCUUUGUCAUGCUUAAUCUGUGCCUAUGCAGCUAUUGUAUUAUCUUGGUUAACCUGUGCCUUUUUAAUUCUUGUACUAUGACUGCCUGGUCCUAAGCAAUAUUGAUGGAAAUGACAUCCAGCUUGAAGUUUAUGUAAAUCUUUCAAAAUAAAUUCUGAAUACCCUUGGAUUUGGUGUGUACAAAGUCAAAGAAUCCAUUUAGCUGGUCCUACAAGUUUUAGACUUUGCAGGGAGGCUUCAGAUUUAUAAAUAUGUAACAAAAAAGGUGUAGACUACAUAAAAAGACUUAAAAAAAAAGUGUAUAGAAUUAUUAGCUAUGCUUAGAUAAAUUCCCGGUAAUUACCUUUCUAGUAUUACUUUUUUUCUUGUUGUUUCUUUGAGAUAUUUCAAGAAAUAUACAAUAUAUGCAAACAUAUAACUUCUUGAAAUUUGUAAUUAUAGGAUUCUGUUGACUGGUUGGUUCUAUACCUCUUUGUGGGAAUGGGCGAAACAUCUUGAUACCUUUACCAAGAUCAGUUAGUGCUGAGGUUUUGGCUAUUACUGGAGCUGGCGUGUGACUGCAUGAUCAAGAUGCGUCAAACCUUCCACUGUUCUAUUGGUUUGCCUUUAUCAUUCGGAAUCCAAGUUUGAUAUUAACAGAGAUCACAUCAAUAAUAUCCUAUUUGGGUAGAUGUGGGUGAGGAUUUAAAAUCAAAUUUGAAAUUGAGAGGAAAGAAAAGGAGCCACAAUAAUUAAACAAAAUAAUUCUGAUGAGUUUUAAUCUCGAGGAACAAUUUUCAAAUGCAAAUUUAACUGCUAGAGAAAUUGUAGCUUUUUGUCAUUAGUUAAAAGGAAAAAGAAUAAGAACUAUCCGGCCCUUUCCUUCAUGAAUGUGUUGAGGUUGCUGUAUUAUUUAGUCAGUAUUUGUAAUUUUCUUCCCUGCAGUGCUCUCUGCUUCCUGAAUUUGCUACUGAGUCCAUAUUUUUCUUUGAGCUUUUGCUUCCUAUUGCUGUUACAGGUGCAAAUCUGGGCAAGCAAUAAGAUACACCGGGAGGAAAGGUCAUCAAUGCGAAAAUGGGAUGUCCGAUCCCUCAUCACAUCUUCUUCAGAUUUGUAUGGUCCAGAAAAGUCUGCUAGUGUUGAAAAAUUACCUAGGCAUGUAAAAUUUACUUUUAAGAAUCCUGUUAGGUGCUGCAUUAUUUGGAUCACAUUACAUCUUCAGAGACCUGGUUUGGGUUCAGUUAAUUUCGGGAAGGACUACAGCAUUUGCAGAUGAACCUUCAGAACAAGAUGAUUCAGGAUUGAGAGCUCCACUUGUGGCCACAGGUUUGUCUUUGUCAAACAGAAUCAAGUUAUAUUAUUAUUGUGAUCCUUAUGAGCUCGGAAAAUGGGCAAGCCUUUCUGGAGUUUGAUCGUUAUUUAUAUGUCAGAGAAAGAGUUUUGGGUUUGAUUUUGAUUUGUAAUUUUUGUCAGUUUAUUGAAAUUUUGUUGUUGUAUAAAAGCAGAAUGUAAAGGUAUAAAAAUUCAUUGAUGCUGUAAUGUCUGUACUUUUGAGAAAGAAGAAUUCAAUGUCUUUUCUAUGCCAUUGGAUUUUCCACUGCUGGUAAAACCUGAGCUGUCGAAUGCUCUGUGAACCUUAAGGGCUAGAAAGUAAUUUUCUUUUUUUUUUAAUUCUUUUAUAUACAUAUUAUUAUUGAUAUUACAUUAGACAUUACAAUUACAAUAUUUAUAAUCGUACUAAAUAACUGAGACCAACGUCAUACAUUAACUCACGCCAUACAUUAACUCACUGAAGCACUUGUCCAAAUACUUUAAACCUCUCUAAUAUUCGAGGAGUGUCUACUCUAUUCACAUUUUGUUAGGGAGAGACUGUCUCUACUCAAUUAGUUGAUAAUUAAGAAAGAAUUGAAACUAACCUCCAUAAUGUUCUUAUGAAAGCUCGAACUCUUGCACUCAACAUUAUAAGUGCAAGGUUUCUACCAUUGAACCAAAGACCCAUUGGUGGCUAUAAAGUAAUUUUCAAGAGUGAAGGAUUUAUUAAUCGAGUUCAAAAGAUUGCAAGCUGGUGAGCGUUGGCAUUUAAAAAUCAAUUGUUAUCCUCUCAAUAAUCUCUCUCUUCUGCCGACACCCGAAGCUCAGAAACCCGUUGUUCCGACGGACGUGUAACACUUCCAGAAAUUAGCCUUUUCUUCUAUAUGAAGGUUGAUCUCUCCUCCUGCAGUGUUUUCUUUUUCGAGUGAAGGUGGUUUUCUACUUACAUAUGUCGGGGGUCUUACAAUAUCUAAUGUGUGAAAUUUCUUUCUCAUUUUACCAUAAAGAAAAUGUCAGUAAUGAUUUAAAGCUCGAGUCUUAAAUUAUCUUAAAUUAAGAAUCUCUCAUUACAUUGUCAACCAAAAAGACACUUACAUAAGAAGAAGAAUUUGUCAGUUUGAUUUUAUUUGUAGAUCCAACAUUUCUCAUAUCCUGAGUGCCUUUCCGUAUCAAAUUAAAAUAGUAGUAGCAAAAUCGUAGUGCACAUUUAAUUAACCAACUAAUAGUCUAAGCAAAGAGAGGAUUACAAGUUCACAACACCAUUACAAAGGAUUCAAAAUCCCCGCACGAAAACAUCAAUGUACAGUUAUAAACAACCCGAAUUGGACACAAGAAAAACCCUUCAAUGGAUUGUUUGCCUUCCCAAUGCUAUAUACUGUGCAAACUGCGCACUGGCCAAGAAAAUGUUUUCAAUUUAGUGUACUUUCAAAAUGCUUAUUUUCUCAGAAUAUUAAAAAAAUAAAAAAAUAAAAAAAUAAAAAGAAUUCUUACAUGUUUCAUCAGCAUGAUUAAAAUCAAAGAAGAAAGCGAGACAUAAUGUCUCUGACAUAAUAAAAUUACAAAAAUUUCAAAAAAAAUGUUAAAACAUGUAAACAUGAAAGUAUUUUCAAAAGCAAAAUGGAAUACAUAGAUAAAACAUCAUCUUAAACAAAUCACAAUCUAGAAUUAGAGCAUUUUUGACAUACCUAAGGAAAAAGAAUACGUGAAAAUGGGUGACUCAUUUGCUAAGGAGUGUUGAUUUGAUUGGCUCUGCAAAUUCUCUUGGGGCUCAGUUCCAAUUCCUCUACAUCCAAAGUUCCACUCGCGCUUGGCAAAUCAUCCAAUUUCCAAACUUCGGUAGCAAAAUUGAUAGUAAAAGUGUUGUCUUUUGUUUCGCUGGGAUUUGCAUAUACUGGACAUAAUCCGCAACGUUUUAUCUUGUAAAACUUUCGCUCAGCGAAGAACUUAAAUGUGGCAAUUGUAUGAUGGUAACCAUCAGGAAACCCAACAUUCAAGCAAGGUUUAAAACCAAGUAUGACACGAUCUGAAUCAAUAAGGUCUUCAAUAUAGCGCGAAUUGUAACCCAGAUCAACAUGUUUGGUUUCAGAGAGAGUCUUUAUUUCUAAGUCGAAUUGAAAGCUGACGUAAAAAUAACGAAAACAAUCAGAAUCAACUUUCUUAGAAUCAAGAACAGCACAAAAAGCAAACCCGAUUAAGUUUCUGCAAGAAGAGUGCGGUGGCAGUUGAAUACAUAUCGAAGAUCCUGAACUUUGAUUGCUAAACCAGUCAGGAAUUUCGCUCCCAGGUAAAACAAUUAGGGAUCCCCUGAGUUCAGAAAGUUUCUGUGAAAGGACAUUUAAAAAAAGAAAAUUGUAAAAUGAAAACCAUUGAUUUCAGAUAUAAGAAAGAGGGACAGAGUAAACAAGAGAGGGAAUUUGAUACCUCGUUGAUUGCCAUUUCAUAGCCCAGUCUCAGUGAUGCAAUUGCCAUAUGCCGAAUUCUUAGUAGUGAAUCUGCCAAAAUCUUGUUGUUUGCUUUUCCAUUCAGUUUCAAGCAGUUAGUAAACUCAAAACAAAUUGCUGCUGACUUCAGAGAUUCUGGUGCCCAUUGAAGGUCAGGAGAGUGUUUGGAUAGCUUUUCGAGUACGGAUGCAUCUAGUUCUUGUAGACAUAACAGAAUCUCUGGCAAAGAUUGAAGCCGGUUGCAGUUCCUUACAGUUAGUAACUGUAGACACAAUGGAAGUUCUGGUAAUGACCGAAGCAUGUUACAAUCCUCCAAGUUAAGAUAUUGUAGACACAAUGGAAGUUCUGGUAAUGACCGAAGCAUGUUACAACCCGUCAAGUCAAGAGAUUCUAGACAAAAUGGAAGUACUGGUAAUGACUGAAGCAUCUUACAAUCAAUCAAGUGAAGAUAUUUUAGGCACAAUGGAAGUUCUGGUAAUGACUGAAGCAUAUUAAAAUCCUCUAAGUGAAUAAACCUCAGCUGCGACAUUUGCUUGAUAAUUGCAGGUAAACUCUCAAAGUUAUUUCCACUUAGAUACAAUAUUUCCAGUGAGGAUAGAUAGGCAAUCUCUUGUGGAAUUUCCCUUACAGCAUAGUCACUUAUAUGUAGAAGUCCCAUAGCAGAUAAACCUAAUAAAAAUGUUCGAGGAAAUGAUUCCAAACCUUUGCAGUGAGAGGAGUCAAGACUUCUAAGCAUGUUUGACAAUGCAACAGAGGAUGGUAGUUGACUAAUAGCUGAUGCAGCUGCUAAGAUGUAAUACAAAUAUUCUAAAGAGCCAAUGUUAUCCGGUAAAUUAUCAAGUUUAGAGCAAUCUUCUACGAACAAUACUUCAAGCCCCGGUAGAUUUUCAAAUGACGAUGGCAGCUCUGUAAUUGGCGUCCUGUCUGAAUAGAUGCGUUUUAAAUGUUCCAUUUUCUCCAAGAUUUCUGGGAAAUGCUCAAGGUUCAAGCAGCCAAGAAGAAUAAGCGUAACCAAAGAUCUCAAUUUACAAAAGCUUGUUGAAAUCCGCUUCAGCCGUUUGCAACCCCUCAAAUCCAACACUUCAAGAUCAGUUAGACACUCUAUUGAUGAUGGAACUUCUUCUAUUGCAGACUGGCCUAAGUAUAGCCGUGUAACUUUCCCAGAAAUUUGUGGAAACUCUAUGAGAUUAACACAAUAGGAGAAAUUAAUAGUUACUGGACAAACAAAAUGAAGAUUGCUUGGAAAAGACCUAAGACUUUGGCAGCCCUUAAAAGACAACGCACUGAGAUACUUGAAAUUCUGGAUAGAUGAGGGAACACAAGCCUUUUCUCCUUCCCAAGGUUGCUCAACUUUACUACAACGCAAAUUCAGUUCAACAAGGUUCUUUGGCUUGAAAUUUGAUGGCAGUGUCCUUAAUGGAUAUGUGUCCCAAUGAAGAUAUCUCAAUUUUUUAGGAAGAUAAUCUAGGCCAUUUGGAAGCUGCACUUUAGAGUAUGAAAGUUGCUCUUCAGUGCUCAUGCUUGGAAGCUUUUCAAUCUCAUAAAACUUAGGUACAUAAAAUUUGAACAAUCUCAGAUUAGACAUAUUUGUGAAGGCUCUGGGGUCUAAAUUGAUGCCUUUUAUUUUGGACAGAUCUAGAAAUAUGCCUUCAAUUGCAUCGGUCCCCUUAUAAAAAAAAAAACAAAAACAAAGAAUGGGUAAGCCUAAAACAGAAAAGAAACAUUCGUAAACUUUAUUAACUAAGAGCUCCUUAAACAAAACAAAUUCUACAAUCUUUGAUUUAUUUUUUAAAUAUAUUAAAUAUCUAUAUGCGAGAAAAGAAAAUUUUGGGGACCAUUGCAAAAUUAAACUAACCGAAAAAAAAAAAUCAAAAUUUCUCUAAUUUACAAACCUGUUAUCUUAAUAUUUAGAAGUUGAGAAGACAUGGCUUAUUUGAUUGGUAUAAGAUUUCGAAUUUUUUUAGAGUCCAUAGAAUCCAAAAUAUUAGUCCAAAAUUAGGGAAAAAAAUGAAAGAUUUUUUUACCACUAGCUAUAAUUGUAUUCAAGUCAAAUUGAGAUACGACCCUUUUCGAAAGAAUUUAUCCGUCUUACAGCCUCCUUAAGAUACAUUUAAGCUAAAAGGAGUGAUUGGAGGCAGAACUAGGUGGGCCAAUCAGUCCAUUUUAUUAGCGAUUGUUGCUUAAAAAAAAUGAUACUCUAAAACACACUUACUUUUUUUGAAAAAAAAAUAUAAUUAUAUUGAAAUAGAACCAGGUGGGCCAAUUCUCAUGGCACUCACUUUGUUCUUACACACUUCACUAAAUUUGAAGAAAAAUAAAAUUAUACUCUUCACACUCUUAUUCAACAUUUCAAAAUUGAUAAAAUCUGGAGUUUUCUUUAAAAUUUUAAAAUUUGAAGACUUGUUCUCUUGACACCCUCAGUCAUUAAUUUCACCUAAUUAUGGUUUUGAUGAUUUUGGUUGUUUUGUUCAUAAAAUAAUUUUACUAAAGGAUGUUCUCGUAAUAAUAAAAAUUAUAAAAAAAACAUAGGUGUGCUGGUGUGGUUGGGAAAAUACGAGUGCAGAACUCGAAACAAAUAAAAGAUGUAUAAAAUAAUGGAGGAUUCUUACCUUAUUAUGCUUUAGUACGCGGCUGAUUUCCUUAGGAUCCCACAACCUGCUGCGUUUGCCUGGCUCUUUCUCAGAUUCUUGGCGAACAAUCUGUCGCCCCAUUUCUUGCAAUAUAUCAUGCAUGUUCAAGAAAUUACCUGAUAUUGAUACGAGUGACUUAUCAAUAAGGAUAUCCAGCACAUCAGACUCAGAAUCAUCAAGAAUGCUUGCCACAAAAUCUUUAUCCUCUCCCUCAAAGAAACACGCAAUAUCUAGAAAUAUACUCUUCACCCUGGGCGUUAAUUUGUUAAAACUAAUCUUUAAUAUAUCAUAAAUAUCAUGAAUUUCAGAUUCACAAAUCCGAUUUAAGUCGUGCAAUACUUUUCCCCAAUGGCUUUUCCUCUUGAGGCACAGGGAGGAACCCAACACUUCAAGAACUAAUGGAUUGCCUUUGGUAUAUGAUACAACACUCCGUGAGUGCCAGUUGAGAUCUUCAGGACAAUGAUUUUCUUUAAAAGCGAAGUUACAAAAAUGCUCGAAAGCCUCUUCAAAUUCCAAUCCAUUAACCCUAUAUAUUUUCUUCUCCUCCCCUCUAAAUUUUUCGAGGACUCGUUUGUCUCUGGUGGUUACAACAAUUCUACUUCCUUGACCAAAUUGAUCAAGCUCUCCAAUCAGACGCUUUAAUUGUCCAACUUCAUUCACAUCAUCGAGUACUAUCAACAACUUCAUGCGUCGGACCCUCUCUUUAGUAAAAUGUGGAAUAUUGGGACCAGCUACUUCAAGUUUUUCGCUUAAUGUUGUUGAAAGCAUUUGCUUUUGGAGAUGUUCUAAUCCACCCGCCGUUUCUGAGUUUCCCCUAACAUCUGACACAAAGCAACUACCUUCAAAUUCAUGGGAGAAUUGGUCGAAAAUAGCUUUGGCAAGGGUGGUUUUGCCGAUACCACCCAUGCCCCAAAUUCCAACAAUUUGGACGGUAUCCGAUGAAUCCAUACACAGAAAUGGUUUAAUCUGCUCAAUUCGUGAAUUUAAUCCAACUAGGCCAUUGGAUGAGUCCGUUGAGACUGUUAUUUUUUCCAACUUCUUCAAAACAUCUUCGACAAUUUUGUUUACAAGUUGCGC